AGAUCAGCUGUGAAGAGGCCUUCUCCUUCAUAAUUUGGUCCUGCUAGAAUUUCGCCAUGGGGCGAAAUGAUGACACUACCUCCAGCCCAAACAAUAGAAUCUGGAGUGACAUCUUCUUCUGUAGGACUGUAAAGAUACUCAGGUGGAGGUGGGUAAUCUUUCCUCCGACAGAACUGGAUGGGUGAAAGAACAUAGCAUCCACCCUCAAUAGCGAUGUGUCUCAUUGUGGCUACCCAUUUAUCCCCGGAAUCGGCAGUAGGAGCACAAUAUAUCUCAAUACCUAUAUAUAUGAACAUUGGUAUUCUGUGAUCAAUCAAUCCCAUAUCAAAGCCACAAUGUAUUUCAAGACUGCUUAGAUUAAAACCCUAAUAAUGUAAAAGGGUGCUGGAGGUCCUAUUUGGUAAUUGUCUUCGGAACAGUUUUGAGAAAUAGUUUUUGAAAGUUGUUCUUUAAUAGUUUAUAAAACAUAAGAAUAUUUGAAACCUAAAAUAUAUUCAACUUAUUAAAAAUAAUUUUUAUAUUUAAUACUUUAUUUUUAAAUAUUCUUCAUAUUUAUAUAAUUAUUUUUUAAAACAACCUUAAAAACAAAUGAAAACAAUGAAGAAAAAAGUUUAAAAAAUAUUAUCUGAAAACAUUUUGUUUUAUGUUUCUAAGAAAAAACAAAAAGCGGUAUUCUAAUUGUCAAUUGUGUUUUCCUAAAUUUUUUUUGGAUAACAAAAGAUUCCUCUAAAAUAUAAUUGUGAAACAAAGCCAAACUAUUUCAAGCCAAACCAUACUAGUUAAUGAAGAAAAAAAAAUGGUAAAAGAUGUACCUUUGCCAUACAUUGAUGUCCUGAAAAGAGGCAUUCUAUUUUCCCAACAAAUGACCGAACCAAGUUUUCCAUAUGGAGUGUCAUAAAUUGGAGUUGUCGAGCAAUCUCCGAAACCCCAGAAGAGCCGCUCCCAAUAUGUUGGCAUGAGUUUCCUAUGUUUUCCAAGGUAAUUGCCUUCAGGAUCAAAGAAGAGAACAGUGCAAUACAAUGUGUAUCCAUCUCUCUCAACAACACCUGUCACUAAGUAGACUUUGUAUUUCGCAGCCAUUGAUGCCAAUCUAUCAACUUCAGGUCCUGAAAAUACAUUAAUAUGAGAUCAAAGAUGAGACAUGUAAGCUGAUGGUUCAUCACAAAGCAGCAUAAGUAGAUUUUGUUUCAAUAACUUAUUUAAGUGGUUCAGUCCUCUAGCUAUUUAAGGGAGAAAGAGAGGGGUAACUGACCCGGCACAUUAAUGGCAGAAGCAUGGUACUUGCGGAAGCUUUCUUUCCCUCUAGGAGACUGGUCCGCGAAGUUGUACCCACGGGGAUACCCACCGAUAAAUGCCUCAGGAAACACAACCAGUUGGGAUCCCAAUGCAGCUGCCUCUUUCAGAAACCUCUCAGCCUUAUCUGCUCCCAAAAUCACAUUGCAAGAAUUAACAAUUCAUGACUUAGGAAGUAAAUUAAUUGGUUGAAUAGAGAAUGAAAAUUCACCUCAAGAUAUCCCAAAUGACUUUUUGGUUGCUGAGAAAACUUAAGGAAAAGGAGACCUAAAUAAAACUCGAAACUCACAUAUUUUCAGCUGUUUUGUAACUAAGAAAAAAGAAACCACCUCAACCAACUCAUCCAAAUAAUUAUUGUACAAGCAGUAAUUCCUUGAUUGGCAGCUGAAAAUAUGAUCAGGGUUCAAUCAUCCCUUUCUUUCUUUCAGUUUCCCAGCAACCAAUCAGCUCACUGAUUCUCUUACAGAAGUUGCAGAAUUGAGAGAAAUGGCACGUUACCUAGAGUGGCAGGAGUAUCAUAAAAGAUACUAGAAGCUUGAACAACGGUGGCUCUAACAGUUGAAGACAUUGCAGAAAUCGUAUGUUUUUUCGUUUCCCCUUUGUUUGAGGAUUCCUCACACUGCGUUCAGUAUAUAUAUAUCGCCCAUGAACAAGAGGUUCCUCUGCCAUUACUUGAACAAGACGGAAAGGCUUUGAAAAGUCUGACUUGGUUUUCUAUACUCAUGGUGAGGUUUUAUCCUCAUCACAAAUUUUUAAGUUAUCCGCAGACAUAGUGGACCAGCCACAUGACUUGUACAAAUUGAAAAUGACUGUCACAUGGGAUUUUUUGUAAUUUUUAAAAAUAAUUCCCAAAUGUAGUGGAAAAAAUAAUUCUAAAUCUAACAUAGUUUUUGCAAGAUAGAAAAGAAAAAAAUAAAAAUCUUUAUUUCCUUUAAAAAAAAAUUAUAAUGAAAGAAUCGUCUUUUGAAAAGACAAUUUCUCAAAUUUUUUUUUAAAAAAUAAAAUCUAUCGGUUAGAAAUUGUCUCUUGAAAAUCGUCAGAGAUGAUUUUCAAAAAUUCAUUUUUUCAUUUUCUCUUUUUUUUUUUCAAUAAUAUUUUACUAAAUAAUAUAUUUAUACAAUUAUGAUUUUUUUCCUUUUAAAAAAUUAUAAUGAAAAAUUCUCUUUGGAAAAGAUGAUUUCUUAAAUUUCUAAAAAAUAAAAAUAAAAAUCUAUAGGCUAGAAAUCAUCUCUUGAAAAGACGAUUUUCGGAAAAAAAAAAAAAUUAGGGAGAAAUUGUCUCUUUCUCCAUUGAUUAAAAAAACUGGAGAAAUCUUCUCAAGAUGAUUUCUUAAAAAUAAAAAGAAACAUAGAAAAAAAAGUCAGUCAAUUUUCAAAAAUUUUGUUUUCUAUUAGGAAAUAUAUAUUUUACCAAAUAAUAUAUUUAUACAAUAAUAUAUAUAUAUAUAUAUAUAUAAAUUGAUUAAUUUUAUUUACUAAAUUUAAUAUGUAAAAAUAAUUAUAAUUAUUGAUAUAUUUAUCAACAAUAAUAUUUAUAAAAAUAUAAAUUAUGUUUAGCAUCCGAUAUUUAAAAAUAUUAUUUUAUAUUAAGUUAGACAUUAAUUUUAAAAAUAUUUUGUUCUUUAUCUUCAGUUUUAUCUUUAAAUUAAUUCCAUUAAUUGUAACUAAUAAAUUAAUUUAGUUUUAUAUUUUUAUUAUUUAUAAUAUAAAUAAUAUUUUAUCUCAUUCUCUUUUUUACUAUCUCACCUUUCUCUCACCUAUUUAUUAAUGGAAUCAAAUUGAAUAAUUUUUCAAUCAUUUUUCUCCAACAAAUUGAACAUGAGAGAUAAAUGAUUAAAAAUUAUUAAUGUCAAAUGCAUUUUUAAAGUAAAUAAUUUUUAAAUACCUCAUCAAAUAUUAUUCUUUUAUUAAAACUUACAUAAUAUAUAAUAAAUAUUUUUUAAAUACCUUGGAAACUUACAUAAUAUAUAAUAAAUAUUAUUCUUUAUUUCAAACUUAUGUUAUUUAUCAUAUAUAUUAAACAAUUUUUAAACACCUUAUAAAAUAUUAGUAUUCUUUAUUUGUUCUAACUUGCAAAUUAGACAUAAUCAAAUAUUAUAUAUUUUUUUUCAAACUUAAGAAUAUAUAAUAAAUAUUUUUUAAAUACAUUGGCAAAUAUUUUUUUUUCUUACUUACAAAAUUAAAAAUAUGUUGUACAUUAUUUCUUAUAGGUCUUAACGACAUAGUUUGGUUAAAAAAAAAAAAAAAAACUAUCAAUAAUCGUCCUAAUGUCAAGCUCAAGUUGUUUAAAAAUCGCACAAAACCUAUUAGGAGCCUUGUACACCCUUGUAUACUUGACACAUUUCUCUUGUAUAAUUAGUGUAACAUUGUACAAUGGUGCAAAUUUCAUAUCCCUCCUAAGUUGUGUCUAUAUAGGUGUGUUAACCAUGUUUCCAAUGGUUUGGUUGAGAAAAAAAUGACUUAUGGUCAAAUUUUUUUCUCCAAACAUCAUUAUUGGGAAAAUCAUUGGAAUUUCCAUGUGGAAGUUAAAUAAAGUGCAUGACAUGGGUAUACAAUCCUUGGGUGACAAGGAAAAUAAAAAAGUGGUUUAGAAUCAAUUGAAAUCUUUCACAAAUGGUAGUCUUGUAUACCCUUGUACACUUAGUAUAUUUCCCAUCUUUAAUACCUUUGUAUAGUGGCACAAAUUUCAUAUCCCUCCUAAGUUAUGUUCACAUAAGUGUGUUAGCCAUGUUUCCAAUUAUUUGGUUGAGAAAAUGUUGGAUGAAUUAGGGUCAAUUUUUUUUUCCCUAAACAUCAUUAUUGGGGAAAAUAUUGGAAGUUCCAUGUGAGAGUUAAAUAAAGUGUAUGACAUGAAUGUAUAAUCUGUGGGUAACAAGGCAAAAAAAAAAAGAAAAAAAAAGGGGUUCAUAAUUGAUUGAAAUCUUUCACAAAUGGUAGCCUUAUACACUCUUUUGCACUUAGUACAUUUCUCUUGUACAAUUAGUGUAAUACUUUUGUACAAUGGCACAAAUUUCAUCUCCUUCAUAAAUAAUGUAUCCACAUAGGUAUGUUAACCAUUUUCUCAAUGGUUUGGUUGAUAAAAUGUUGGAUGACUUAGGGUUAAAUUUUUUUCCCUAACAUCAUUGUUAGGGAAAACAUUGGAAUUUUCAUAUGAGAGUUAAAUAAAGUGUAUGACAUGAGUGUACGAUCCGUGGGUGACAAGGAAAAUAAAAAGAAGUGGUUCAAAAUUGAUUAAAAUCUAUCACAAAGGGUAGUCUUGUACACCGUUAUACACCCUUGUACACUUAGUACAUUUCCCUUGUACAGUUAAUGUAAUACCCUUAUAUAGUGGCAUAAAUUAUAUAUCCCUCCUAACUUAUGUAUUCACAUAGAUGUGUUAACUAUGUUUCCAAUGGUUUAGUUGAGAAAAUGGUGGAUGACUUAGGGUCAAAUUUUUUUCGCCAAACAUCAUUACUGUGGAAAGUAUUAAAAUUUUCAUGUAGGAGUUACAUAAAGUGUAUGACUUAGGGUCAAACUCUUUUAAAUAUUUUUAUUAUUUUCAUAUAAAAAAAUAGUACUAAACAAGGUUUUCAAUUUUCAUUUUUAAAAAUAUUUUUCAUUUUUAAUUAAAUGUAUUUUUAAAAAGAGACAAUAUAGAAAAUAAAAAUUAUUUUAAGAAAUAAAAAAAUAGAAAUAAAAACUAGAAAAAUAUUUUUAAACCAGACUUAAACAUAAUCUAUUUAAUUUUUAACUACUUGUUUUCAUCUAAAAUGAGUAAAUAUACUUUUCAACCCUUUUAUAUAAUAAAAAUUCAAUCUUUACUAUGUAUUGAUAUAAUCCACUUCCAAAAUUAAGUCAUAUGAAAACAUUUUAAUUGGAUAUUUAAAAUAAAAACUCUCCAUCCAUCCUUUUUUUUUUUUUUUCUUAUUUUGAUAAAUUUUUAAUUAAUACAAAUCAUAAAAAAAAAAAAAAAUACUUAGUAAACAAAUUUGCAACAUUUUAUAUCACUUAUUAUUAAAAGUCAUGUUCAAAUAGUUAUUAAAAUAAGGAAGGAAGAAGAUUAAAAAAAAAAUUGAACUUUUUAUUUUAUAAUAGUAAAAAAAAAAAAAAAAACUUUAAAAUACUUUUUAGUAUAAAAAAAAGAAAAGAAAAAAGAAAAUAGUGAAUAGAUUUAUUUUAAAUAGCGUUUUAAUCAUUAAAUGAUUUACUUCUAAAAAGUAAAGGAUAAUUUUUAUUUAUUUAAAUUAACAGUUUUAGAAAGUAUUUUCCAUAAUAGUUUUUGAAUUAUUAAUAUAAUUUUUGUUUAUUUAUAAUUUAAAAAUAGAAAAUAAUGUUGAUUUUUCAAUUAUUUAUAAAAGAGUUUUAAAAAACAAUGAAAAAUCCAAAAAUGGUUAAGUAAGAAAGAAUUUGUUGGUAGUGGCAUGUUAAUAGUGGUAGAAUAAUAAUAAAAAAAAAGAGUCAAAUGAUUAUUUUUGUCCAUUACUAUCUCAUAUCCUUGUAAUCAAUUAUGGGUGACAGGAGGACCUUAGCUCAAUUAUCAAGUAGAGCUAGGUCGGAAACACAAUUCUCCCAAUAAUUUCCGGGCAUGAUAAUCAUAUUUAAAUAAAAAAGAGGGAGCUGCCUACAUGCAUGGAUUCCAUUGUCUUUAGUGGUGAGUAAGGCUUUCCAAGAUCAAUACACACACACACACACACACACACACACACACACACACACACACACACACACAUAUAUAUAUAUAUAUAUAUAUAUAUAUAUAUAUAUAGAGAGAGAGAGAGGUAAAAACUAAGUCUAACCCAGGGAGGAAAAUAUCGAGUAUCGGUGGACCUUGACAUGAUAUAUGAGGGAGAAAUAUCGGUCCCUUGAUUUUUUGACAAUUUAUCGUGAAUCUUGCUGACUUUUUGGAAUUUAUCAACAUUUUACCUAUUUAUCACGAUAUUUUGGACCGGUCAAUGCGACCUCUACAGUCAAAUAAAUUCAUUUAUUUGAAUACCAAAAAUAUAAAAAUUAUCAUGAUAAUUUUCUUCAUAGUAUUUUUAAUAUCAUUAAUAUAUUAAUUAAGUAUAAAAAAUUAUACAUAUAUUAUCAUUUAUUUUAUAUCAUUUAAUACAAUGAAAUUAAAUGAAUUAUAAUUUUAAUAUUAAAUAUAUUUUUAAGUUGGACAUAUUAUAAUCAAAUAUCACAAUGUUAUUAUCAAAUAAUAUUUGAUAUAAUUUAAUAAUAAAUGUAUACUUAUGAAAUUCAUAUUUUUUAUUAGCAUAUACAAUAUUAUUAUCAAAUAUAAUAAAUUAUAUUAUAUAUAUCAAUUACAAUUCUAUUAUACUUUUAAUUUUAUUUUUAAGAGUUUUUUCUUACAUUUUUAUAAUUUCUGAUCAAUUUUAGGUUCAUCGAUAUUUUAUGUCAAAAUAUCCGUCGAUGUAUCUGUAAAAUGAAAGUACCGAUAUAUCCGUAAUUACCGAUAUUUUCAUCCUUGGUCUAACCUUGUGUAUUGGCCCUUCCAAAAUUUGAGUGAUUCAAUGGCAGCUCUAGUAAAACAUAAAAAGGAAGAACUAUGUUUACCCUCAUGUUCAUUCAAACAAAUAUAUUGUAUAGGAAUUCUAAUUUUCAUAUUUGAUCACCCCAAACACACAACCAAUAAAAUUAUUCUUUAAAUAUGUAUUUUAAUAGAAACUAAAAUGAGAAUUCUAUAAUUACCCCUUUUUAAAAUCUUUAAUAUGAAAAGUCAUAAUUUAAUGUAUUUGAUGGCUCUCACAUCUGUUUUUUUUUUUUUUUUUUUCUCCUCUACGUCACUUUCUCCAUAUAAUGUCUUUGAUAUCCUCUCCAUAUCAUGUCUUUGAUAUCCUACCUUUGGCAUUUUUAUUUAUUUAUAUAUGUUGAAGUGACAACACUUUCUCUUCCCAACCUCUUUACUUUCAUAUUUCUUUUUACUCGUUUAAUAUUUAUUAACUUUAUUUAAUUUUUUGGAAUAAAUAAAUAAUGAGAAUAAAUUAAAUAUAAAUAUAAGUAUGCAAGCAACAUAAAAUGAAAAUUUAUCCUAAAAAUCAUACACUUGAUACUUUAAAAUAUUAAUUAUAAUAUAUUUGAUAAUUUAGGAUUUCGAUUUAAAAAUUAUGUUUUAUUUUUUAGAGGCUGGGAUAUAAGAUUUCCAUUAACCAAAGAUUUUUUAUAUGAAUCCUAAAUAAUAUGUUUAUUUUGCAAAUUCUUAUCAUAUAUAAAUAAAAUAAAUAUAUUUUUAUCAUAUUAUUUUUAAUUUUUAAUAUUUUGUAUCAAAAUCACAAUUAAUGAUAGUGAUUUUGGUUAAGAUAGAGCCCUUAAAAACAUAACAUGUUGUAAAAAAUAUAGAGUUUAUUAUUUAUUUAAUGAUAUUUCAAUUUCACUUUUAUCUAUCCUUAUUUUAUGCAUUAUACCUUAUGAGCAUUCUAACUUGACAUUUUUUGCAUUGUUCAUGACUUGGGUGAAUUAAGAUUUACAUGGAACAUCCAAGUCAUGGGUUCUUAUAAGUGGAUGAUUUGUUCAUAGUCGCUUUAUGGACUUAAGCAAUCCAUUUGAUGUUGUAGUGCAUUACCUCUUAAUUUAAGGGAUGACUAGUUUUGACCAACAAGAUGGGACCCUCAUAGUGAGUGCACUAAUGUAUAUGAUUGCAUUUUAGAUAAAACCUAUGGUGAGUCAUGAUGUAAGAAUAUCAGGUACUCAUGACUUCACCAAGUUGCUAUAUCGCAUUUUCUAUCAACCUUGAAAGAAUAUUGGGUUUGUGCCAAAGUUUGUAGUGACUUUGACAUAUGGGUGAAAUCCAAAAGUGAUAAUAUAUUCCUUAUGGAUUAGGUCACUAUAAAUAGAAUUAAGUAGCAAUAAGUAUUCUCAAUAGAGGAAUCAGAAUAUCUCAUGGAGUUUGAGACAUUAUGUCCCUUUGGAUGAUCCUAAGGACACAUGAUCAUGAAAUCUAUAGUCGUAGUAAUUCCUUGAGUGGAAUUUGAAAUAUGCUCUUAUGGGUUGGAGUAUGUCAAUUGAUCACAUAAUAGGAGGAUAUGUAACUGAAGAAUGAUAGAAGUAACCUUGAAAGGCAAAUAGUAUUCACCUUAUUAGAUUAUGAACAAUACUUCAUAAAGAGACUAUAUACAAUGGAUAGUAGGUUAGGAACCCAAGUAGUGCAAUCGACUCUCUAUGGUAGGAUGUUGAGUCAACUUUAGAAUUGGAUUAUGAGGGAGCCAAUACUAUUCUAUGGGUCAUAGUGGUACCGACUCAAGUUCAUAUAUCUUAAUGGCAUAACUUAUGAGGGUUGGAUUAGUUAAUGAUUCAAUUAUGUGCAUAAGGGCAUUUUGGUAAAUAUGCAUGGCUGAAUAGGAGUUUGUUGGGACAAAGCCCUAUAAAGCAUGAUAUGAUGUAAUAGAUUAAGUUUCAUUAAUAAAUUUAUUUAUUUAUUAUUCUAGUCCCCUUGUGUUAUCCCAUUUGCAUGAAUUGGUUAUUUGAGCAUUUACGUUCAUAUCACUUGCAUUGUACAUGACUUAGGAGUAUUAAGAGUUGAAUAAAAGAUCCAAGUUAUGGAUUCUUUACAAUAUGAUAAGUGAUUAGAAGUCUAUUCAUGGAUUUAGCAAAUCUAGUAUAAACUAUAGUGUACUACUACCUACUAAUUAGAGGGAUGCCUUGUGAUGGUCAUCGGGAUAACUUUCUCAUGGUAAAUGUGUACAAUUACAUAUUAAAUAUGACCUACGAUGAAUCAUGAUAUUAGUUGUUGGAUAGUCAUUAUUACCCAAGGUUUUAUACUACAUAAAUUCUUAAGCUUAAAAGGAUAUUAAGUCUAUACUAAAAUCAAUAUGAAGUUUUGACCUCUGGUUGAGAUCCUAAUGUGGUCACAUAUUCCACAUAGAUUGGGUUAUUGAAGGAGACCGGUAACAAUAGGCAUUUUUAAUAAAGGAACCAUAAUAUCUCAUGGGAUUAAACUUCAUGGGUGAUCUUAAGGGCAUGUGAUCAGGAUAAAUGUUACUAUAGCAAUUCCUUUAGUAAAAUUUGAUAUAUGCUCUUUGUGGGAUGGAGUAUGUCAGAUGAUCACUUAAUAGGAGGAUCUAUAACUCAAGGAUUAGAAAGGUAAUCUUGAAAGGUUGAUAUCACUACCUUGUUAGAUUAUGAAUAUCAAUUCAUGGGAAGUCUACAUUGUUAGGAUAGAGCCCUUAAGAGCAUGACCUGAUUUAAUAAACUUUUGAAUUUAAUUAUUCCUUAAAAAUUUUCAAUUCACUUUUAUCUAUUCUCAUUCCAUGUAUUCUAUCUUGUAAGCAUUUUGACUUACAUCUUUUUCAUUGUACAUGACUAGAGUACAUAAGGUUAUCAAGUUGUUAUGACUUCACCAAGCUACUUCAAUAUGUUUCCUUUAGAGAAUAUUGAGUUGGUGCUAAAGUUAGUAGUGACAUUGACCUACAAGUGAGAUCAUUAGUUGAUUAUAUAUUCCUUAUGGAUUAGGUCAUUGUUUAUCGAUGCCAAUUACAAUAGGUAUUUUCAAUAGAGGCACCAUAAUAUCUCAUGGGAUUAAGACAAGUGUCCUAUUGGGUGAUCCUAAGGAGGUGUGUUUAUGUAAACUAUGGUCAUAAUAGUUUCUUAAGUGGAACUUAACAUAAACUCUUGGAGAGUUAAGAUAUGCUAGUUGAGCACAUAGUAAGAGGAUUUAUAACUCAUAGAUAGUAGAGGUAGUCUUGAGAAGAUGAUAGCUUUCACCUUGUUAGACUUUGGACACCACACUACAAGAAAAAAGGUCAUUAUUGACAUAUAUCAUCUUGACUUAAGAUAAUAUAUGUGAAGAUUGUCUAUUUAAAUGAACAAUUAUGACAUAUACAACUUAGUUUAAACCAAUAAUGACAUGUAUAAUAGUUAUUGCAUUUUUCCAUGACUUAUGAUGAUGCAACCUUGACAAAUAAUUUAUAAGUCAAUCUAUAAUUAAUAUGUUCAUAUGUCAAGGUACCGAAAUGAAAGCAAUAAUGACAUAUAUAUAUAUAUUUGCUAAAUUUUCCUUGGUUUAAUGAUAUGCAAUCUUGACUCAAAAUUUAUUAGUCAAAGUAUAGUUAAUCUUUUCUACCUAAAUAAAAGUAAUAAUGACAUAUAUGCAUUUGCUAAGUUUUUAUAUGGUUUAUAAUGAUACAACCUUAAUAGAAAUUUAUAAGUUAAUAAAAAUUCAAUAAAUUAAUAUGUUAAGAUUAGAAUCUUUGGUUGCGCCACUUUAACAUAUAAUUUGUAAGUGAAAAUAAGCCUAUUUUAUUUUAAUUUAUUAAGGUUGAGUUAUUGAAAAAGAAAAUCCUAAUUUAAGGCAAUUUUAUCAAAUUUUGGUAGUUUUUACAAGUAUAUUUAUUAUUAUUUUGAAUAGAAACUUGUGAUUAAAAAGGAUAAGAUAAUGUUUCCAUUUAAAAAAUAAUAUCAAUGUAUUGAAAACUAUAUCUAUAAUCUUAUUUUAAUAUUUUGGAUAAGAUACUAAGUUAUGUCUCUAUAUUUCUAAUUAUUGGAAUUAAAAUAUAUUGCCACUAACUUGUGUUAGGGUCUCACAAGUAUUAGGUAAUUAAAUUAUUAUUUAUGUAUUUAAUUAGACAUUAAAUCUACUAAGAAUAACUUAAUUAGUAUUUAGGCAUUCAUUAUAACUAAUUGCAGGCCCACAAAAUCAAUCCAUAGACCCAUUUCUUUUAAAAUGUUUUAAGCCCAUUUUAUUUAGUUUGGGUCCAUUACAUUUAUACUUUUUCUUGAGCCAUAAAAAAAACUCAAUAUAUAAAUUUUUUUCCUCUCUAUUCCAUUUACAGUCGCCCCAUCUACCCCAUCUACCCCAUCUUCCCUUUUUCUCUUCUUUUCUUACUUUUUUUUUUAAUUCUUUUUUCUUCUUCUUUCUUCUUUCUUUUUUCAUCCUCUCAUCCUCAUAUUCAUGGUAGACCCUACACCGCCACCUCCAUCUCCUGUGUUGUUACGAUCCAUGAGUCCUACACCCACCAUGGCACCAUCUUUCUUAUCACCAUUGUCGUUCCCAUGUUCGCUACAACUCAGACAUGCUUCCUGAUGUUUUGCCACAAUCUCGACGUGGUUGUUGUUGUUUCGCUUUAGCUCGGACGCUAUUCUUGAUGUUCCGUCUCCAUCAUAGCCACCAUUGUUGCAGCCCAUAGCCUUGGUACCUCCUGCACUACCCAUUGACUUUUGUUGGAUCACCAUCAGCACCAUCUCCAUGGUUGCCACUUCCUUCUUCAUCUUAGAGCUUCAAGAGACGUAGGUAAGUUUCCUUGGAUAUCUACAGUACUUGUUGUGGUAGUUUUAAUUUAAUUUUUAUAUGGGCUUGGGUCUCAUUUGCUUUAUAAUUGGGCUUCAAAUUAUUUGGUACAUAGGCUUGAUGUUAUAAUAUUUUAUUACUUGGGCCUUGUGUUUCACUUGGUUGAGCCCAAUAAUAAGAGUAUCAGGCACACAUAAGCAGGUUGGUUCUUUGAGAACCAUUGAGUUUUGUUGAACCUUAGGAUUUUUAAGGCCAUGCUUCACCAUUGAUUGGGCUUCAAGUAAGAGAUAAGUAUGGAAGUUGCAGUUACUGACCUUAGUGUCUCUACUCCUGCCCAUGGUUUCAACAUGUGGGUCAAUUGAGGGGUUUGGUGAAGCUCUCCAUAUCUUCAAGACCUCUCUGGUUGAAGAAUAGUCCAACGGCCAAGUGACUAUGGAAAAAACCACAUGUUUGGAGUUAAGUUAAUGUUGGAUAAGUAUUAAUGUACACACAAAAUAAUGAAAAAUCGACGUGGUUGGGGCUGAAGAGCCACAACAUCAUAUAUAUUUGGUUCUGAUGGAGGAGUUAAUUAAUUGAUAUUACCAUGAAGGAAUUUCUAGUAGUUUUAAUCUAUUUAAUCAUACCAUCUAAUUGAAAAGAUGUUUUUGUCCUUUUCUUUUUAUUUUUAAUAUUCUAGAUGAUAUUCUUUGUUAAAAAAUUUAGAAAUAAUACAUCUUUGUAAUUGAGCUAGCUACUACAAAAUUAUAAGUGCUCAUUUCAUUCAUCAUCUCAAAAUUAUGUCUAGUGGCCUCAACUUUGAGUCAGUCAUUGAGGGGCUUAAUUUUAGGAGGAGAAUUAAAAUGUUCUCUUUUUUUUUCUUCUUCUAUUUUUUUUUCUUGAAUAUCCACUGUGUUUUACAUUGAAUCUAGAAUCACAAAGUCAAUUCAAUUACAAUUGAUGAUAUUAAAGGUCAAUAGGUGUAUUCAUUUUAUCUUUGUGAUAUCUAAAGUUAGUAUAUUUAUUGUCCUAUGAAAAAAAAAUCUUUUAAUUUUUUGGUAUUUGUUACUUACUUUUCUAUUAAUUCUAUGUUUAUUCUACUAGGUAUCUAAGAAAUACAUCAAGAAGAAGACAAUGAUGUAGAAACAAAGAUCACCUCUUAUGAAGAUGAUGUUGUACUUUUCAAUUUAAGUUUGUAUAUUAUUUUAAUUGAAUGUUUUUAGCUAGAUUUUGUUUGUAUAUAGAAAAUAGAGAGUAACUUGAACAAGAUUUAUGGAAUUGUGUUCUUAAUAUUUAAUGUAUAUGUAAUAAUUUUUUUUCCUUAAAUAGUAAUUUAUUUAAAUUAUUUUAAAGACUUGAUUGUAAUUAUCAUAAUUAAAAAUAUACCAAAUUUAAUUUCAAGAUAGGUUUCAUAUGGUAUAUAACAUGUUCAUUUUCCAUUAAAAACUAAAAAUUAUAAUAAAAUAAUAUUAAAUUUUUCAUAAGUUAUAUUGACAUAUGGCUCAUGCUCAAUAUUGACAUGUGUAGUAGCAACUAUGACAUAUGCGAUACCAAACAUUGACAUAUAUAAAGCAAUUAUGAUAUAUAUAAAAUCUAACCUUGACAUAUAUAUUUAGAAAUCUUGACAUAUGUGGGAUUAAUCAUGACAUAUAUGACGUCUGACCUUGACACUUGUUGGAGUAACCUUAACAAAAGAGUAAGUUGACCUUGACAUAAGAUCAAGUAAUCUUGUCAUAUGUUAAAUUCAACAUUGACAUAAGUAAAUGAAACAUUGAUAGAUAUCAUACUAUUAAGAUUUCAUCAUUAGUGGAAAUAAAGAAAUCUUGACAUAUGGAUAUGUCAAGGUAGCUUUAGACUUUUCUUGACACUGGCAUAGAUGACAUAUACGAAUAGUAACCUAUCUUGACAGAUAUACCUUAUCUUAACGGUGAAAAACUGUCAACAAGGGCCUUUUUUCUUGUAGUGCCAGUUCAUAAGGAGACCAAAUGCAAUGGAUAGUAGGUCAUGGACUUGAGUACUUUGUAGUGGAGUGAAGUUGAUUCUAUGUAGUAAGAUGUUAAAUCAAUUUUAGAAUUGAAUUAUGAGGGAGUCAAUACUAUCCUAUUGGUCCCAAUGGUCCCUACUUGAGCUCAUAUGUCUUAUUGGUAUGGUUUAUGAGAAUUGGAUUGACUCAUGGUUCACUUUUAUGAGUAAAGGCUUUUUGGUAACUAUGCUAGGUUGCAUAGGGGUUAGUGAACAAAGUUUCUAGAUUGGGCUAAUUGAUUAAUUAAAAGACUUUGUGGGUUAGUUAAUUAAUUAUAAUCUAUUUUAGCUAGAUUAGGUGACCCAAGCCCUUAGUAGGCUCAAGUCACUUAAACCAAUUAGGGAACCUUAUAAAUACUCUUUUAGGGGUGAAGUAGUUGUCUUCUAUAAUGUAGAGAGAAUAAAGAGCCACAACUUCCUCCCUCACAACCUUCUCACUAGUUAAAUGCCAAAAUCAAGGUAUAGUCAAUGCAAUAGAAGAUCUUAGGUUUUUAAGACCUUCAACUACUUUGUUCAGAUACUUCACUGCAUGGAUUUGAUUUGGGAACAUCCAAAUCAAGGUAAAAGUUUUCUAUCUUGAUAUCUAAAUCCUAUUAUUCAUUUAAAAUGCAUGUUUCCCUUUGUGCUUAGGAUUUAAAGAAAACUUAGGAAGAUUUGCAUGUAUCUAACAUGAUCUAGGUAUAGGAAACAAAAAUAUCUAGGAUUCUUUACAAAAAUCCAGUGGAUAGUAGGUUAUAGGCCUAAACUUUAACUUAUUAUAAUUAUAUAAGAUAUUAGAGUGUAGUUGAUUCUCUUUAAUGGAGUGUUGAGUCAACGUCAAAAUUGGAUUUUAAGAGCCAAUAUUUUCCUAUGGGUUCCAGUAGUCUCCACCCGAACUCCCAUUUCAUGGUGGCACAUUUGUUUGAGGAAUUUUGUGUUUGUAGUUCACUAAUGUGCAUAAGUGGCAUUUUGGUAAAAGUAAAAAGUUGCACUAGAUCUUGUGUGCAGUAGGACUAAUUAAAUUAAUUAGAACGGAAGUGAGAUGAAGUAAGUGACCUAAGGCCAAUUUGGACUCAAGUCACUUAAGCCCAUAGGGAAGUCUAUAAAUACCACCUUAGGGGUGAGAGCUUCAAACUUUUGUCAUUUUUCUUUUAGAAAGAGAAAGCAAACCCUAACCACCUUUAAGUGAGAGAAAAAGAGAGAAGCUUUCCCUUCUCUUACGCGAAGGUUUGUUGUGAAAGAAAAGAUCGGGUGCAAGAUUAUUAGGUAAAUGACUUCUAUGACACAUUCUAGGGAUUGGAUUGAAUAUGGGAACAUCCAAAUCAUAGGAAUGAAUUCUAAUAUCUAAAUCUAGUAUAUUUUAUGGAUUUUAUAACUAUAUUUUUCCAUUGCAUUAGAUCUAGAGAAGCCUAGAGAUAGUUAGAUGGACUUUAUAUGAUCCAAGGUUAAGGAACAGAUUAAUUCGAAGUUCCCAUCGAAGUUAGUGAACAAUAUUUCUAGAUUAUUAGGUUGAUUAAUUAAUUUAAGCCCCCAAUUAGAAACCUUUUUAGUUUAAAUUAAAUGGCUCAAGUCUAAGGUAUGCUCAAGUAACUUAAGCCUAAUGGGAAGCCUUUAAAUACCUCUUGAGGGGUUAGGGUGUAGACCCACAUUUUUCACGUGCGUUCCCACUUGAUCGGCGAGACUCGCUUUUUAUUUGGUGAAAAAUUAAUUUUGGAAAAUUCGGAAUCGCCAUUUAUUUUAUUUUAUUUUAAAAGGGAAAAUAAAACAAGAAAUAAAACCCUAAAAAAUGACUUCAUAGUUUUUGGAAAAGCGUGUCUUUAAAAAACCCGAGUCUAGGUCUGAGGAUCAGGUUACUUAUUGAGAAGGUAUCUCUAGGAGGUAACACCCCUCUAAGCCCUAUAAAAGUCUCUACUGACUAAGUUAAGGGAAAUGUGACAAUUAAUUGAUUAAUUAUAGAUACCUAGGUAGGCUAGGUGAUUUCGAAAAAUAGCAUGCUAAACAAGAAAACCGAUCACAAAUCAUAAAGAAGAUUUAGGGUGCGUACCUGGACCACUUCUUAAGUGCUAUCACAAAACAUCAAAGGUUACUUUAAAUAGUAUAUCACCCAACAUGCACUUUAUCAUAAAUGAUCGAACAAUGUAACAAAAUCAAGACACCUAAGCACUAUCAAACAUAGGCAUAAUUCAUAAUGACAAUCAUAUUUAUAGAAUUUAGAAAGUGGGUGUUAGGGAGCGUACUUAGAUAGCAUAGAUAACUCAUAAUACGCUUCCUCGAGACAUGGAGGGUUAGAUAAUAAAUAAUAAAAUAAGAAAUUCUAGCAUGCUUGUUAUUUAAUUAGCAUGACAAAAAAAAUGAUCAAAGUAUACUAAAUCAUCAAUUAUCACACACAUCUUGUAUACAAUUCUUAAAAAAAAAAGAUAGAUAUGAUUACAACAAAUAGCAAGAGUGGUAGCAAAAAUAAGUUUUGAAAAGAUUUUCUUAUAUAGGGGUUUCACCAAUUCCCCAAUCGAUAUACACGAAUUUAGCCUAGAAUUAUCCAAUUUAUUUGGGACCACAAGCUUUGAUUCGUGUUUUGUUCAAAACCAAAUUUUUUAUUGAAAACUGAGAAAGAUGCGAACCGAUUAAAAAAAUGGUUGCAUAUUAUUUUAAGAGAAUGAGAUUUUGAUUCUAAAGACUCUAAAUGUACUUUUUUUUAAAUAGAUUUUCAAAGGGGUCUUUUGAGAAAAGUGUUUUGUUUUAAAAUAAAAGAAAUUAAUUUCGAAAACAACAAAACAUAGAAAACAAAAUACCAACAAAAAAAAAGGAAACAAAAAUCACAAAAUAAAGAUUUAGACAAUCAUGCCAAUUAAAGUAGUGAGAGUAGGGCCAACCUUCAUGGGUUUCCAGUGGCCUUCAAAAAAAGGAUUUGACCAACAAUCACUAAGGCAACAAAAUUAUGACUUCCUAAUCAAACAAACUAAUAAAAAUAUUAUCCAAGACUAACAUUUAGAUUUCAAAAAACACAUGAAUUAAGAUAAAAAAAAAAAAUCCAAUCAAGGAUUAAAGUCAACAAACUUAGCAUAUGGAGAUAAUAAUGUGGGAUUGAUUAAGGUAAAUUAACAUUCUAACAAAAUAUGAUAAAUCAAAAACCAAAAUUUAGCAAUCUUGAAAAUAUGAAAACAAUAACAUGCAAUUAACUAGAUUGAUUAUCUAAAAUUCCUAAAAACUCGAACUAAAUAUUAAUAGAUCAAAACCAAAAUAUGCCAUGCUCAAAAUAUGAAAAAUAAUAACACGUGAUUAACUAAAUUAAUUAGCUAAAAUUAUAAUAGUCAACUACAAAAUUGGAUAUAAAUGGAUUAAAAUCAAAAUUAACGAAAUAAAAAACGCACAAACACAUUCAAACUAAAAAUAAUUAAUACUAGAUUAAAUUAGAAUUAAAAACAUCAACAUCAUCUAAUAAGAUUGGCUAAACUAUUAAAUUGAAAUUGCAAAUACAUUUAAACUAAAGCAAAUAAAUAAAUUAGCAAAUUAAAACUAAACUACAAUCGGAAUUAAGACAAAAAAACAUGAAAUUUGUCUAAGAGGUUUGGUCAAACAAUUGAAUUAAAAUCAUGAACGCUUUCAAAUUAUAGAAUAAAUUAAAACUAAACUAGAUUGAGAUUAAACUCUAUCUAAGAAAAUUAGUUAAUUAAACUAAUAAAAUCAAAAUCAACAAUCAAAACUAAACUAAAGAAUAAAUUAAGACAAAACUAAUUGGAUUAAAAUCACAAACACAUUUAAACUAUCAUAUAGAUUAAAAUAAAUUAGCAUGGAACUAAUGAACUACAAUCACAAAAGAAGAAAAAAAAAGUCUAUUCUAAAAAAAAUGCGCAAAUUGAGAUUUAAAAGAAUUGAGCACAAAGAAUUAAUUAAAUCAAUGAACUAACAUCUAAAUUAAAAAAAAAAAAAUCUGUCAAAAACUGACCUGUGUUGUGAAAGAAAAAAUCCUCUCUUUGUGCGUCAAAGUGGCAACCCGAUCUUUGUCUGAAGUCUUCUGCUGCUCCCCAAAAACUCUUGUGCGUGUCCUUUCUGAAAAAAAAAAAAUUCCCCCUUGAUCUGUUCUCCUCCUCUUAUUUAUAUGGCAGCCCACUCCUAUGGAAUAUUUUAUUUCCUUUUUGGAGAUAUAUUUCCAACCUUAAAGGAGAUCCAAAUUUCCAAACUUCUGAUGGCACUUUCUAUUUCAAUACCCAUUGUCUCUCAAUGUUGUAGUCCCCAAUCUCCCUUCUAAAAAUGUUGUCAAAAUCUUCCCUGCCUCAUCUCUUGUCGAACCCUUGGAUCCUAUUGGCUAUUGUUGAAUCUGAGUGCAAUGUCAUUUGCAGAUGUCAUGAACAACUCAUCUAGCAAGCCUCUGCUGCCCCCUAUUGACCCUACGCCAACAAACUCAACUUCUCACAUCAUAUGUCAUUUUGUACGUGGGACUCACUGGAUNNNNNNNNNNNNNNNNNNNNNNNNNNNNNNNNNNNNNNNNNNNNNNNNNNNNNNNNNNNNNNNNNNNNNNNNNNNNNNNNNNNNNNNNNNNNNNNNNNNNCCCCCAUGGCAUUUCUUAUUCAUUCCAUCAUCAAUUCUCUCCACUUCUUAUCCUUUCUUCCAAGUGCUUGGUAUUCAAGACCGUUCAAGUCAUCAAGUGAUUUGUUGUUUCUUGUGAUUUGAAGUGCUACUAUCACAAGAAAGUGAUCGUUGUAUCCUGGGAGACGAUUGUCAACAAACCAUAAGCACCAGUGUGGGGCAAAUUUAUCUUAAGGACAUAGAGUCAAACUUUAGCCUCGAUCAACCAUUUGUACGAUUCAAUAUUUACUUACCUUCUCAUUUAUUUAUUAUAUGUAAUUAUUUGACCAUACAUUUGUGAUAAUUCCAGAAUAACAAUCUUAAGACGAAUUUCUUUUUAAUCUUUUGCUUCUGUCUAUGUUUUUAAUUCAGUUAAUAACAUGACCUUUACAAAUAUUAUUGAUACCCCUGUUGUUACACCUACUACUACCCAUGGUGAGAAACCAGAGAAAUUCACUAGGUUGGACUUCAAGCAGUGGCAACAAAAGCUGUUGUUUUAUCUCACAACACUUAACUUGGCUAAAGUGUUGCAUGAAGAUGCACCUACCUUAAAGGAGGAAGAGACUAACAAGCAAAUUGUGGCAGCAGUUGAAGCAUAGAAACAUUCAGAUUUUCUAUGCAAAAAUUACAUCCUCAAUGGACUUGACAACACGAUGUAUAAUGUGUAUAGUCAAGUGAAGACAACUAAGGAGCUGUGGGAGACUUUGGAGAAGAAAUACAAGACUGAAAAUGCUAGCAUGAAAAAAUUCAUAGUUGGUAGAUUUCUAGAUUACAAAAUGGUUGACUCCAAGACAGUGAUAAGCCAAGUCCAAGAGCUUCAAAUAAUUUUGCAUGAAUUACAUGCUGAGAAGAUGGAAUUAAGUGAGUCCUUUCAAGUUGCAGCGAUUGUUGAAAAGUUACCACCAUCUUGGAAGGACUUCAAGAAUUAUCUGAAACACAAGCGCAAGAAAAUGGGGCUUGAGGACUUGAUUGUGAGACUGAAAAUUGAGGAAGAUAUUCGUGUUUUUUAGAAGAAAGUGGGAAAACAUCCCAUGGAGUCCAAGGCAAACUUGGUGGAACCAAAGGCUAAUAAAAAGAGAAAGCACUUUGGUGAAGGUCCAAGUCAAGGAAAGAAUAAAUACAAGAAGUUUGUUGGGAAGUGUUACAUUUGUAAUAAGCAAGGCCAUAGGGCCAAGGAUUGCCGCUUGAAAGGACAAAGUAAUGAAAAUAAAACACAAGUGACUGAGGAAGAGGAGUUGGCAAACAUGCUUUCCGCAUUGGUACUGUUUGAAGCUAACAUGGUAGAUAACCCAAACGAAUGGUGGGUUGACACAAGUGCCACCCGUCAUGUUUGUGGAGAAAGAAACAUGUUCUCCACAUAUGUACCAGUCAAUGGUAGAAAUUUGAUCAUGGGAAAUUUUGCCACAUCUAGGGUUGUGGGAAUUGGAAAAGUGGUGCUAAAGAUUACUUCUAGAAAAGAACUUGUUCUCAUAUAUGUGCUACAUGUGCCUGAUAUUUGCAAGAAUCUUAUUUCUAGUUCUAUGCUUAGCGAAAAUGGGUUCAAGUUAGUUUUCGAGUCUGACAAAUUUGUAUUCAUGAAAAAUGGGAUGUAUGUGGGUAAGGGGUAUAUGACCAAUGGCCUGUUUAAGAUGAAUGUAAUGAUUGUUAAGCGUGAUUUCAAUAAUAAUAAAGCAAGUACUGCUGUUUACUUGAUUGAGUCUUUUACUUUGUGGCAUGAUAGGUUAGGACAUGUUAACAAUAAAACUUUAAAAAGGUUGAUUAACAUGAAUUUGUUGCCUUUUUUUAGCAUUGAUUUUAAACAUAAAUGUGAAGUGUGUGUGGAAGCCAAGAUGGCUAAGCCACCGUUUCAUUCAAUUCAAAGGAACACAGAACCUCUGGAUUUAAUUCAUAGUGACAUCUGUGACUUAAAGUUUAUACAAACAAGAGGAGGGAAAAGAUAUUUUAUUACCUUUAUAGAUGAUUAUACAAGAUACUUUUAUGUGUAUUUGCUAAGAAGCAAAGAUGAGGCCUUAGAUGUGUUUAAACACUACAAGAAUGAGGUUGAAAAUCAACUUAGCAGAAAGAUUAAGGCAAUAAGAAGUGAUAGAGGUGGAGAGUAUGAAGCUCCUUUUGGAGAAUUUUGUUCAGAACAUGGAAUAAUCCACCAAACUACUACUCCUUAUUCACCUCAAUCGAACGGUGUUGUUAGCGCAAGAACCGUACAUUAAAGGAAAUGAUGGAUGCUAUGUUGAUAAGUUCGGGUCCACCCCAAAACUUAUGGGGAGAAGCAAUUCUUUCUGCAAACCACAUUCUUAACAAGAUACCACAUAAGAAUAAGGAUGUAACUUCAUAUGAGUUAUAGAAGGGUCACAAACCCUCUUACAAAUAUUUGAAAGUGUGGGGGUGUUUGGCUAAAGUAGGAGUGCCUAAACCUAAACAAGUUAAGAUUGGGCCUAAAACUAUUGAUUGUGUAUUUAUUGGAUAUGCAAACAAUAGUUGUGCAUAUCGUUUUCUUGUACAUAAGUCUGACAUUCCUAAUAUACAUAAAGAUACAAUUAUUGAGUCUAAGAAUGCGUCAUUUUUUUAGAAUAUUUUUCCUUGUAAAGAAAAGCAAGAAGUAAGUUCAAAUAAGAGAACUUAUGAUACUGUAAAUGGUAAUCAUCAAAAUGAGGAAGAAAUAAGAUGCAGUUAGAGAGCCAAGAAGACAAAGUCUUUUGGCUUGGAUUAUCUAACUUACAUGUUAGAUAACGAACCCAAGACAUUCAAAGAAGCAAUGUCAACACCAGAAGCCCCAUUUUGGAAAGAGGCUAUCAAUAGUGAAAUUGAAUCCAUCAUGCAUAACCACACAUGGAAAUUGGUGGAUUUACCACCAGGAAAUAAACCUUUGGGUUGCAAAUGGAUCUUCAAGAAAAAGAUGAAGCCUGAUGGAACAAUAGAUAAGUACAAGGCUAGAUUGGAGCCAAAGGAUUUAAAUAAAAGGAAGGCCUUGAUUUCUUUGAUACAUAUUCACCAGUUACGAGAAUAACAUCUAUUAGAGUGUUAAUUGCAAUCGCAGCAUUGCAUAAUUUGGAAAUUCAUCAAAUGGAUGUUAAGACAAUCUUUUUAAAUGGGGAGUUAGAAGAAGAAAUAUAUAUGGAACAACCUGAAGGGUUUGUUGCUCCUGGACUAGAAAAAAAGGUGUGUAAGUUGAUAAAGUCCCUAUAUGGGCUAAAACAAGCACCAAAACAAUGACAUUAGAAAUUUGACAAAGUAAUGUUGUCAAAUGAUUUUAAAAUUAAUGGAUGUGAUAAAUGUGCAUAUACAAAGAAUACACAAAGUGAGUAUGUCAUUGUGUGCUUGUACGUGGAUGAUAUGUUAAUUAUUGGUAGCAAUAAUGAUGUCAUUAAAGCUACUAAGAAAAUGCUGACCAAUUAUUUUGAUAUGAAAGACAUGGGUGUCGUAGACGUGAUCUUAGGUAUAAAAAUGGCCAAGACAUCUAGUGGACUAAUAUUAUCUCAAUGUCAUUACAUUGAGAAAAUUCUUAAACGGUUUAACUAAUAUGAUGAUAGUCCAAUUAAGACACCAGUAGAUUUAAAUCUAUAUUUAGCUAAAAAUAAUGGUCGAGUAAUUGACCAGUUGGAAUAUUCUUGUAUCAUUGGUAGUUUAAUGUAUGUCAUAAACUGCACGCGUCCAGACAUAGCCUACGCAGUUAAUAAACUAAGUAGGUUCACUAAUAAUCCGGGAAAAGACCAUUGGAAGGCGUUGAUUAGGGUUCUUAGAUAUCUAAGAUACACCCUAAACUAUGGACAUCAUUAUUUAAGGUAUCCAGCCAUACUAGAAGGAUAUAGUGAUGCAAAUUAGAUAUCUGAUACAAAGGACUCAAAGUCCACAAGUGGAUAUGUAUUCACAAUUGGUGGUGGUGCGAUAUCAUGGAAGUCAUCUAAACAAACAUGUAUUGCAAGAUCAAUGAUGGAAUCUAAAUUUAUUGCUUUAGAUAAAGUAGGGGAAGAAGCAGAAUGGCUUCAUAAUUUUCUAGAAGACAUUCCAUGUUGGCCAAAACCAAUGCCUGCAAUAUGUAUACAUUGUGAUAGUCAAUCAGCGAUUGGAAGAGCACAAAGUAGCAUGUACAAUGGUAAGUCUCGACACAUCCGUCACAUACAUAAUAUUGUAAGGCAGUUACUUGUAAAUGGAAUUAUUUCCAUUGAUUAUGUUAAGUCAAAGGACAACUUGGUGGAUCCACUAACUAAAGGAUUGUCUAGAGAUCAAGUAAACUGCUCAUCGAGGGGAAUGGGAUUAAGGCUUAUCACUAAAGAGUUUCAUAAUGGAAACCUAACCUAGCUGACUAGAGAUCCCAAGACCUAGCUAGGUUCAAUGAGGAACUAAAUUAUGAAAUACUCUGUGAAGAGCACUAGGGAAAAAUAAAUUCCUACCCAUUCCUAUGGUGAAGUAGUGCUAUACAAGAUGUGUUUAGGAUAAGCUAUGCUUUUAAUGAUUCUAAUAAUUUGAAAGAGUUCAAGUGGAGUAUGGUAGAAUAUUCGCACUUGUAACGGCUAAAAUGAACACAACCGUGAGAAUCAAUGGUGAUCUGGAAAGGAAUUGUGUGAAUACUAUUGUCUUGAUUUACAUCAAUAGCUGAAUAGUUCAAGACAUCACAUUCACUGAUUAGCUAGUAAAUCCGAUAGUAUUUCACUAAGGUUCAGAGCCAUAAACUACCUAUCCUGAUGCGAUCACUUUCCAAUUUUGUAUUCUCUUGAUUGUUUAGUUUUCCAUUUGCCUUUUUUAAGUCAAUUUCCAUUCAUGUGGGGGAUUGUUGGGAUAUUUAUAGGUGAAUGGAAAUUAAGACAUACUGUUUCAAUUAGACACAACUCUUCGUAAUGGACACAACUUGUGUCAAAGGAUAUGUCAAGUAUUUAAGACACAUCUCUUCUAAGAGUCACUAGAAAACCUAUAAAUAGGGGGGCCCCAUGGCAUUUCUAAUUCAUUCCAUCAUCAAUUCUCUCCACUUCUUCUCCUUUCUUCCAGGUGCUUGGUAUUCAAGAGAGUUCAAGUCAUCAAAUGAUUCACUGUUUCUUGUGAUUUGGAGUGCUACUAUCACAAGAUAGUGAUCGUUGUAUCCUGGGAGACGAUUGUCAACAAACCGUAUGCACCAAUGCAGGGCAAAUUCGUAUUAAGGACAUAGAGUCAAACUCUAACCUCGAUCAACCGUUUGUAAGAUUCAAUAUUUACUUACCUUCUCGCUUAUUUAUUAUACAUAAUUAUUUGACCAUACAUUUGUGAUAAUUCCAAAAUAACAGUUGAAUCCUCGGCCACAGCCUUUGCGGCAGCUAGAAACAAUUCCAGAAGGAUUCGUGGAAGGACAGUUGUUGAUGUAGAUUUGGAAGUACACACAACAAGACCUCUUAAUAACCGCAACAAGCGUGGAAGAGCUCCAGAACAAUCUUGGCAUGUUCCGCUUCUGCCACCCAAGGAGCCCACCUUCAACUGUAGGAAAAGGGUCACCAUGAAAGAUACCAUCAGAAUUUAACUUCCUGCAGCCAGCUGAGUAUGAUGCCUGGGCCAAUCAUGUAAUUAUGCAUAGGCUUAAAGAUUUUCAGCGUACAAGAAGGUGGGUUAUAAAGACUGGCUUUUGGAGGAUAGAAAGAGAAAUGAAAGAUGGCUCUUGGCAUGUUAUCAGACUCUUUUAUUUUUGCCCUCACAGACGGUGAUCCUCGUCUGCACGCUCUUGAACUCCGAUAUCCGACAUCGUAUGGUGAUGCCACCUGGGCGCUGAAAUGUAUACUCCUCCUCGGAUUCUCUCAGAAACUCACCAAACAAUGGGUGAUCGAAGUAUAUCACCGACACAAGGACUCGUGGAAGUCACCGUCUUUUUGAUCCACGUACACCGCCAGAUGGCCUUUCGGAACCGUCACCGCUAGCAUCUCCUCACCCACCAGAAGGUAACCAGAGAAACGAGCCGGAUCCGAGUUCAACAAACAUGUCUUUUUGGCCUUGGUUUUGAGACGUUGACCCCAGUUGCAGAGUCGAGAAAUUGUCUUGGUCUUGCCAGUCGGUAGCCAGAGACGGUGGUACCCAAAUGGGUUUCGGUGGAAAAAACCAUCCGUAGAACUUGACGACCUGUUUUCCUAGUUUGAAGCCCCUGAUCUUUCUCAUGGUGUAAGUGUUUGGUGCGAGAGAAAAAUUCAGAAGCUAUAAAUUACCAGAAUUUUCAAAAGAAAGAAAACGGUAAGAUUUGGCUCAGGAGAAAGGUCAUGGAGCUUUUUGUCUUAAACCCUUUCUCUUCGUCAACACUUAACGGUGGCAGUGGAGAUGUGGAGGAGGAUGGGUUUUCUAUUCUGAAAACAGAUGGAUAUGGUGCGGCGGACUACUCCAGAAGUGAUGAAGUCUAUAGGCGACCCAUUGAGUUUCAAUGGCGGUGCACUACACCAACAGUUAUGAAUUUGCCUUUUUCAAUACAGAAUUUGCUUCUUCAAGAGAACGUCCAAGAAGUCUCGCUAUCGGUGUGGUGGCUCCUUUUUAUACCAGCAUCAGAAGUCACUGGAACUCCAGCUGUCACUCAUUCUCAGGCAUGGUGUGCAUGUCCUCAUGUUCACGUGUUCUUCACACCGGAUCAUUCUCUCUAGAGACUUCCAGAGAGCCUCCAAAAAAUGCCUGACCUCUAAUGCCAUGCCACCUCACGUGACAGCUCUCACCAACUUCAUCUUUUUGUUUUCACAGGAGCCUCCCAUUCCUAAAUAUGCAAUCGUCUCCUCAUGCAAAACAGAAUAAAAUAAAAUAAAAAAAAAUAAAAAAAAAGAGAAGAAACUAAUGAAAAUCAUGAGAUUGGUAAUAAAAUAAAACAUGAUUUAAAAGAAAAAAAAGAGAGACCAGAUUAUAUAAUUCCAUCAUUCAAUAAGGGGGUCGUAUGUAUAUUUAAAGUCUAAACAAUUCAAGCAAUUUUCUAUUAAGUAAAUAAAAAAUAAAAAUAAAUAAUAAAAGUAAAAAUAAAAAUGAAUAUAAUUAUCAAAUGCAUGCAAUAAUAAUAAAAAGAUUAUACAUAAAAAAGUUAAGCCUCAAUGAAGUGUCUAAGUGGGCCUAAGUGGGUGCCUAAUGAGCCAAGUGCGUCUAAGUGAACUUAAGGUGUCUAAACGAGCCUAGGGUGAGACUAGGUGGGUCUAAUUAAGUCUAACCUAAAGUGCACCUAAGUAAAACCUAAUCAAAAUCAAGACUAUCAAGGAUCAUAAUAAGGGGUCAAAUAAUCCCUCAACCAGAGUUUCCGAGGUGGCUCUAAAAAAAUGGGCUACACGAGAAGUAAUGGGCCACCAAGGAAUUGUUGUAAAGUACGGAACAAAUACCUAAUAAGACAUGUGCUAGAAUGAUAAAAUGGAGGGUCUACAUAGGGCUUCAGACUCUUAGACUUUUACUUCUUCCAUUCUCUUUUACAUGUCUAGAGAGAGAGAACCUAGCCCCUCCACUUUUCUCAAUCUCUACCAUCUAAGUAUCUAGCUUCAAGGAGAGUCAUUGAGGAGAAAACCAAUGGUUUCAUGAGAUUUUCAAUGACUACUAUGCGUUUGAGAACCUUCUUCACCACAAGGCUGUUUUGCUUCAUUGGUGGGGGAUAAGCUUAGGAAAGCAUGUAUGCACCUAACAAGAUCUAGGGAUAUAAAAUGGAGUGAUCUAUUUUUUCCUACAAUUUUAGCUUUCUUACUUGUAGUUUUAAUUGACCAUAUGUAUAGCUUUUCUUGGUUAAAAUUUUAAUUUUUUUGAAUGAUGUACAAUGCACUUAUUUUGUUUUUGAAAAGAAUGUUUUUAUUUUUCUUAAUAACGUACUUUUUUUUUUGAAGGAUAUACUUAAUUUUUUAAGAAAUGUAUUUAAUUUUUCUAAAGAAUUCACUUAUUUUUCUAAGGAAUCUAGUUAUUUUUCUUAGAGAUAUACUUAUUUUUUAACAACGUACUUGUUUUUUUUCAUAUUGUACUUCUUUUAAAAAUGUACUUAUUUAUACUAUCACAAAUAAUUGAAAUUAAUUAGCAAAUUAUACUAAAACAUUAAUGUAUAUGAUUCAUAUACAAUGUACUUAUUUUCUUAGGAAAGCAUUUUCUAAAGAAUGUUCUUAGUUUUUUUUAGGGAUGUACUUAUAUUAUUUAAGGAUAAACUUAUUUAUAUUGAUAGAAAUAAGUGAAAGUUGGUGAGAAAUUUAUGAUAAAACAUUAGUAAAUAUAAUUAAUGAUAUUCGAUAAUAAUAUACAUAAUUUAAGAAUUUAAAAUAUAUUUAAUAUUCAACAUAUAAAAGAACUUAUGAUAUAUAUAUAUUAUUUUGAUGAUUUGUAUAAUUUGAAUAAUUUUUAAAUGGAAUAUGAAAAUGAAAUAAUUAAAAUGUACAAACGUAGUCCUGUAAGCCAUUGAUUAAUGUGCUUAUCGUGAUCAAAGAUUCAGAUAAUGUAUAUUAAUUGAAAAUUUAUUAGCAAAUAAUAGUCAAACGUUAAUGUAUAUAAUUUAUAUACAAUGAACUUUUUUUUGAGGAAUGCAUUUUCUAAAGGAUAUUCUUACUUUUUGGAGGCAUGUGCUUAUUUUUUUAAGGCUAAACUUAUUUAGAUUGGAGCAAAUAAGUGAAAGUCCAUGAGAAAUUCAUGAUAAAACAUUAAUGCACAUAAUUUAUAUAUUAUGUACUCAUUUUUUAUUUUUUUAGAAAUGUACAAAUAAUGGAAAGUUCAUUAGCAAUUUAUAGUAAAAUAUUAAUGUACAUAUUUUUUUGAAGGAUGUAUAAUAUACGUAUUUUUUAAAGGAAUGUAUAUAUUUUUUUUCAAGAUAUAGUUAUUACAUACCUAAGACUACAUUUAUGUUCAUAUUGAAAUUAAAGAGCUUUCAUAAGAGAAAGUGUAGCCACUUGAUCAUAUAAAAAAAUAAAAGAAAAGAAAAACAGAAAUAAAAGGGUAUAUAUCAAACACUUUCAAUUAUGAUUUAUCAUAUCAAAGAUUUGAAAAAGGGACAAUUCAUUUAGUAGUUAUUUAAAUGCGUAUUUUAGAAAUAAUUUUAUCCAUUGUGUGUUUGGGAUGAAAUGUGAAAGUUGGAAUCCUAAAAAAUAUACUUAUAUAUUUUUUAAUUAAUGUAUGUAACCAUAGUUCUCCCAAAAUAUGGCCAGGCUUCAUCAUACUUCUGUUUUGAAAUGUUAAAAUUUAAAAAUAAUUUUUCAUGAAUCACUUUUAAAUGUUUUUUAUAGAAAAAAAUUAAAAUAUAAAGUAUGAUGUAUUUUUUCAACUUUGAAAAAUUCUCUAAACAUAUUUUUAAGUCAUAAAUUAACACCAACUUUUGUCACUUCUUAUUCUUCUAUAUCAAAAGACUAACAAUAAUCAUGUUAUUUAUACGCAUAAAAUUAAUUAAAAUCAUUUAAGAUCAUGAUUUUUUUUAAAAUUUUUGUUAUUUAAUUAUAAAAAAAUUAAUUUUUUUAAUGAGAAGAAAAAAAACAAGGCUUAAUAACCAUAUUUAACAUUUUUAAAAUAAAUAAAUAAAAGCAAAGGUAUAUCCAAAUAAUACCUCAUUUGCUCAAUUCAAUUAUCGCAUGCCCUAAGUAUCAAAGUAGUUGACUAAGAGUGAGUUUGAUAGUAACUUUAGAAAGAUUAAAACACUUCUUCGAAUUACCACCAAAUAUAUUUUAAGGCACGCAAGGAAAAGUAAUCUCUUCUAUUAUUAUUAUUAUUAUUAUAAUUAUCAUACUGCCUUAUAGAAAGGACUUCUAUAAUUCAAAAUAAUCACAUGGUAAAAAUAGAUUUUAUUUGUUUGUAUCUUAUAAUGAUCUUAUUAUAUAUAUAUAUAUAUCUUAUCCUUUAUACAUGCAUUUUUUUUUUCAGUUUUGGUCGUAUAUUUUUAAUUUAAUAUUAAAAAAAAAAUUUACGCUUUUUGUCAAUGUCUCAAAUUUCAAAUAUGUUCAUGCUCUAGAAAUUCUCAAGUUGUAGUCUUGUAGCCUAGAAUGUGAAGUGAGAGUUUGAUGAAAAACGAAAAAAACAAAGAUAUAAAAUAUAAUUUGUGAGUAAGGAUGAAAAUAUCAGUUUUGACAGAUAUAUUAGUAACUCGAUUUUAUAGAUAUCAGGGUAUAUUAGAAAAUAUUGGUAAAUAUUUUGACACAAAAUAUCAAUGAUAAAAAAUUGAUCAAAACUCAUGGAAAUUAAAAAAAAAAAAACUCUUAAACAUGAUAAAAUAAACAAUAAUAUAUUUAUUAAAGUUUUUUUUUAUUAUUGUAAAACUUAAAACACAAAAUUAUCAACAAAUAUCAAUGAAAAAUUUGAAAAAAAAAAUCAAAAUUAAUAAAAACUCAUAAAAUAUUAGUAAAAACUAAAUAUAUAUAUAUAUAUAUAUAUAUAUAUAUAUAUAUAUAUAAGAAGCAAUAAUACACAUAAUGAAGUUAUUUAUUAAAAAAAUUGAUAUAAUUUAAUAUAAUUAAUGAUAUUUGAUAACAAUAUAUCUAAUUUAAGAAUUGAAAAUAUAUUUAAUAUUCAAAAUAUAAAAGAAGUUAAUAUAUAUAUAUAUAUAUAUAUAUAUAUAUAGAUAUUAUGAUGAUGAUUCGUAUAAUUUGAAUAUUUUUUAAAUGGAAUAUGAAAAUGAAAUAAUUAAAAUUAAUUUACUUAUUAUUAUUUUAUUUUAUCAGUCUAGGAAUGCAACUAUUUUUAAUUUAUGUGUGUUGCAUAUUUAAAAAAUGUUGAACUAGCUUAGUUGGCCAAAGCCCCAUCCAUGCGCACCCGAGACCCAGGUUAAAGCCUUAGUGUUGUUUCCAUUAAAAAAUUUCAAACGUUGACCCAAUAAUUUCAAUAUUGACAUUUUCAUCCUUGUCUACAAGUACUUGUGUUGGGAUCCAUGCAAUAAUUAAUGGCGGAAAAAUAGAAAAACGAGAAAGAAGAACACAAAGAUUUAACGUGGUUCAACUAAUUACCUACGUCCACGGGAAUAGGGAAAGAUGAUUUUCACUAUGUUAAAAUUAAGGUUACAUAAAAGGGUAUUUAUACUAACCCUUAGGAAUGAAAAUUCAAAAAACACCCCUGAACCCUACACCCCUCAACCUAUCGUUCACCUCACAACAAAAGAAAUACAAGCCUGAAUGACAAAUUCCGUCGCUAUGCUGCCAUUCCACUCCACUUCGCUCCCGCAUUUUGCCCAUUUUUCUCCAUAUGUCUUUUCGAUCAAAUAUGAGCCACAUACUACAACAAUCUCCACCUUGGCAAAUAUUCACUCCCCCCUUAGGAGACAAGAAACAUUGCUUAUAACUCCACCUGGGACAAUAGGUUGGGGUAUCUCCCAUCUAGCAACUAGAGACAUUAAUCAAGUUCAAGCAAUGCUUGAACUUUUCUGUGGUAACAGGCUUUGUCAACAUGUUUGCUGUGUUCUUAGAGGUGUGGACCUUCACAAGUAACAGUUCACUAGAAGAAACCAAUUCCCUGAUCUUAUGAAACCUCACAUCUAUGUGUUUGGUCCUUGCAUGAUACACCUGGUUCUUUUCCAAAUAAAUGGCACUCUGACUGUCACAAUAUAAUUGAACUCCACCUUGUUGAAUACCCAACUCCUUAAACAAACCUGUAAGCCAUAAUGAUUCCUUUGCAACCUCAACUAUUGCCAUAUAUUCUGACUUAGUAGUAGAUAGUGCAACUAAAGACUGUAUCAUAGACUUCCAACAAAUAGGUCCCCACCAAGGGUGAAUACAUAACUUGUGGUAGACCUCCUGUCAUCUAAGUCACCUGCAUAGUCUGCAUUAACAUAUCCUCUAACUGAAGAAUCACUUUGUUGUUUGAUGAACACGAUGCCAUAGUAUAGACCCGCAUUUUUCAUGUGCGCCCCCACUCGAUCGGCGAGACUCGCUUUUUAUUGGUGAAAAAUUAAUUUUGGAAAAAAAGUCGGAGUCACCACUUAUUUUAUUUUUAUUUUAAAGGGAAAAUAAAACAAGAAAGAAAAACCCUAAAAUGUGACUCCAUAAUUUUUGGAAAAAGCAUGUCUUUGAAACACCCGAGUCUAGGUCCGGGGAUCAGGUUACUUAUUGGGAAGGUACCUCUAGGAGGUAGCACCCCUCUAAGCCCUAAAGAGGUCUCUACUGACUAAAUUGGGGGAGAUGUGGCAAUUAAUUGAUUAAUUGGGGAUACCUAGAUAGACUAAGGUGAUUUAAAAAAAUAACAUGUGAUUACUACCAAAAAGUGCUAUUUUGUAGACCUAAUUAUAAUGGUUUUAAGCACCUUUGAGUAGUAAUCAUAUUCAUUUAACCCAAUUAAUUCAUUAAGGUCCUUAGUAAUUGGUUUUAACCUUUUUGUGGCAAGUUGACAUGUUUUUAUCAGCUUAUGAAUCGAUUCAAGCAUGCCAAUUGAUGGAGGAGCUAUUUGGGUGAGUUAAGCAAGGAUUUUGUACGUUUAUAGGCUUGAAUUUCAAGUGGAAACACGAGCACAAGCAAUGGAGAAGAGGAAAACAGAGUGAAGAAAACAGCUGCAGUCUUCCUUUGAACUUUUGAAGCACUUUCCGAAGUCUAUUUUUUGUAUGCUAUAUACCAUUUGAAAGCUUAGGAAGUCAAGAAUCCAACGCUUCAAACCGUGUAUGAUUUGGAGCUGAAAUGAGGAAGAUAUGGCCUUCGGAAGGCAACUGCAUCAUGUCAAAUGACCAAUUUCGCAAGGUGAAUUUCACAUUGCGAAAAUUUCGCAAGGAGAUUUUCUUCAUGGUGCGAAAUUUUGCCACUUCGCACCAUGAAGAAACACCUUGCGAAAAUUUCGCAAGGUGGAUUUAGGCACAUUGCAAAAUUCCUUUGAAUCCCCUGUUUUGAGACGUUGUUGAUGUUAUUCCACUACCGGUUCUCCAAGAUAUUUUGCUUGAUUUUUAGCUUUGUAAAUACCUAUUUUACCCUUGUAAUCAACCAAUGAAUAGGUUGCUUUUGUAAUAGCUCUUGUAAUUUAGCUUGUUAUUGUCUUUAAAUAGAGGUGAAGAGCCUCAGACACGCAUCAUCUAAUCUUGUAACCUGUAACUUUAUAAGUUAUAAGAGCACUUUUGUUCAGAAGCUUCUUUUCUCUUUUCUUUCUCAUUUUCUUAGUAGCCAAACACCCUUGGAGGAUGAAAUCCCCAAGGAUGAGAGGCUAAAACCUUUUAGUUUCUUGAAGUAAUGGAUGCCAUGUGAAGCUCCCGUGUCAGGAUGGAGAUUUCCAAGCCAUGAAUGUAAGUAGCUGAGCGUCAUAAAUGUUUUCAUUCAAAGUAAAGCUUUUAAUCCCUCUGACUUGCUUUGAAUGGCCAAUACUUGAUAACCUUUUGGUCUCAGUGGAUUCUUAUUGUUAAAUCCACUGACGUUCAUUAGUUAUCUCCUACGAGCCAUUGUAUUGCAAGUCGAGGAGAUGACCUAUAUCAUUAAAAGGGCAUUUAUGAGGUUCAGCUACCCUUUUUGUAAGUUUUCAAGGACUAAAACUCAGUUGUUAAACUCAUACCGGUUCGGGAAGUAAGCAUCACCUUAGUUGCUUCCCCAACUCGAGGUGAAAAGUCCCAAAAUCUCCAUUUUUACACAGUGAGUUAAGCAUGACUAUCCAAAGCUUUGAGAAACUUCUUUCUCCAUCUUUUAACCUAUUUUCAAGUUAGUUUAGUUUACAACACCUUUAUCUUUUUAUGUUUUCAUCUUAACCUAAUUUUUAUUAAGAAAAGUUCACUCCAUCCUCCGAACUUCACCAGUUAAAGUAAAAACCCUUCCCAGUGUUCGAUCCUAGAGCCACUAUGCUAUAGUAGCUUUGCUACUUUAGUGUAAGGACCUUAGGUUAUAAAUUUUGUUGAUACCUUACAUGCAAGCUACCAAGAGGCGGGUUAUCAAAUGGCGCCGUUGCCGGGGAAGGUGCUACUUCACUGUGAAUAUAUCAGCCGGAGGUAACUUGUGAGACUUCUCAUGAGUAAGGUGAAUUCUAUCUCCUUUUUCAUUUACUAACUUUUUAUUUUAGUUUUAGAACAUUUUUAACUUAGUUUAGAUAAGUUUCUUUUAGCUUUUAACUUUCAUUUUUAGUUUAUUUUUCAUACUCUGUUUUUCCUUCCGCAUGCUCUGUUUUUUUUUUUUCUUUUUCUUUGUUUUGUUUGUUUGCUUUGUUCCAGCUGAAUCCGUGCAUGCCCUAUUGGAUUAGAGACCAAGAGGGAAGGUUAGUGCGGAUAGAGACUCCACGAGCUAUUGAAUUAGAGAUUAUUUUAGAAGUCAUGGAGAAUCAGCCAGAGGAUCAACAUUCACAACACGGGCAGGGGAAUGAUCCGAACUUGUAUAGGUCCAUGAGGGACAGGAUGCACCCUCCGAGGAUGAGUGCACCAUCUUGCAUCAUUCCUCCUACAGAGCAAUUGAUUAUCAGGCCACACAUCGUGCCUCUGCUUCCUACUUUCCAUGGGAUGGAAAGUGAAAAUCCAUAUGCGCACAUAAAGGAAUUCGAAGAUGUGUGCAAUACUUUUCAAGAAGGGAGAACAGCUAUUGAGCUUAUGAGGUUGAAGCUCUUUCCAUUCACAUUAAAGGACAAAGCCAAGAUAUGGCUCAAUUCCUUGAGGAUGGGAAGCAUAAGAACAUGGACAGAACUUCAAGCUGAUUUUUUGAAGAAGUUUUUCCCUACUCACAGAACAAAUGGAUUGAAGAGACAAAUCUCCAACUUCUCAGCACGUGAGAAUGAAAAAUUUUAUGAAUGCUGGGAGAGGUAUAUGGAGGCCAUCAAUGCAUGUCCUCACCACGGCUUUGAUACAUGGCUUUUGGUGAGCUAUUUUUAUGAUGGCAUGUCAUCUUCAAUGAAGCAGAUAUUGGAGACAAUGUGUGGGGGUGAUUUCAUGAGCAAGAACCCUGAGGAGGCUAUGGACUUCCUAAGUUAUGUCUCAGAGGUUUCCCGUGGAUGGGAUGAGCCCAAUAGUAGAGAAAUGGGGAAGAGGCCAGUUCAGCAAAUGUCAAGAGGGGGGAUGUACAGUCUGAGUGAAGACAUGGAGAUGAAAGCCAAGGUAGCUGCCAAUGGCUAGAAAAAUAGAGGAAAUGGAGUUGAGAAAAGUUCAUGAAGUCCAAGCUAUUUCAGAACCUCAACAACAAGCCAAUCCUUGCUCCAUCUGUCAGUCAUUUGAACAUAUGGUGGAAGAAUGUCCCACCAUUCCGGCAGCAAGAGAAAUGUUCGGGGAACAAGCUAACCUGAUUGGCCAAUGGAAGCCAAAUUCAAAUGCUCCCUAUGGCAACACGUACAACUCUAGCUGGAGGAACCACCCAAACUUUGCAUGGAAGCCAAGGCCAAACCCAUAUCAGUCACCAGCCCAAUCAAGCCAACAGAGUCAAGGUCAAUCCUCAGUUGAGCAAGCACUCGUAAGCCUUAGCAAGGUUAUGGGUGACUUUGUGAGUGAGCAAAAAUCCAUCAACUCUCAACUAAAUCAGAAGAUUGACAACGUAGAGAGUACAUUGAACAAGAAGAUAGAUGGGAUGCAUAAUGAGUUGUCUCAGAAAAUUGACAACAUCCAAUAUUCCAUCUCAAGGCUCACAAAUUUGAACACUGUCAAUGAGAAAGGGAAGUUUCCCUCUCAGCCUCACCAAAAUCCUAAGGGGAUACAUGAAGUGGAAUCCAAAGAUGAGGAUUCUUCAAAGGUGAGGGACGUGCAAGCUAUUAUCACUUUGAGAAGUGGUAAGGAAGUGCAUCAGCCGGAGCAUGAUCAGAGGAAAGCCAAAGAAGAUAAGGCUGAUAGAAAAGAAGAAAAGAAGAAUGAACAAAAGGGAAAGGAAGUUCAGAUGAAAGAAAGCAUCAUUCCUAGCAUGGAUGAGGAACCUCAAAUUCUUUUAAAGGAAGGCAUGAUGAAGAAGUACAUGCCUCCUCCAUUUCCUCAAGCCUUACGUGGGAAGAAACCGAUCAAGAAUGCUUCUGAGAUUCUUGAUGUGUUAAGACAAGUGAAGGUGAAUAUUCCUUUACUUGAUAUGAUCAAGCAAGUACCCACAUAUGCAAAGUUUUUGAAGGACUUGUGCAUUGUGAAAAGAGGACUCAAUGUUACAAAGCAAGCCUUCCUAACCGAGCAAGUGAGUGCUAUAAUCCAAUGCAAGUCUCCAAUCAAAUACAAAGAUCCGGGGUGUCCUACAAUCUCAGUCAAUAUUGGAGGAACCCAAGUGGAGAAAGCAUUGCUUGAUUUGGGGGCAAGUGUUAACUUACUUCCAUACUCUGUAUACAAGGAGCUGGGGUUGGGAGAACUCAAGCCAACAUCAAUCACCCUAUCCUUAGCUGACCGAUCAGUGAAAAUCCCCAGGGGGGUAAUAGAGGAUGUAUUGGUUCAAGUUGACAAAUUCUACUAUCCAGUAGAUUUUGUGGUGCUUGAUACGGAUCCCAUUGUCAAAGGGAUCAACUAUGUUCCAAUCAUCCUUGGAAGACCAUUCCUUGCAACAUCCAAUGCAAUCAUCAAUUGUAGGAAUGAGGUCAUGCAACUCACUUUUGGGAAUAUGACAUUGGAACUCAACAUCUUCCAUCUAUGUCAAAAGCACAUCCAUCCUGAAGAAGAUGAGGGCCCGGAAAAAGUGUGUAUGAUAGAUACCCUGGUGGAGGAGCAUUGUAAUCAGAGUAUCCUUGAUCAGUUUGAAGAGAAUUCAGAUGAAAGCCAUGAAGAUCUUGAUGAUGGGUUAGCUGAACCCAUGGGAAUGAAUGCCGUUAUGUCAAACUGGAGACAAAAGCCAGUGAUCCUCCCUUUGUUCAAGGAUGAGGAAGAGAUGAAAGAAGCUAAGGAUGCAAUCCUUAAGCUUGAAUUAAAGACCCUUCCUGCCGAGUUGAAGUAUGCUUACUUGGAGGAAGGCAAUAAAGCCCCGGUGGUAAUUUCUUCUUCUUUAACCGUUUCACAAGAGGGCAAUCUUCUGAGAAUCCUUAGAAAGCACAAGAAGGCCAUCGGAUGGCAAAUUUCUGAUUUGAAGGGGAUAAGCCCAUUGAUUUGCACGCACCAUAUUUAUAUGGAGGAGGGAGCUAAGCCAACUCGUCAGCCACAGAGAGAUUGAAUCCUCAUAUGCAAGAGGUAGUAAGGGCUGAAGUGUUGAAGCUUCUUCAAGCGGGCAUCAUUUACCCCAUUUCNAUAGCACUUGGGUGNNNNNNNNNNNNNNNNNNNNNNNNNNNNNNNNNNNNNNNNNNNNNNNNNNNNNNNNNNNNNNNNNNNNNNNNNNNNNNNNNNNNNNNNNNNNNNNNNNNNAAGCUUGAAUUAAAGACCCUUCCUGCCGAGUUGAAGUAUGCUUACUUGGAGGAAGGCAAUAAAGCCCCGGUGGUAAUUUCUUCUUCUUUAACCGUUUCACAAGAGGGCAAUCUUCUGAGAAUCCUUAGAAAGCACAAGAAGGCCAUCGGAUGGCAAAUUUCUGAUUUGAAGGGGAUAAGCCCAUUGAUUUGCACGCACCAUAUUUAUAUGGAGGAGGGAGCUAAGCCAACUCGUCAGCCACAGAGGAGAUUGAAUCCUCAUAUGCAAGAGGUAGUAAGGGCUGAAGUGUUGAAGCUUCUUCAAGCGGGCAUCAUUUACCCCAUUUCGGAUAGCACUUGGGUGAGUCCAACCCAAGUUGUUCCAAAGAAGUCCGGGAUAACCAUAGUCAAGGGAGAAAAUGGAGAUGAAGUGUCCACACGCCUCACAACUGGUUGGAGGGUGUGCAUUGACUACAGGAAGCUGAACGCAGUAACGAGAAAGGAUCACUUCCCUUUACCUUUCAUGGAUCAAGUCCUUGAGAGAGUAUCUGGGCAUCCUUUUUAUUGCUUCUUGGAUGGGUAUUCCGGGUAUUUUCAAAUAGAGAUUGAUGUGGAGGACCAGGAGAAGACUACCUUCACUUGUCCAUUCGGCACCUAUGCUUAUAGGCGGAUGCCUUUUGGAUUAUGCAACGCUCCUGCUACCUUCCAAAGAUGCAUGCUUAGCAUCUUCAGUGACAUGGUUGAACGAAUCAUGGAAGUCUUCAUGGAUGACAUAACUGUGUAUGGGACUUCUUUUGAGGAUUGUUUGUCACAUCUUAAAGAUGUUUUGAAAAGAUGCAUAGAGAAAGACCUUGUACUCAAUUGGGAGAAGUGCCAUUUUAUGGUAAAUCAAGGUAUUGUUCUUGGGCACGUAAUCUCAAAGAAGGGUAUAGAGGUAGAUAGAGCUAAGGUAGAACUAAUUGUGAAGUUGCCACCUCCCACCAAUGUAAAAGGAAUAAGGCAAUUCCUUGGGCAUGCCGGGUUCUAUAGGAGGUUUAUAAAGGAUUUUUCCAAGAUUGCCAAACCUCUUUGUGAAUUAUUGGUGAAGGAUGCCAAGUUUGAGUGGGAUGAUAAAUGUCAAAGGAGUUUUGAGCUUCUUAAGCAAUUCUUGACAUCAGCGCCCAUUGUGAGAGCACCAAAUUGGGAGUUGCCAUUUGAAGUGAUGUGUGACUCAAGUGAUUAUGCUAUUGGGGCUGUUUUGGGACAAAGAGAAGAUGGCAAACCUUAUGUGAUCUACUAUGCAAGCAAGUCUUUGAAUGAUGCUCAAAAGAAUUACACCACCACUGAGAAUGAAUUACUUGUUGUGGUGUAUGCUUUGGAUAAGUUCAGAGCUUAUUUGAUAGGGUCUUCCAUUGUGGUAUUCACGGAUCAUUCAGCUUUGAAGUAUUUGCUAACCAAGCAAGACGCCAAGGCUAGGUUGAUUAGGUGGAUACUUUUGCUUCAAGAGUUCAACCUCCAGAUCAGAGAUAAGAAAGGUGUUGAGAAUGUGGUAGCUGACCACUUGUCAAGGCUCAACAUUGCUCAUGACACCCAUGGACUUCCCAUAAAUGAUGAUUUCCCUGAGGAAUCCUUGAUGCUUGUGGAGGAAGUGCCAUGGUUUGCACACAUUGCCAAUUACUUGGUCUCGGGAGAAAUACCAAGUGAAUGGAGCUCUCAGGACAAGAAGAAUUUCUUUGCCAAGGUCCAUGCAUAUUAUUGGGAGGAGCCUUUUCUCUUCAAAUAUUGUGCGGACCAAAUUAUAAGGAAGUGUGUGCCUGAACAAGAGAAGCAUGGGAUCCUAUCUCAUUGCCAUGGGAAUGCAUGUGGAGGCCACUUUGCCUCUCAAAAGACGGCAAUGAGAGUUCUUCAAUCGGGCUUUUGGUGGCCCUCACUUUUUAAGGAUGCCCAUGAGGUAAGUAAAGGAUGUGAUAAGUGCCAAAGACUAGGCAAGCUUUCAAGGAGAAACAUGAUGCCUUUGAACCCCAUCUUGAUAGUGGAUCUUUUUUAUGUUUGGGGCAUAGACUUCAUGGGACCUUUCCCUAUGUCUUUUGGCCACUCCUACAUCUUGGUAGGAGUUGAUUAUGUUUCAAAGUGGGUUGAAGCUAUACCCUGUAGAACCAAUGAUCACAAAGUGGUUCUCAAAUUCCUAAAAGAAAACAUCUUCUCGAGGUUUGGAGUGCCUAAAGCAAUCAUCAGUGAUGGAGGCACUCACUUUUGCAACAAGCCCUUUGAAGCUCUUUUGGCCAAGUACGGAGUUAAGCAUAAGGUAGCUACACCUUAUCAUCCUCAGACGAGUGGCCAAGUAGAGCUAGCCAACCGGGAAAUUAAGAACAUCUUGAUGAAGGUGGUGAACACCAAUAGGAAAGAUUGGUCUGUUAGGCUCCUUGAUUCCCUAUGGGCGUAUAGGACGGCUUAUAAGACUAUCCUUGGGAUGUCACCAUACCGUCUUGUUUAUGGCAAAGCUUGCCAUCUUCCUGUUGAGAUUGAGUUCAAGGCAUGGUGGGCCAUUAAAAAGCUCAACAUGGAUUUAACUAAGGCUGGGCUAAAGAGGAGUUUGGAUUUGAAUGAGCUUGAGGAAUUAAGAAAUGAUGCCUAUCUCAACUCAAAAAUAGCUAAGGAAAAGCUAAAGAGAUGGCAUGAUCAGUUGGUGACCAAGAAAGAAUUUUUCAAGGGACAAAGAGUCUUGCUAUAUGACUCUAAGCUUCACCUAUUUCCGGGAAAGCUCAAAUCAAGGUGGGUAGGGCCUUUUGUCAUCCACCAAGUACACUCACAUGGAGUAAUUGAGUUACUCAACUCAAAUAGUGCAAAGACCUUCAAGGUAAAUGGGCAAAGACUCAAGCCCUACAUCGAGCCAUUUUCCCGUGACAAGGAGGUACUCAUCCUCCAUGACCCAUCACAUCCUUGAGAAAGUGUGGUAAGUUGAUGAGCUUAGCAUGAAAAGCUAAGUGCUCAUCUCUUUUUGUUUUAGUUUUAGUAUUACAUUCUUGUUUACUUUGCAUUUUUAAUACUUUUGCACAUAUUUUGUUUAGGUUUCUUGGUUUUGAUUUUGAUUUUUUUAUGUUUUUAAUGGAGCUUUGAUGUCCAAUAGCAGGUACGAAAGCUCACAAGCUCACAAAUGUGGAGAGAAAGGUGAAAUAGGGGAGAAAUAUAUCUAAGUCCAAGCUUAAAAGCCCAUUUCGCAACUCAAAAAGUGAGUUGCGAAAAUUUUGCAAGGUGAAUUUCACCUUGCGAAAUGCACAUUUUGGCAAGAUGCAAAAUGCAACCUCUCGAGAUUGCACUUUCGCAAGGAGUAACCAGUGCGAAAAUUUUCGCAAGUCAUUUUUCACCUUGCGAAAUUGUUUUCAAAGCAAAUAUCAAAGUGCAACCUCUCGGGAUUGGUUUUUAAGGGGAGUAGCCAGUGCGAAAAUUUGGCAAGGUGAAUUUUCACCUUGCGAAAUUUUUUCUUCAUGCUUACCAAGGUUUUGAUUCUUUUUAAAUUCAUUUUCACAGCUAUCCUGGACCAGCACUCCGCCAUGCUAUCUCAGAUCCACCAUCACCUGGGCAUAUCACCUCCUCCACCUCAGGAGCCACAUCCAUGAUUGGAUAUUUCUAUCUCCAUUUUGUAUUUGUUUUUUGUAGAUGUACAUGUUUUAUAUUCUGAGAUUGUAUGUACCUCAUGCUUCUAUCUUGUACUCAACUCUCUCAGUUUAUAUAAGCAUCAUUUUUUGUAUAUUAUUUCCUCUCUCACGUUUCUUAUGGUUUUUGAAUCAUGUGGAUGCACUCACACGCCUUGAAUACCACAUCACCAUAAGGUAUAUCAUUCCUUCCUUGUAUUUUUCGAUAGAAACAUUGGGGACAAUGUUCAUCUCGGUUGGGGGGAGAGUUGAGGAAGUAAGUAUUUCCUAUUCUAGUUAGUUAUUUUGUUGAUUUAGUAGUUGUUGCCCUUUUUCAAAAUUUUUUUGUUUCAUUCUCUAUGGUUGUUAAAGAUAAUUUCUCAAAAUAAAAUAGGAUAAGUCGAGUUUUAACUUAAUUACUUAAGUCUUAGAGUUUGUUUUAUGCUUUCAAAGUUGAUAAUCUAUUGAAGCCCUCUUUGAUUUCGAACUUAUUUCUUCCAUUUCAAGCUUUACACACACCAUGCACAUUAGAUCCCGGAUUUAUGAUGUAAAACUUUCUCACCCUCUAAGCUUAGGAAAAUUUUGACUUGGUUUAUUACUUAACCUCUUUUUAAUAAUGUUGGGACACCUCAAAAAGACCAAUGAGUCUUAGAAAAAGAAAAAGAGAAAAAGAAAAAAGAAAAGAGAAAAAGAAAAAGAAAAAGAGAAUAAGCUUCUAUUCUUUCCUUGAAACCUAAGCAUGAUCCGAAGGGGUGGCGAAAGCCUUUAAAACCCGAUGCCCUAAACCUUGAUUGGUUGGGAGUCAUCGAUCCUCUGCUUGCUACAUAGGUGAAUUGGUUAAGUUUAGUGAGUAAAAAGAAUUGUGAAUAAGAAGGUGCGUUCCUAACCUAUUAAGAGUUGGUUAAUUUUGCCAAUGUCCGAGAAAAGCUUAGGUUAGGGGGAGAGGAUAGUUGUGCAUACUAUAUCCGGAAGCUAAUCUCAUUAACACUUAGCUCAUUAUGGAAGAGUUUGAUCCGGAACCUUGAGAGUAGAGAUUCUUUUGAUACUUAAUUGCAUAAUCUCCACUCUUUGUACUUUUUGUUUAAGUUUUAGCUUUGACAACUCCUAUUGCAUUUUGAAUCUUCGUAUCUUUAGUUCACCAUGUGAGAUGUGUUUUGAUUUCAGUCAUGCCACUCAAUUAUUUUUUGGAGUGAUUUGCAUGAUCCCUUUUAUGUAUAUUAUUAUAGUUUACUUAGUUUUUAUCUCCUCCAUUGCUAAGGGACUAGCAAUGAGUCGGUUGGGGGGUGUGAUUACUACCAAAAAGUGCUAUUUUGUAGACCUAAUUAUAAUGGUUUUAAGCACCUUUGAGUAGUAAUCAUAUUCAUUUAACCCAAUUAAUUCAUUAAGGUCCUUAGUAAUUGGUUUUAACCUUUUUGUGGCAAGUUGACAUGUUUUUAUCAGCUUAUGAAUCGAUUCAAGCAUGCCAAUUGAUGGAGGAGCUAUUUGGGUGAGUUAAGCAAGGAUUUUGUACGUUUAUAGGCUUGAAUUUCAAGUGGAAACACGAGCACAAGCAAUGGAGAAGAGGAAAACAGAGUGAAGAAAACAGCUGCAGUCUUCCUUUGAACUUUUGAAGCACUUUCCGAAGUCCAUUUUUUGCAUGCUAUAUACCAUUUGAAAGCUUAGGAAGUCAAGAAUCCAACGCUUCAAACCGUGUAUGAUUUGGAGCUGAAAUGAGGAAGAUAUGGCCUUAGGAAGGAAACUGCAUCAUGUCAAAUGACCAAUUUCGCAAGGUGAAUUUCACAUUGCGAAAAUUUCGCAAGGAGAUUUUCUUCAUGGUGCGAAAUUUUGCCACUUCGCACCAUGAAGAAACACCUUGCGAAAAUUUCGCAAGGUGGAUUUAGGCACAUUGCGAAAUUCCUUUGAAUCCCCUGUUUUGAGACGUUGUUGAUGUUAUUCCACUACCGGUUCUCCAAGAUAUUUUGCUUGAUUUUUAGCUUUGUAAAUACCUAUUUUACCCUUGUAAUCAACCAAUGAAUAGGUUGCUUUUGUAAUAGCUCUUGUAAUUUAGCUUGUUAUUGUCUUUAAAUAGAGGUGAAGAGCCUCAGACACGCAUCAUCUAAUCUUGUAACCUGUAACUUUAUAAGUUAUAAGAGCACUUUUGUUCAGAAGCUUCUUUUCUCUUUUCUUUCUCAUUUUCUUAGUAGCCAAACACCCUUGGAGGAUGAAAUCCCCAAGGAUGAGAGGCUAAAACCUUUUAGUUUCUUGAAGUAAUGGAUGCCAUGUGAAGCUCCCGUGUCAGGAUGGAGAUUUCCAAGCCAUGAAUGUAAGUAGCUGAGCGUCAUAAAUGUUUUCAUUCAAAGUAAAGCUUUUAAUCCCUCUGACUUGCUUUGAAUGGCCAAUACUUGAUAACCUUUUGGUCUCAGUGGAUUCUUAUUGUUAGAUCCACUGACGUUCAUUAGUUAUCUCCUACGAGCCAUUGUAUUGCAAGUCGAGGAGAUGACCUAUAUCAUUAAAAGGGCAUUUAUGAGGUUCAGCUACCCUUUUUGUAAGUUUUCAAGGACUAAAACUCAGUUGUUAAACUCAUACCGGUUCGGGAAGUAAGCAUCACCUUAGUUGCUUCCCCAACUCGAGGUGAAAAGUCCCAAAAUCUCCAUUUUUACACAGUGAGUUAAGCAUGGCUAUCCAAAGCUUUGAGAAACUUCUUUCUCCAUCUUUUAACCUAUUUUCAAGUUAGUUUAGUUUACAACACCUUUAUCUUUUUAUGUUUUCAUCUUAACCUAAUUUUUAUUAAGAAAAGUUCACUCCAUCCUCCGAACUUCACCAGUUAAAGUAAAAACCCUUCCCAGUGUUCGAUCCUAGAGCCACUAUGCUAUAGUAGCUUUGUUACUUUAGUGUAAGGACCUUAGGUAUAAAUUUUGUUGAUACCCUUACAUGCCAAGCUACCAAGAGGCGGGUUAUCAACAUGCCAAAUAGGAUCAAAUUACAAUAAAGGAGAGUUAGGGUGCAUACCUGGAUGGCUUCUCAAAUGCUAUCAUGAAACAUAAAAGUUAGUAUAGAGAUACAUCACACAACAUGUGCUUUUGUCAAAGAUAAUCAAGCAAGCAUCAAAUAUAUAUCAAGGCAAUAAAACAGGAUGGCAAGCAUGGGCAUAGUACGCAAUGACAAUCAUAUUCAUAGGGUUUAGAAAGUGGGUAUUAGGGAACGUACCUGGAUAGCAUAGAUAACUUGUAACGUGCUUCCAUAAAACAGGAGAGGUUAGAUAGCAAACAAUAAAAUAAGAAGUCCUAGCAUGCUUGUUAUCUAAUUAGCAUAGAAAAAAAAAAAAUUAUCACAGUAUACAAAACCAUCAAUUAUCACUAAUAUCUUCUAUAUAAUUUCUAAAAAAUAAAUAGACAUGAGUUCAUCAAAUAACAAAGGGGGCAACAAAGAUGAGUUUUGAAAAUUUUCCUUAUGUAGGGGUUUCACCAAUUCCCCGAUUGAUAUACACGAAUUUAGCCCAGAAUUAUCCCAUUUAUGUGGGACCACAAGCUUUGAUUCAUGUUUGAUUUCAAACCAAAAUUUUCGUUAAAAAUCGAGAAAGAUGCAAAUCGAUCAAAAAAAUGGUUGCAUAUUAUUUUAAGAAAAUGGGGUUUUUGAUUCUAAGGACUCUAAAUGAAUUUUUAAAAUAGGUUUUUAUAAGGAAAAUUUUGAGAAAAGUAUUUUAUUUUAAAAUAAGAGAAAUUAAUUUGAGAACAAUAAAACAUAUGAGAAACAUUGUACCAAGCAAAACAAAUAGAAACAAAAUCAUAAAGUAAAAUUUUUGGCAACCAAGCAAACUGAAAUGGUGUGAAUGGAGGCCAAUCUUCACAAUUUUCCAAUGGCCUCCAUGAAUCAAAUAUAAACGAACAAAUGUCAAAGAAAAUAACUAAACAGCCUUAGAUCAAAUAAAGUCAACCAGAUAUCAAUCAAGAACUAACAAAGAUUAGUCAAGCCCAUAAAUUGAGGAUAUAAUCAAUAAUUAAAUUAGAUUAGUCAAACACACAAACCUAUGAUUAAGGUAAUGUUAAAUAUAGUACCAUAAGAACUUACAAUUCUAAAACACUUGAAUUGAGUAAGGAUCAAUCAGGAACUAGAGCUUAACACACUUAAAACAUGGAUAUAAUGACAAGGGGUCAGAUAAAUUAAAUAAUUAAAAUUCUAAAGACUCAUAAAACAAAUAUGAUGAAUCAAAAAUAAUAAUAAUAAUAAAAAUAAAAAAUAACUGAAAUUAAUAAACAUAGUGAUAAUGAUAUAGAACCAAAUGAAUUAAUCACCUAAAAACCUAAAGCAUCACAUGAAUCAACUAAGAUGAAAAUAAAAAAAAAAAGAAUAAAAUAACAUGAUGAUAAUGACAUAGAAUCAAAUAAAUUAAUCCAUUAAAAUUUUAAAGCAUCACACGAAUUAAUUAGGAUGAACCCAUGAACUAAAAUUAAAUAAAACAAGAUGAUGAUGACAUAAAACCAAAUAAAUUAAUCGACUAAAACUUGAGAGACUCGAAAACUUAAUAGAGUAAAAAAUUAGCAAACAAAGCCCUAACUUUCAAUCUAAAAAAAAAACUAAUAAACUAAUGGAUAAAAAAAAAAGAAAUCAAAAACUCAAGAACAAGGAAACUCACUUACCUUUGGAAGAUGCAGCCUACUCGCUUUGGGGAUCAAUGGCGUUCAUGGUUCUCUUGAAGAUACCAUGAAGAUCUUUAUGGAAAUUGAGGCAUGGACCCCUUAAAAUGCAACCUGCUGCCACUUUUCCUUCAAAAAAUCUCACCAUCUAAAAGUGCAACUUGCUUCCAUUUUUCUUUCAAAAAAAUCUCACCCCCUCAAAAUGCAACUUGCUGCCACUUUUUUUUUUAAACAAAUCUCACCCUAAAGUGGCAAUCUGCUGCCACUUUUCUUUUAAAAAAUCUCACCCUAAAGUAGCAGUCUGCUGCCACUUUCCUUUCAAAAAAAAUUCACCCUAAAGUGGCAGCCUACUGCCACUUUCCUUUCAAAAAAAAAACUCACCUUAAAGUAGCAGCCUGCUGCCACUUUUCUUUCAAAAAAAACUUCACCCUAAAGUGGCAGCCUUGGAGAAUCCCCACUGUACGGUUGUGUUCCAAAAAAAUUGAAUGCUGCCACUUUUCUUUUCAUCAAACUCAUAGUGCGCCCCAUGGAGAUUAAUAGAAAUCCCUUUUCCUCAUUUUGGAUGGUCACGCCCUCUCUCCUAUAGUGCAUGUGCAGAUCCAAGGAUGCAGCCCGUGAAGUGAUGUAACGAUUCCUAUUGAGUCUGUUAGUGUUGCCAAACCAGAAAGUACCCAAUUAUGAAUGUCCAGAAGAUGCUGAGGACAUGCAUGUCUUCCGACAAUGAUGUCAGUUCAGGACAGCGAUAAAUUUGAAGACGUUAGUAAAGGGAGGCUGUCCAUUGAGUGUGAUAAUGUUAUCAAAUUUAGGGCAGCAAUUUGAAUCCCUGAAUAGAGAUAGCUUCCAAGGCUUCAAGUGGGGUGAGAUGUUGAAUCACUUGUGAUAGAGAGAUUAAGCUACUAGCACAUCACUGAGAGAAUAUUAAUCUAUGACAAUUCCCACUUUCGAGUUGCUUUAGAGAAGUAAGGCGUCACAACUACAUUACCAUCUAGUAUUUUGCUUUGACUUGGCAACACUUACAUCUUUUUCAAUCAUGCACGGGGCUGUUUUGAAGUCCAAAAGUGCAAGUCGUUUUUGGAUGGCGGCUGGUUCUUGUUUGCUGUUCCUUGAGAUCAGUUUUAUUGCCAAUCAGAAUGAUGAGAAUGGUCUUAUCAGCGUGACCACGUGACUCUUCCAACCAUCGGGGUAUGUGGUCAAAACUUUGGCGUUUAGUUAUGUCGUAAACCAGCAUUGCGUCAACAGCACUCCUGUAAUACGCACUUGUAACGGCUCCGUGUCGUUCUUGGCCAGUAGUGUCCCAGAUCUGAGCCUUGACACUCUUGCGUCGGAUGACGAGGGUUCGAGUCUGGGACUCAACCCCGGUUGUAGCCUUGGAAUCCAAACUGAACUCGUUCCUAGCGAACCGAGUUUACGACUUGCCCACUUCGGUGUCUCCGAUCAUAACCACUUUGAAAACGUAGUUGAUCUUUUGGCUCGAAUUGCCAUAGCUUCCACCACUCGCCAUCACCGCACCACUCCGUUCUCUCUCUCUUGAACACUCUCUGUCUGGAUUCAAGAUCAGUCACAGCCUUCCUUUUCCCAUCCUCAAUUCUGUCCGCUGGGAAACCGAAUUGCCACCAUCAAACAGUUGGUUCCUUGCAGCCGCUGAAGCUUGUCAGCAUCACCAAGAGACCAACCAAUUGGGUUGUAGGAGAAGUCAAUCUGUUUCCAUGUAAUCUGAUCCCAAACUCCAAUCCCAUACACGUGGCUUCAAUCUUUACCGCUAGCAAUAAUCCUAUAAUCUGAAUUAAAACCCAGAGCUCCGACAAUUUCCUUUCUUUAUGGCAGCCAGAUUUGGAUCCGAUCUCGACUCUCCUUUGAGAUUAAGCAAUUUAUCAAUGUAUAAUCAGGCCGCUGUGGACAAAUCCAUGCUUGGUAGUCAUGCUUAUUGAUGAUAGUCUAGAGAUGUGGAAAUCAAACAAUUCUGAUGAACCCUCUCCCAUGCGUGAUGAGGCCGAUGAUGUGUUAUUCCAGAUUCAUCUCCGGAGAUCCCUCUAAUUAGAACGUUCAGAAUCCCCCAGAAACGAGAGCUCUCCUUGCGGUCUCCUUCUCCAGCAGCGUUCAUCCCUCCCCCCCUUUUUUUUUAUAUGCUUCACGAACUUCAUCACAUGAAUUACCACAAUCAUCAUCCGUCACUUCUGCUCCAUAGCAUGAACCACAAUAUUUUCCAUUGCGUUCAAGCCUGCCACCAUGUCCUUGUAAUAGCUUCUCAAUCCGGGGCCACCAAUUCCAUCUUGCCUAACUGCUACCACAUUACCAUGGGCGUCAAUGGAGAGAGAGUUUUGACCAGCAUGGGCGCUCGUACCAUUGGAGAUGCAGCCUUGAAGAUUCCCCCAGUGUGACCUGCUGCUGGUGCGUGUCUUCUAUGGAAUCUGUGCUGCGUGCUGGUCCUCUUGAUGGUGAGGAAUACGGCUGUGUGCUUGUCGUCUCCCUCCUAGUGGCAGCCCCCCACUUUGAGAGAAUUUGUGGCCGCUCCUUCCUAGAGAAUCCCUUAGAUGUUUCGUUUCAUCAUUUUAGCCGGAUCCAUUGCAAGCAAGGAAAUUCAUUGAUGAUUUGCUCCCCUUUUUAGGAAAGAAAGCUCAGAAUUCUGAUGCAUGUGUAGAAGCUUUGCAACUUAUUCGAGAUAUUAUACCAGUUUCAGUGAGUGAAACUUCUCCAAAAAUCUUGAAUGUCGUUUCUUCUCUGCUAAUUUCUGCUGGACUGGAUAUACGUUUGGUUAUUUGUGGCCUUCUUGGUGAUCUUGCUGAAACUGACCCUUAGGUACUCUCUGUGGCAAAUCCCAUAAAUGAAUUGGAUGUGACCUCUGUUACGGAAACGAGUGGCCUGGAUUAUGACACCAUAGUUUAUGCUUAUGAAAAGAUUAGCAUGGAGUUCUUUAAUAAUAUCUCAAAGAAUCAGGCACUGGUCAUUUUGUCGCGUUGUAUAUAUGAUAUGUCAUCCAAUGAACUGAUCUUAAGGCAUAAUGCAUAUAGGUUAUUGGUCUCUUCUGCUGAACUCUCCGUCCAAAUUCCUAAACUUGAAGUGAAGAGUGACCAUGAAACGCCCGAAGCAAUAAUAACAUUCAUAGCUGAUGGUUGUUGGAUUUAAGCAUGUAUUCAGCGCAUGAUAAACAAAUUCCUUUUGAAGCAUAUGGCAGAUGUAAUGGGCAAGGAAAAUUUUGUUCAGAAGGAAUGGGUUGAUUUACUGAGAGAAAUGGUGCUGAAGCUUCUAGAGGUGCUAAAUCUUCACUCAUUCAGGAUCUUGUAUUGUCUGAAUGUGUUAAUAAAAUUGGACCAAUGGAAGAUGCUGUGAAGGCUCUAUUUGCCUAUGGGCUCCAUCUAACUAGUCGGUAUAGGUUUUCUGAAUGAGAUGACCAUGGGAAUGGCCAAAUUUGGGAUUUCCGUAAGGUAAGAUUACAGUUAUUGCAGUUUAGAGACAGGCUGAAGACAUUUCUUGGGAUAAAUAUGGGUAGGUUCUCCGUGAAGGAAUACAACAAAUUUCGCAUUAUGCUUAUCAAUGAAGCUGCUGCUGCACUUGCUGAGAGUGGAAAAAUUGGGGCCUUAAACCUCCUUUUCAAGCGUCAUCCUUAUACACUCACUCCUUCCAUGUUGGAAAUUUUAGCUGCUGUCCCUGAAAUAAUUCAAGUUCAAACAUAUGGGCAACUCCCUCCUGGGAGGUCUCCUCCUACCAGUUUUGCUCUGAGGGAAAAAGAUUGGGUUGAAUGUGAAAGGAUGGUAGGCUUUAUCAACAGAUUACCCGAGGAUAAAGAGGGCAGCAUUCGCAUCAAAACUGAACCCAUUGCGAGGCAGAUCUUGGGAUUCUCUUGGCCAUAAGCUGAUGAAUUUUCUAGUUGAUACAAGUGCUGAAAUUUUUAUUGGUCAGACCGUUGACCUCAAAGAGCAGCAAAAUGCUCUUGGAAUCAGUCAGGAACACAUUGAAAGCGCUGCAUCACUGGAGGAUUAUGCUACCAUGAAUCCAGCCAAUUAUUUCACCUUUGUCUCCCAUAGUGCUAGAAGGUACUCUACCAAGAGGUUCUGGAACGCUCAAAUAUUUUAAGUGGAGGAUUCUAAUGCUUCAAUAGCACUCACCCUAUGACGAAUACUCAGUUUAUGAUGAAAGAGUGGAGUUUCUGGCAUCCACCUAUGCACCGAAUGCAGAAUCAAUAUUUGCUCCUCUCAUAGGAACAAACGGUUUUCACAACAAAGCAAGUGAUCAAGAUGAUGCAGGCUGCAAGAAUUUCCCGAAAGAAUUGCAAAUGGCCAGACUAGACGAUGAAGCUGUUCUCCAAAAACUGAGGCAAAUGCCAUUGGAAGUGGGAAAAUUGAAACAGAAUUUAUAAUGCUCUCCUUCCCUCAUGUUCAAAGGCUGAUCUGAACAAUACUGGAGUCGCCUAUGCAGCCAUGCUAGACAUUAGAAGCUUUAUGAGGUUACAAUAAAACCAUUAACUGUACACAUAAGUUCAUUUGCAAGAAUUGGGAACCAAUUUAGAAGGUCAAGUAUAUUCGCUGUCAACAAGAAUGAUGCCCUCCGAUUUAAGAUCUCUACUGAGGAGGAACCCAGUUUGAUCAAAAUUCUAGGAUCAAACAACAGAGUCAAAGUCAAAUCAAGAGCAACGUUCCAACUUGUCAUGAAGACCAAGAAUAGUAAUUGCUUUUGAGCAAGCAGUGAAAUUAUUUGCAAUCAGACAAUCAUCUUCUUCUUCAAGAAAUGCUGUAAUGAAAUUCUUACCAGUUGUGUCUGAUUCUUCAAAACAUGAAGUUAGCAAACAGAUUGUUCAUAUAUAAUGUCAGUUGGCAUAAAUGUAGUGUUCAAUCACCAAGCCACAAAGAUGAUACAACCGAACAGUUGCAGCAGGAAAACUUGGUUGUUUAUUCAAAAUCAAGUAAAUCUCUAGGUCCCUCAUACCACGAUUGCUCCCAAUCUUUAGGUCUUGGCGUAGACAAUUCCUUCCUUGUCUAUGUGGACAGAACAAUGCUUGCUGUUCUAGUUGUUGUCUUUCACCAUGGUCUGUAGAAAAAAUGUCCAGAAAAACAACUAAUGAUCAGUAGAAGUGUAAAAGGGAAGAAAGAAAACUACUGCUAGAUUGGAUCAGUCAUCUUCUUCAUUAGAUCAUUACAAACAGUUGGCUUUGAAAAAUUUGAAGUUAAUCAACUACAAUCAUGACAGAUAUUUAUUUUUCCUAAAAGAAUGUAAAUGUAUGGUUGCUCUUUGAGUACAGCUCUCUACAGCACAAAAAUAAACAAAUACUGUGGUCAAAGCUGUCAAUCAAAAUCCCCCUAUCCAGAAUGCAUGGCAAUGGCUGAUCCAAAUGGCCAUGUACUAGUACACUUACUAAGAUUUCCUUCAAGAAUCAUGUACAAGUGACCACCACUGUUCUCGGUGUCCAGAGGCAGUUUUCCAUACUCAUCUCCUUCUCCAUGAGGCUCAUGUAGUUAUUGGAAGGAUUCAAUAAAUAAUCUCGAAACCCAUGAGCGUUUUUGGCCCAAAGAAAUUCAGCAUAUGACAUAAUUUCGUGUAUAUAUAUAUAUGGAGAGAGAGAGAGAGAGAGGAAAAGUUUAUGAAAUAACCAUGAUUACUAGACGGGAAAAGUGUGUUUUCAUCUUUUGAUAUGACUAUAUCAGUAAAUGAGUACCAACUUUUCCAUCUCAUAGUUUGUGAAUGGAUCAUAGACUGAAAAUGAAUUAUAUGUAAUCUACUUAAUUUACCAAAGGUAAUGAAAUCUAAUUUACAAUCAAAUUAAUUAAGACACUAGGAUACCAAUCACUACUAUACGUACAUAAAUCAUAUUACAUUUCUGUAACAUUACUUUUCUUCAAUACUUCCCCUGAUCAAGUUACAUAUCAAGAACUGAAAAAAUUAUAAGGCAAUCAAAUGAAACAAACCAAGAAAACAACAAUAUUAAAAGAGUUAUGAAAUAUCACCAGAUGAGAUCCAACAGUAAAUUAAGAAACUUUAUACAAUCUUGCUUACCUUAGGGCCAUGUCUGGAGGAGUUCCAAUUGUAGGCCUAGGGCCAAUGUUGAUAGGCACAUGCCCAGAUCUUAAAAACCCUCAAGAUGAACAGUAGCAGCUACUCUAGGCGCUCCUACUGCACAGGCAAAAAACAAGUUAGUCAAUGUUUCUUGGCUAUUGGCUUUGGCUUGGACCUUGGUGGUUAUGUCAAUUUUAGAUAAAUAUGUUAAUAAUCCAAUGACUAUAUUCCAAGAUUGAUGAUAUAUAUGCAAUAUAUCAAUUUGGAAAUGCUGAUAUAAACAUUUAAGGAAUUUAAAUUAGUCAAUUUUCAACAAUCUAGCAUUCAAAAGUGUACAAAAUGAUUAUAACUUGAAAGUUUGAAUAUAAACUGAGGUACAAUAUUCCUAGAGGCUCAAGUCUCCCUAGAACAAGGCAUCACAUCACAUAUUGAUGUGGCCUUAUGUUUGAGGUAAGCACCUUAUCUACUGGCGAGUUCAUCCUUAAUAAGCUUUUUGCAAGAAAAUGGAGACCUAAAAUUACUCUAAUACUUCUUUUCUUGAAUAUUAAAUUUUCUUAAAAGUGUUAUCGAUUAUCAAACAUUUAUAUCAAUGGUGGAAACUAGUUUGCUACCAAAGUGAAGGUCAAAGUCCUAAUUAUCAUUUUGCUAAACAAUGUAAUAUAGUAUUAUACAAUUAUUGCUUUUAAAAGAAAAUUUACAAGCCACCCAGCAAAAUUUAUGAUUAUACCUUUUUCCAACUUCACUCACGCCAUUGAGCUUUAUAAUUUGAUGAAACAAGCCUAAAUCAAAAAACUAUACAAAAAAAAUAAAGAAUCGGAGAAAACAAACCUGUAAGCACUAAAUUUUGUACUUUAAAAGAGGAAAUAGGAUGCCAAUUGUAGGUUUAAUUUAAAGAAACCUUAAAAAAUAUUUUUAAAAUUAUAGGAAAACCCCCGUAGCUUAGAAAAGAUUGGGGCGAACAGUCUACCUUUUGGCGAUGUUCACAUCUUGAGAGGAAUGACUUCUUUCUUAGUAGAUCUGAUGAUGGUGUUGAUCUUUAGGAAGAGAUGAUUAGAAGGCUACGUCGAAUUUUAGUGAGUGAGAGAUAAAGGAACACCCAAAACCUUAAAGCAAAAAAGGAAUUAAUAACUCAAAUAGAUUCCAUUUUUUCCUUAUGACGUGCUUACCUUAGUAAGGUUUUUAUGGCAGUGAUACCAUUUGGAUAAUUAAGUCAUUGAUUUUGAUGGAUCUUUUCCAUUUGAAUUUUUAAUAUAUAAACUUAAUCUUUUUACUUGGGGUAAUAUAUUUGGUAUUUUAGGAUUUACUUUUUAAUAAUAUGCUUUUAGUAGAUGGUUUAACUAUGUCCUAGUGUAAUAAGUAGUCUUGCAUUACAUUAUCUACUAUGGAGUAGGAGUGUGUUGCUUGUUCAAGGGAUGUAUGGGAAGUUGUUUAUUUGAUGAUAUACUUUCAACACUUAGAGUCACGACUUGAGCUAAUAAGUUUAUCAAGAUCUAAGCAUUGAUGGUGUUGCUACUCUAUUGUAUGCAAGGAUUCAAUUAGUCACAUUGUAGGACAAAACACUUAUAGACAAUUGAUUCUACUACAUUCAAGAUAUUGUUGCUUAAGGGGAGGUAGAGUCAAAACAAGUAGACAAUUGAUACAACUACACACACAACAUAGAGACAAAACACAUGAAUAAUACUAUGGUUGAAUAAAUUAAUUGGAUGAUGAGAUGAUAAUUAUUUUGUCAUCAACAUAGUGAACAACAUAAAUUAAAAUCUUGAAAUGUCACCUUAGCCAACCUAGUAGAAAUGAUUCAUCAAAAUAUUUGAAUGUGAGAUCUUAAAUUGGUGUUUGACCAAUAAAUAUGGUAAUAAACAUAUAUUAAGUAUAUAUGAAGUGACCAAGCUAAGAUUUGUAUCAUGUUAUUGUAGGGAAUCCCGAAUCUCUUUGUUCCUUAUCCUAUGAUUAGGCUAGGUACAUGCGAAUCUUUCUAAGUUUUUCUAAAUCGUAUGAACAAUGGGAAAAUUAUGUUUUAAAAUAAUAACAAGAUUUAGAAUUUGCAUUAGAAAACAUUACCUUAGAUUUGGAUGUUCCCAAAUCUAAUUCACGUAGUAAAGGAGAAGAUCGAAGUUUUCAGAGGUCUUGAACACCCAAGAUCUUCCACCAGAUGACUUUUCCUUGAUUUUAGAUCUUAAUUGGUGAGAAGGAAGGAAGACUAAAAAGGCUAUGGUUCUCUCUCUCUUUGAAUAGUGAAAGAUGGCUCACUUCAAAAAAGUAAUGAAAACCUUAUCAUUUAAGGGGUAUUUAUAGGGUUCCCUAAUUGGGUGUAAGUGACUUAAGCAUACUAAAGGCUUGAAUCAUUUAAUUUCACUCAAAAUGAGUCUUAAUUGAUUAAUUAACCUAACGUAGUUAUCUAAUUAAUUAAUUAGCUAAAUCUGGAGACUUUGUUCACUUACCCCUAUGCAACCUUGCAUAGUUACCAAAACACCUUUAUACGCAAAAGUGAACCAAGAGUUGUGUCAUCAAGGUAUAUGAGCUUAGGUGGAGACCAUUGAGACCUAUAGGACAGUACUAGCUACCCCAAAAUCUAAUUUUGAAGUUGAUUUAACGUUCCACUAUAGAGAAUCAAUUGCACUAUAAUACCUUAUGUAAAUAACAAUGAGAUGCUAAGUGGUCGAGCCCAUGACUUAUUAUCCAUUGCAUUCAAUCUCCCUAUGAACUGGUGUUUGUAGUCUAAUAAGGUCAAAACUAUCAACCUUUCAAGACUACCUCUACUAUCUUUGAAUUACAAAUCCUCUUAUUAUGUAUUUAAUUGAUAUAUCUUAACUCUCCAAGAGUCUAUGUCAAGUUCCAUUUAAGAAACUACUAUGACCAUAGUUUACAUGAACAUACCUCCUUAGGAUCACUUAAGGGGACACUCUAUCUCAAUCCUCUUAGAUUUCAUGGUACUUCUAUUACAAAUACUCAUUGUUAUAGACUUGCAUCAAUAGUGAACCAAUCCAUAAGGAACAUAUGAUUAGCUUACGAUUUCAUUAGUAGGUCAAAGUCACUACUAACUUUAACACAAAUUCUAUAUUCUCUCAAGGUUAAGAGAUAAAACAAUGAAGCAACUUGGUGAAAUCAUGACUAUUUGAUAGCUUUAUGUCAUAAUUCACCAUAAGUCUUGUCUGAUGUGUAACCAUACACAUUAGUAUACUCACCAUGGAAAACCCAUCCUGAUAACCAAGACCAACCAUUCCUCUAAUUAUGAAGUAGCGUACUAUAACCUCUAAUGGGUUACUUAGGCCUAUGAAUCGGUUGUGAACAAGUCAUCUACUUACAAUGAAUCCAUUUCUUGAAUUUUUUUUUGCAACUCUUAAUGCACUCAAGUCCUGUACAAUACAAGAUAUGUAUAUCAAAAUGCUUACAAGGUAUAAUGUAUAGGAUUAGGAUAAAUAAAAGUGAACUAAAAAUUUAUUAAUAAAUAAUAAAAUUUUAAAUUUAUUACAUCAUAUCAUGCUUUUAUGAAACCUUUAAAAUACUAAGAGCACCCUUUCAUAAUCAUGAAUUUAACUUUAGUUUCAACUUCUAUCAAAGGCUAAAUGAGAAAAGCUAUCAUAGAGGAGGCCUCAGCCAAUGGGUAAGAUGCACUGUUAUACCAAACAAUAAGUGGAAAAUGAAAUUUUAUUAAUACUUGAGACAAAGGAAGAUUUUACACUCAAACCAAGCAUUUAUUUAUAAUGAAGUGCAGUCUCCAUACGCACAUGUGGACUUAUUGGAAAAUCAUACAAAUUAUUGAAGGACGACCUUAGCUAGGCUAACAGUCUCCUAAAUAGGCCAUCUUUUAUAUGUCUUUGCAUUCAUCCAUCUCCUCAUUGUCUUUGAUUUUAGAUGGUGAGGAUGUGAAAGUAACAGGAAGCGGUGGACGAUUGUUCACAGUGAGGCUUAGCACAUCAGCUCUCGAAUAAUGUCCUACCACAUCGAACUGGAACUUUGCUUUAGGAAUCUCUCCACGAACAUCUACAUAUCAAGUGAUCAUAAAAAUAUUUCAUCAGUCUAUGAUAAAUAUCAUAGAAUAUCAAGUCUUCGAGAAAACUAAGUUUGCAGUCCUCUUAAACCUAAAGAAUCGACUCAUUUGUCUUAUUUGCAUACUGAAAUAUUUGGAUAUAUAACUGGAGAAGUUAGGGCCAUACCAAGAUCAGCUGUGAAGAGGCCUUCUCCUUCAUAAUUCGGUCCUGUUAGAAUUUCCCCAUGGGUCGAAAUGAUGACACUACCUCCAGCCCAAACAAUAGAAUCUGGAGUGACAUCUUCUUCUGUAGGACUGUAAAGAUACUCAGGUGGAGGUGGGUAAUCUUUCCUUUUCCAUUUUUAAAAAUAAUAAAAGCAAAGGUGUUUCAAAACAAUACCUCAUUUGCUCAAUUAAUUAUCACAUUUCCUAAGUACAAAAGUAGGCAAGUGAAUUUUUGCUCAAGUUACAAUAAUGCUCCAAAUCCUUAUCCAAGACUUUGAUCCUAUUUCACAAUUGUUUUUUAAAACAGUUUUUUUCUUGGGAGAAUUACCCAAAGGGGUGGGUUAGAAAAAAUAAUGACUAUGAAGGCUCACUCUUUUAGAAGACAAUUUUACCCUUUAAUAUGUUUUUUAUAUUAUUUAUAAAUAAAUUGAGAUUGUCAAUGAUGUGGGGCUCAUACAUAAUGAUAAGUACAAGUUGAUAAAUGAUGUGGGACUCAUACAUGAUGAUAAGUACAUGUUGAUAGGCAAUCAACGGUACAUUUUUCAACUUGAAAAAAUUGUUAUCACUUUUGAACAAUUAACUAUUUAAAAAUUUGUUAUUUUUUUUUAAAUUGAGAUUUUUUAAAGAACCUUAUAAAAAAAAUAAUUUUUAAUAUCUCAUAAAUAAAAACCAUAUCCUAAAGUUAUUAUAUCAUUUUAUAUAUAAAACAUACAAUUAAAAACUUUGUUAUCAUAAUAUAAUAAAUAAUUAUUUUUUACGAGCACUCAUCAAUUGAAUAAUAUAUAAAUAUUCAAUUGACUAACACACACCUAUUAAAUGGAAUAACUCACAAUUAUUCAUUGGGUAAUAUAGCACGUGAAAAAAUUAAAUAAAAAUAAAUUACAUUAUGUUAUAAUAUAUUGUAAUGAUAGUGUAUUUAUAUUGUAAGUAUAAUGCAUUUAUGUCGUACCUAUAUUUUAUUAUAAAAGUAAUAAUUUUAAAAAUGUUUAUUCAUACCCUAUUGGUAUUAACACAUCGUAUUAAUAUAUUAACAACAUUUAUUUAGUGUUUUGAAAUUAUUUAAUAAUUUUUGUAUAUAUAUAUAUAUAAACUACGUGAAUUCAAAUUAGUAUUUCAUUUGAUUUCAGAAAUUAUUUAUGAUAUAGGUAUGUUGUGAAAUAUGGUAUGAUCAUACAAAGUUACCAUUUUCAUAAAAAAAUUCAUAAAUUUCUUAAUUAGGUUUUAUUGUAAUGUAUUGUAAUGUAAGUGUAUUUAUAUUGUAAUUAUAACAUAUUUUUGUUGUACUUGUAUUGUAUAAUAAAAGUAAUAAUCUUAAGGAUCACCUUUUAUACCUUAUUAAUAUUCAACAUAUCAAAUAUAUUAACAUCAUCCACUCGAUACAUUGAGAAAAAAAAUUUAUAUAAAAAUUUAAAUAAAAAAAAACACUAUGCAAAGGAAAAAAAAUCAUAUAAAUUUUUUUAAAUUAUUUUAUUAUAAAAAUAAAAAAUGAUUAAACAUUUUCUAUCAUUUUCUUAUUAUUUUUAGAGAAUUUGAAUGAAAAAUUAAACAUUUUAUCUUCCUUAAAUUUAAUACAAAAACAUAAUUUAUCAAUUUAAACUUAUAAUAUAUAUAUAUAUAUAUAUGAAAAAAUCAUCAUUUUUAUUAUAUAAUUAUAAAACUUAUUUUUUUCUUCAUAAAAUUAAAAAUUAGAAUAAAAAUAAAAAAAGGUAAAAAAACAAUAAAUGAUAUUUUGAAAAUAUUUUUUAAAAGUAUUUUUGUUUUAAAUAGUAAAUUUAAAUAACAAAUUAUAUAUAAUUGUAAGGGUUAAACCCAAAAUUUUGAUUUAAAAUUUAAAUAUCAAUAAUUACAAUAAAUGUGGGACCCAUGUACCAUAAAUGUAUUAACAAAUAAAGUGAAGUGCUUUAAAUGUUUUGAAUUUUAAAAGUUUUAGUUAAAGGACAGUUUUGGUAUAUUAAGCUUACUAAAGUCCUCCCCAAUAAUUAUUAAAAGAUACCACCCUUUCUAGUAAUUGUUUUGCCCAGCCUACCCUUUUGGAUAAUUCUCCCUUUUUUCUUCUCUACAACAAAAAAAAAAAAUGUGUUUGAGAAUUGGAAAAUAAGGUGUUUUAAAAAAAACAUAUGUUAGUUGUUUUUAGUUUUUCUUCAUUAGCUUUUUUGACGGUUGUUUAAAAAAAAUAAUUAUAUAAAUAUGAAGAAUUAUUAAAAAUAUAAUAUUAUAGACAAAAGUUAUUUUAAAAUUAUAUGCACGAGUUUUGGAAAGUCUUGCAAAAUAAGCAAAACUAUAGGAAAAAUAUGCAAAUAAAAAAUUGUAUUAAAAUCAUCAAGGGCGCACAAUAUUUGUGGAAAAAUAUUCUUUGCCGAAGAAUAUUUUUUAAAGAUCAAUUGAAAGCCUAAAGCAGCUUUUUCCCAAUUGAAUUUAUUGAAUGGUGAAGAACACGUGUGUUGCAAUUUUUUGGAUUUGUAGAGCGUAUUUUAUAAAGCUUUUUUCUCUUUGUGAACCUUCUUUUCAUAUGUGAAAUUGUUUUAUUUUUUUUUAUCAUUUUCAUUGAAGGAAGUUGCUGAUAUUUACAGAUAAAAUUAAAAAAAUUAAUUUUAGAAUUUCUAAGAUUUGAUUACUUAAUUAAAAAAAAAAAAUUGGUUUCUUGAUUUUAGCAACUUGUCUUCUUCAUUUAAGGAAGUUUGCUAACAAGAGCAUAUUUACUUCUCAUUUUCUUUUGACUUCAAUUGGAAGACUUGUUUCAUUUGUUUACAAAAUUUGCCAACAAGAAAAUAUUUAUUUCUAAUUCUCUUUUGAUUUCAAUUGUUUGAUUUGAUUUGAUUUUGCAAGACUUUAUUUUAUAGCCUUCCAAAUUUCGCUACAUGUCAUUUUUUGAAUUGAAUGCCACGUGUUCAAUAUAUAUGACUCGUCACUUAUUAAGCCCAAAUUUUGUUGAUCUAAGGAGUUACAAUUUUGAAGACUAAUUUGGUAGUAUUUUAAUCCACUAAAAUUUUUUAUGUCUACAAAUGCCCCCUCUUCAAAACAGAUCACACACAUGCAUUAUCAUGUAUAAGAAGUGAGUCUUGAAGUUAGCCUUUUGAAUCUUCAAUAUCCUUCUUUGAUUUUUUUUUUUCGAAGAAAUAUUUAAAUAGGAAAUUUCCUAUUCAAAAUACUUUUCUUCAACUUUUUUCGAACACUGUUUUAUUUAUUUAUUUAUUUUUCUACCUUGUAUCAAAGAAAAACCUUGUGUUAAUGGGAAAGCUUCUUAUUUGAACAUCUAUUUUCUUUUCUCAUGGUAUUUUCACUUCCAAUUUGUCAUCCUACAAGAAGUCCUUCACCCUAGCUGGUUCAAUUGCAUCUUAGACUUGGUCACAUGCCUUUAACUUGUAAUUCUUCCUCCACUUUCUUUUUUUUUGUUUAAAAAAUAGUACAAUAUAUUUGAGCAAGACCAUAAGCAAGAGAAUAGAGGUGGUGAAUGGAGCACCAACUAACCUUAGGGCAAGAUCUUGAGCAAGAGAAGUAAGGUGGAGAGUAGAGCACAAACUUCUCUAAAGCAUGGUAGGCAUACCGUCAUGGAGUUGUCUUCUGCAUGGAGCAUGGUAGGGUAUUAUAUAUAUGAUAGGGUGGGCCAUCAUGUAACAAUGAAGAACAACAAUCCAUGGUGUACAAUUGGGAACAACAAUUCAUGCUAUCAAGCUUCAACCUUUUGUUAUUUUUUGUUUUUUUUUUAAUCCCUAUCUCUACCCCCGACUCCAAUUUUUUUUUCAAGUUUCUAGAUUCCUUUUUAUUCUUUCUCAUUUUAUUUUUUUCAACUCCUUUUUUUUUCCUCCCUUUUUAACCAUUGUUUUUAAGGAAGAAAUAGAUUCACCAUCCCUUACCACGAGGUCAAUCUCCAUCGCUUGCAAAGACAAAUUUGCUUUUUGGUGUUUUUUUUUCUUCAAAAAUUAUCUUAACAUUUUAAGAUAUAUAUAUAUAUUUAUAUAUUUAACAAACUUAAAUAUCCAUAAUAAAAUAAAUAUUUAAGGCUCUUGACUUAUUUAAAUUGGCUUGACUUGGAUACUUAGUGGAACCAUACUUAACACCCAUGUAGAUGAGCUAUAAUCUUGAUGGCAUGUUGUGUUAUAUUUUCGACACUUAAUGUGGCUUAAGAGUUAAAGUCUUCACUCAUGAAAAUUAGCUUGGUUUGGAUGCACAAUGGUCUCUAACUUCUUAAUGCUUAAUUAAACUUGGAACCAUAUUUAACACCCAUGUAGACAAGUCAUAAUCAUGACAUAGAGCACUAUUUUAUUUUAACUCUUAAUAUGACUUAAAUAUUAAAGUCUUCACUCAUACAAAUUAACUUGGGUUAGAUGCACAAUGGUGUUCAACUUGGUAAUAGUUAAUUAAAAUUGAAACAUUUAACACCCAUGUAAACAAGUCAUAACUUUGACAUGGAACAAUGUCGUAUUUUUAGCUUAAUGUCGCUUAAGUAUUAAAGUCUUCACUGAUGUAAAUUAGCUUGUCUCAGAUGCAUAAUAGCAUUCAACUUUUUAACACUUAAUUUAAAUUCAGACCAUAUUGAAAACCCAUGUGGACAAGACAUAAUGAGAAAAUAAAGGGCUAAUCUAAAUAGAUAAAAAUACCCAACAGGGAAGGAGGGGGGUGAAAUGGAGUUUAAAAAAAAAAAAAUUAAACACAAUAAAAUUAAGUACAAGAAGCACAAAUAUAAAGAGAUAAGUUAUAGAAAGCAAACUCAGAUUUAUGGUGGUUUGACACUUCCUUGCCUACAUCCACUCUCCUCAAGCUCCUAACCGAGUGAGGGUUCCACAUAUACUUAAAGCUUCAACCAAACUUCUAAUCACUUUUUACACUUAGAUUUUGGCUCCAAUGGGCUCUUACACAUUCGCUUCAAGUCUCUACUCACUUGAAGGUUUUAACACUCAAUUAACAAGUUUGAAACUUUCAACCUAGCUCAACAAUGGCUCAAAUACAACUCAAGGCUAGGAUGAAUCACAAAGGUGCAUUAAAGAAUAUUCAAAUGAAGAUUUAAUGCACUAAGAAAAGAAUGAGAGCUUUUAUGGCAAGAACAAGUAGGUAAACAAAUCAAUGUAGGUGUUCUCUUACUCAUAAAUGAAGUGAAAUUCUCAAUUUAUAGGUUUCUAAUCUCAGAAGCCAAAAAACCAAAAAGUAACCUCAAUCGAUUGAGUUGGGGGUUGACCGGUUCACUAGCCGUUAGAGCAUUAAAUGUGUGGCAGGUGAUCGUUACCCUCGACCGGACCUCGACUGGGAAGGCAAAUCUCUCGACUAGGAAAGAAAGGUUAUUGGAAGAGAAAGAAGGUUUUUUGCAUCUUUUGACCAGACCUCAACCGGGAAGGAGCAAUCGAUCAACCAGUACCCUAGCCAGUUGAGCUGGUUGGCUAGUGCCUCUACCGAUUCACCAUUUUUUACUCGAAAACCUAUCUUUUUCUGGUCUUUUUUUGCUUCUAACACUUAAACAAGGUCUUUAGGUAAAAUAAUAUGUCAAUUUUGAAACGUUUUGCCUAAGGUUCAUUUGAUAGAACUCGGAUUUUGAUGGAAAUGUGACUUGAAUGCAUAAACUGAGUUUUCAAAGAUGCAUGAAAUGAUAUGAAAAUCCUAAGUACACCCAUGCAUUCAUUUUACAUAGUUUUCUAUGAUUAAAAAGUAUUUCAAAAGUCUUGAUCUUGCAUCCAUUAGGUCAUUUGAUGAAUUUCCAAAUUAAUAUAUGAAAUUCUUUAUAAUUCAAACCAUUUAGUAACUUAACCAUGGUUUGUUAUCAUCAAAACAUGAUUAGGAGAACCCUUGGGCUAACACAUAACAUUGUAGCAAUGUUAUAUUUUUGACACUUAAUGCAGUUUAAGUUCUGAAAUCUUCAUUUCUAUGAAUUGGUUCGCCUUGGAUGCAUAGUGGUGUCUAAAUUAUAAUACUUAAUUAAAAUUGAAACCAUAUUUAACACUCAUGUAGACAAGUCAUAACUUUGACAUGGAGUGGCAUUGCAUUUUCGACACUUAAUGCGACUUAGGUGCUAAAGUUUUCACUCAUGAGAGUUGGUAUGGGUUGGAUGCAUUGUGGUGUCCAACUUUUUAACACUUAAUUAAAAUUGGAACCAUAUUUAACACUAUCUAGAUAAGUCAUAACCUUGACGUGAAGCGAUAUUGUAUUUUCAACACUUAAUGCAACUUAGGUGCUAAAGUCUUCACCCAUGCAAAUUAGUUCAUCUUGAAUGUACAAUGGUGUCCCAUUUUUUAACAUAUAAUUAAAAUUGGAACCAAAUUUGACACUUAUGUAGACUAGUCUAGCCAUGAUGUAAAGUAGUGUUCUAUUUUUAAAACUUAAUGCAGCUUCAAUGGUAAAGUUUUUACUCAUGUGAAUUGGCUUGAUUUGGAUGCACAAUGAUGCCUAACUUUUUAACAUUUUAUUAAAUUUGGUAUCAUAUUUAACACCUAUGUAGACAAGUCAUAACCUUAAUGUAGAGGUGCAGUAAUAUUUUUGGUACUUAAUGUCGCUUAAGUGCUAAAGUCUUCACUCAUUUGAAUUUUUUGGUUGGGACGAACAAAGGUCUCUAACAUUUGAGCAUUUAAUUAAAAUCAGAAUCAUAUUUAACACUCAUGUAAAAAAGUCAUAACCUUGACACAUAGUAAUAUGCAAUGUUUUAACAUUUAAUACAACUUAAGUGCUAAAGUUUUCACUCAUGUGAAUUGGCUUGGCUUGGAUGCAUAAUGGUGUCUAACAUUUUAACACUUAAAUUAAAAUUAGAGUUAUAUUUAAUAAUCAUGUAGACAAGUCAUAACCUUGACGAGAAGCAGUAUUGUAAUUUUGACACUUCAUGUUGCUUAAAUGCUAAAGGCUUCACUCAUGCAUAUUGACUUAGCUUGGAUGAACAAUGGUAGCUAACUUUUUAACACUUUAUCAAAUUUGGAAUUAUGGUUAGCAUCCAUGUAGAAGAGUAAUAAACUUGAUGCAGAGUGAUGUUAUAUUUUUGGUACUUAAUAUAGCUUAAAUACUAAAAUCUUCACUUCUAAGAAUUAACUUGGCUUGGAUGCAUAGUGGUGUCCUACUUUUUAACACUUAAUUGAAAGUGAAAUCAUAUUUAACAUCCAUUGUAUACUAGUCAUAAACUUGAUAUAGAGCAGUGUGCAAUUUUUUAAUAUUUAAUGCAACUUAGGUGUUAAAGUCUUUACUCAUAUGAAUUAACUAAACUUAGAUGCACAUUCGUUUCCAACUUUUUAAUACCUAAUUAAAAUUAAAACCAUAUUUAAAAACCAUGUAGACAAAGACAUAAUCUUAACAUGGAGCAGUGUAUAACUCUUAGCACUUAAUUAAAAUUGGGAUUACACUUCAUAACCACAUAUUCCUCCUCCUAUUUUUCAAUUUUUUCUUGUGGUGAUGAUUGAACUCAACUAGUUUGUCCAAGUUACCCACAUACCCUUAACAGAGAAGAGAUCAAGUCAAACCUAGUUCAAAGUAUUUUUUUUUAAUAUCUAACUUUUGCCAAGGCUAAUGAUUUUAAUCUUGAAAGCUUGUCUUAACUUUUGACUAUAUAUGUAGUGUUUUCAAGUUUCAAUUUAGCGGCCUAUGAAUUGUACAAAUUGAAAAUGACUUCACUUAUGUGUAAAAAAUAAUAAAAGAUAUUCAUUCAUAGUUUUAGGGCAAUGAAAAGUAAUCGAUCCUUUUUUGCAUUAUUAUUAUUAUUGUUGUUGUUGUUGUUAUAAUUAUUAUAUUACCUUAGAAAAAGACCUUUUCCAAUUAAUCUUUUAUAUAUAUAUAUAAUCUUUUAUACAUGAUUUUUCUUAGUUUUCAUAGUAUUUUUAAAUUUAAUAAUUUUUUUUUUUAUAAAAAAAUAUCUAUACUUUCGGUCAAUGUCUCAAAUGUCUCAAAUUUUAUUACGUACGUGCUCCAGGAAGUCUCAAGUUGUAGGCUUGUUGCCUACAACUUGAGUUUGAUGAAAAAGCGCAUAAACAAAGACAAAAAAUUUAAUCUACAAGUACUUGGAUUCUAUUUGAAUAUAAAAAGAGCCACUCAUAUGCAUGGAUUAAAUAUAUGCCCCAUGGAUAAGUUGUACUUAGCCAUGGCUGAAGCUUUCCACUAUGACUUAAAGGGAAAAAAAAGAGAGGAGAAUAAUGUCAUUAAAAAACUGAUUGCCGUGUGGCUAUGCCUGCCAGUAGAUGGCUGAAAACUAGUUCUAUUCUUUUGUUUUGGCCUCUACUAAUUAACCAUAAUUGAGAGAUUCAAUGGCAACUAUCGUAUAAACAAUGUUUCAUAAAUUACUUUUAAAUUUUGACAGCAAAGACUCAAAAUGUAAAACCAUAAAAAAUUUGUUCUAUUCCCAAAUUUUUUAAAAUAAAUUUUAAAAUAAUAAAUUAAUGCCCAUGACUGUUUUCACAUCUUAUUCUCAUUUCUAUCAAUGCAAUAAUUGUAAUCAUCUUAUCUAUUAACAUGGCCUAGAGCCAUUUCAGCUAAGAGUAGUCUUUCCUUAGCAUUUCCGGUCCAAAGCUUCCAUUUCUUUAGGCCUAGAGGCAUUUUCAGUCCAGAGCUGCUGUUUCUUUCGGCCUAUAACCAUUUUCAGCCUGAAGCUGCCUUUCUUUAGCAUUUUCAGCCCAGAGCUACCUUUCCUUGGCAUAUCAGCCAAAAGCUUCUAUUUCUUUAGGCCUGGAGCCAUUUCAACACAACAUUGGUUUCUUUGGCCGGGCCUUGAGCCCUUUUCAACCCAGAACUGUCAUUUCUUCUAAAUAACUUCUCUUUUGAAAAACUUCAAUUUGCCCUUUUCAAGAAGCUGGUAAAAAUCUUCUAUUUAGCAUUUCGACAGUGAAUCGAAUUCACAUAGAAAAUAAAAAGGAAAAAAAAAGUCUUGAUGGCAUAAACUAGGACAUGACCGGGAUAGUUUGAAAUACAUAAUUUUCUCCAUUCAAAUGCAAAACAUAUUAAAAGAACAUUUGGCACGAUUUUAUGAAGCGAUUCUAUCUUUUCUAAUACUUCAAAGAUAAAUUUUUUUGAAGUAUUAGAAAAAUUAGAAAUAUUUCUUAAAAUCACUACCCUUAAUUAUAUUUAGAUACUUUAACCAUUUCAAAUGCUACAUGUUUCCUUCUACAUUUCCUCUUUAUUUUGUUUUUCUUUUACAUUUUUCCUCAAAUUUUUUAAAAACCAAACAUAGCCUAAAAGAAAAGAUAAUUUUACUUAUUUUGAAAGUUCUUUAUAUAUAUAGUUUAUAUGGAAACUUGUUUCAUGUUAAUUUAAUAAAGCAUUUAUAAUAUUGAGAUCGCUCUUUCAUAAUCAUAAAUUAACCUUUAGUUUCAACUUCUACAAGAGGCUAAAUGAAAAAAGCUAUCACAGAGGAGGCCUCAGCCAAUGAGUCAGAUGCACUGUUGUACCAAACAAUAGGUGGAAAAUACAAUUUUAUUAAGACUCUGAGACAACAAAAAUAAAAAUAAAUAAAGGAUGAUUUUACACUCAAAACAAGGAUUUAUUUAUAAUGAAGUAGAGUCUCCAUAUGCACAUAUGACUGCAUUUACAGCAUAAACAAAGACAAGGAAAUUAACAAAUGUUGAACUUAUUGGAAAAUCAUACAAAUUAUUGAAGGAGGACCUUAGCUAAGCUAACUGUCUCCUAAAUUGCCCAUCUUUUAUAUAUCUUUGCAUUCAUCCGUCUCAUCAUCGUCUUUGAUUUUAGAUGGUGAGGAUGUGAAAGUAACAGGAAGCAGUGGACGAUUGUUCACAGUGAGGCUUAGCACAUCAGCUCUCGAAUAAUGUCCUACCACAUCAAACUGGAACUUUGCUUUAGGAAUCUCUCCACGAACAUCUGCAUAUCAAGUGAUCAUAAAAAUAUUUCAUCAGUCCAUGAUAAAUAUCAUAGAAUAUCAAGUCUUCAAUAAAACUAAGUUUGCAGUCCUCUUAAACCUAAAGAAUUGACUCAUUUGCCUUAUCUCCAUACUGAAAUAUUUGGAUAUACAAUUGGAGAAGUUAGAGCCAUACCAAGAUCAGCUGUGAAGAGGCCUUCUCCUUCAUAAUUCGGUCCUGCUAGAAUUUCGCCAUGGGGCGAAAUGAUGACACUACCUCCAGCCCAAACAAUAGAAUCUGGAGUGACAUCUUCUUCUGUAGGACUGUAAAGAUACUCAGGUGGAGGUGGGUAAUCUUUCCUCCGACAGAACUGGAUGGGUGAAAGAACAUAGCAUCCACCCUCCAUAGCGAUGUGUCUCAUUGUAGCUACCCAUGUAUCCCCGGAAUCGGCAGUAGGAGCACAAUAUAUCUCAAUUCCUAUAUAGAAUCGGUGUUUUGUGAUCAAUCAAUCCCAUAUCAGAGCCAUAAUGUAUUUCAAGCCUAUUUAGGCUAAAACCCUAAUAACUUAAAAAAGAGUACUGAAGUAUUUCAAGCCAAACCAUACUAGUUAGUGAAGAGAAAGAAAUGGUAAAAUAUAUACCUUUGCCAUACAUUGCUGUCCUCAGAAGCGGCAUUCUAUUUUCCCAACAAAUGACUGAACCAAGUUUCCAUAUGGAGUGUCAUAAACUGGAGUUGUCGAGCAAUCUCCGAAACCCCAGACGAGCCGCUCCCAAUAUGUUGGCAUGAGUUUCCUAUGUUUUCCAAGGUAAUUACCUUCAGGAUCAAAGAAGAGAACAGUGCAAUACAAUGUGUAUCCAUCUCUCUCAACAACACCUAUCACCAAGUAGACUUUGUAUUUCGCAGCCAUUGAUGCCAAUCUAUCAACUUCAGGUCCUGAAAAGAUAUUAAGUGGUUGAUUCAUCAAACGUGUCUUGUUUCGAUAAUUUAUUAAGUGGUUCAGUUCUUUAGCUAUUUAAGGGAGAGAGGUAACUGACCCGGCACAUUGAUGGCAGAAGCAUGGUACUUGCGGAAACUUUCUUUCCCUCUUGGCGACUGGUGGGCGAAGUUGUAUCCACGGGGAUACCCACCGAUAAAUGAUUCAGGAAACACAACCAGUUGGGAUCCCAGUGCAGCUGCUUCUUUCAAAAACCUCUCAGCCUUAUCUGCUCCCAAAAUCACAUUGCAAGAAUUAAUAAUUCACGACUUAGAAAGUAAAUUAAUUGGUUGAAUAGAGAGAAUCAAAGUUAACCUCCAGAUAUCCCAAAUGACUUUUUGGUUGCUGAGAAAACUCAUGGAAAAAGAGACCUAGAUAAAACUCGGAACUUUCAUAUUUUCAGCUGUUUUGUAACUAAGAAAAGAGAAACCACCUCAACCCAACUCAUCCAAGUAAUUAUUGUACAAGCAGUAAUUCCUUGAUUGGCAGCUGAAAAUAUGUUCAAGCUUCAAUCAUCCUUUUCUUUCCUUCAGUUUCUCAGCAACCAAUCAACUCACAGAUUCUCUUACAGAAGUUGCAGAAUUGAGAGAAAUGGUACGUUACCUAGAGUGGCAGGAGUAUCAUAAAAGAUACUAGAAGCUUGAACAACGGUGGCUCUAACAGUUGAAGACAUUGCAGAAAUCGUAUGCUUUUUCGUUGCCCUUCUGUUUGAGGAUUCCUCACACAGCGUUCAGUAUAUAUAUAUAGCCCAAAAGGUUCUUCUGCCAUUACUUGAACAAGACGAAAAGGCUGCGAAAAGUCUGCCUUGGUUUUCCAUAUUGAUUUAAGUUAUCCGCAGACAUUGUGGACCAGCCACAUGACUUAAAACAAAGGGUUGUUCUACGGUACCCACUCUUCAUUUUGGGGGUACCUACCCACAUUUGACCCCAAUAAAAAUAUGACUUGUGUAAAGUACAUAUCAUUAAAAAAUUUAUAAAAACUUAUCAAACCGGUAAAGAUGACUUGUUGGUGAGAAAUAAUCACAUGCAUUUCAUAUAUAUCUAUAUAUUACAAUUUUUUAUAAUUUAUUAUUAAAUAUCAAAUAUAAUUUGUUAUUUAAUGCAUUACCUAACUCUAUCUAAAAAACGAAAAUCUUACCUACUGCUCUUAUACUCUCUCAUUUCAAGAUCAAGUUCAAAACUUUUUUAGAGAGAAAAUUUAAAAUUUGUAUUAUAUGAAGAAGAUGAAGGAUUUCAAGUGAUUACAAGUGUCUAAGGUAAUAUUUGAUAUUUUUUUUAUCCAAAUAUAAUUGUUGUAGGAAGAAAUGUGAUGUUAAAUAACGAUUUUAGAAUUUUUUAUGAGUUUAUUAUAAAAUUUUGUUAUCAAAUUGUUAUUAAUAUUUUUAUAUAAUUUUUUUUUUUUGUUCAUAGAUUAAAUUUGAAGAUGAAGCUUUAUAUGUCUUGAAGGAUGUCAAGUGAUUACAAGUGUUAAAAGGUAACAUUUGAUUUAUUUUUUUCCAUUUACAUAUAACUAUUGUAGGUAGAAAUGUCAUGUUAAAUGACAUUUAAAUAUGUAAUGAUUUAUAAUAUCUAGAUUUUUUAAUUUUUUUUUGAGUUAUUUUUAAUCAAAUUGAGAGCAUUUAGUAAUUUGUUAUGAAAUUGUCAUCAAUAUUUUGUAAGAGAGGGUACGAACUUUGUAAGAGAGGGUACGAACUUUGUAAGAGAGGCUACGAACUUUAUAAGAGAUGGUACGAACUUUCUAAGAGAGGGUACGAACUUACUAAGAUCGGGUACGAACUUUCUAAGAUCGGGUACGAACUUUCUAAGGGAGGGUACGAACUUUCUAAGAGAGGGUACGAACUUUCUAAGAGAGGGUACCAACUUUCUAAGAGAUGGUACGAACUUUCUAAGAGAGGGUACGAACUUUCUAAGGGAGGGUACGAACUUUCUAAGGGAGGGUAUGAACUUUCUAAGGGAGGGUACGAACUUUCUAAGGGUGGGUACGAACUUUCUAAGAGAGGGUACGAACUUUCUAAGAGUGGGUACGAACUUUCUAAAAGAGGGUACGAACUUUCUAAGAGAUGGUACAAAAUUUCUAAGAGAGAGUACGAAAUUUCUAAGAGAGGGUACGAACUUUCUAUAAAAAAAAAAAAAAAAUACGAACUUUCUAAGAGAGGGUACGAACUUUCUAUGAGUGGGUAUGAACUUUCUAUGAGUGGGUACAAACUUUCUAAGACAUGGUACAAACUUUCUAAGACAGGGUACGAACUUUCUAAGAGAUGGUAUGAACUUUCUAAGGGAGGGUACGAACUUUCUAAGGGAGGGUACGAACUUUCUAAGGGUGGAUACAAACUUUCUAAGAUAGGGUACGGACUUUCUAAGAGAUGAUACGAACUUUCUAAGAGAGGGUACGAACUUUCUAAGAGAGGGUACGAACUUUCUAAGAGAGGGUACGAACUUUCUAAGAUAGAGGGUACGAACUUUCCAAGAGAUGGUACGAACUUUCUAAGAGAGGGUACGAACUUUCUAAGAGUGGGUACGAACUUUCUAAGAGUGGGUACGAACUUUCUAAGAGAGGGUACAGACUUUCUAAGACCGGGUACGAAAUUUCUAAGAGAGGGUACGAACUUUCUAAGAGUGGGUACGAACUUUCUAAGAGUAGGUACGAACUUUCUAAGAGAGGGUAUGAACUUUCUAAGAAUGGGUACGAACUAGAUAAUGUAAUUUUCUAACUACUCUAUCUUUUAUAUUUCAGUUUCUUCAUAGAUACGAUGGACAAAGGAAAAGGAAAGGAAUUUAUCAUUGAUUUGAACGAUGAAGACUUUGAUUACCAAUAUGAUAGCAUUGUUAAAACUGAGUCCGAUGAAGAGGCCAUUCUAGUUUCGGACAAGAUUUUUAAUGAUUUAACUGUUGAAGAUGUAUGGAAUAUGGAGUUUAGCUUAGUAGAGGAGGCAGAAGAAUUUUAUAAUUUAUUUGCUAAAGUUACCGGAUUCAGUGUUAGAAAGGAUGAUGUGAAACGAGAUAAAAAUCAAAAUAUAGUAUCUCGUAAGUGGGUUUGUUCGAAAGAAGGAUAUCGACAUAGAGUGUGUUUAGAGAAUGAAAAUCGAAAACGAGAACCUAAGGCAGUAACUCGAGUUGGUUGUGAGGCAACAUUUUGGAUUGUGUUUAACAAACAAAUGAACAAGUGGGUUGUGAAAGAGUUUAUGGCUGAUCAUAAUCAUCCUUUGGUGGGACAAAAAAAUGUCCAAUUCCUUUGAUCCCAUAGGGUCAUUAAAAAUGCAGAUAAAGCUCAAUUGAAUGCAAUGCGAGGUGUUGGCAUGGGAACUAGCCAAAUUAUGGAUUACAUGGUGCAACAAUCAGGUGGAUAUAACAAUGUUGGCUUCACAAAAAAAGAUCUAUAUAACCAUGUUGAUGCUGAUCGUAGAGUUCAUCUAAGAGAUGGUGAUGCAGAGGGUGCUUUGGCUUAUUUGUGUGGAAAGUCUGAAAUGGAUCCAUCAUUUUAUUACAAGUACAAUGUUAAUGAAGACAACCAUCUAGCAAACCUGUUUUGGGCAAAUUCUACUAGUAAAUUGGAUUACGGUUGUUUUGGAGAUGUGUUAGCAUUUGAUACAACUUAUCGGACUAAUGCUUAUAAAAAACCGUUGGUCAUACUAGUUGGCAUUAACCAUCACCAUCAAACUAUAGUGUUUGGAUGUGCAUUAUUGGUAGAUGAGAGUGUUAGCACUUAUACUUGGGUCUUGGAGACUUUUUUUGGAUGCAAUGAAUAACAAGAAGCCUCUUUCUGUUAUUACUGAUGGGGAUAAAGCAAUGCGUAAAGCCAUUAAGAGGAUAUUUCCAGACUCUUGUCAUCGAUUAUGUGCUUGGCAUAUUCAACGCAAUGCAUUCACUAAUGUCCAUGUCAAAGAUUUUACUAAUCAUUUUUCUAAGUGCAUGUUCAUGGAAGGCACCGUUGAAGAAUUUGAAUGUGCAUGGAAUGACAUGUUGGAAAUGUUUAAUCUUCAUGGACAUAAGUGGGUGACAGAUAUAUAUGCUAAGCGUUCUAGAUGGGUAGAGGCUUAUUUAAGGGGGCAUUUCUUUGCUACUAUGAAAAACACACAAAGGUGUGAGAGCAUGAAUGCAUACUUGAAUCGUUUCCUUAAAACUCAUUUGAAGCUGUUUGAGUUUGUCAAGCAUUUUGAUAGAGCACUCUCACGUAUUCGUCAUAAUGAGGCAAAGGCAAAGUUUGAGACACACCAUUCUUCAGCUGUUCUAACAACCAAACUCUAUGCACUUGAGAAAUAUGCAGGGAUUGUUUUCACAAGGCAAUCUUUUCUAAAAUUUAGGGAUGAGAUGAAGAAUGCAGAAUUGUUUUUCCCUGUCAGUACAGAAAAUCAUGGAGGUUAUCGUGUCCAUACAUUGACCAAGUUUAGAAGCCCUGACAAGAUUUGGAAAGUAUGUUAUGGUAAUAGUGAUCGGUCUAUGAAAUGUACUUGUAUGAUGUUUGAGUCAGUUGGUUUUCCAUGUCCCCACAUGAUUGUUGUAAUGAAGAUAGAACACCUUGAAGAAAUACCUGAGACUUGUAUUAUGAAAAGGUAGUCUAAGUUAGCAAAGGAAACGGUCCAAGUUCAUCAUGACAAUGAAAGUCAAGGUGAUGCGACUAACAUCAUACGAUAUGGUGCACUCAGCUCUAUGUGCUCACGGAUGUCUUAUUUUGCAUCUCAAUUGGAAAAAGCUUUUAAAGAGGCUAGAUGUGAAAUACAAAGACUCACUUUUCAAAUGGAAGAACUUUGUAAAAAUUCAGCGGAAGAAAGUGAACGAGAAGAUUUGAAAGCUACAAAACACCAUGUUCGAGAUCCUAUCAUUGUGAAGACGAAAGGUAAUCCGGGUAACUUAAAAGACAAAUUUAAGAAACCAAGACAUUGUGGGAAAUGUAAGAAAGUAGGACACAUUGUUCGAAAAUGCCCAGAGUUCGUCAACACUCACAAUGCAUUUAUCAACAUUGAAGAUUCAAUUGAAGAUAUGGUAUGUUCAAACACACAUUCACUAAAUUCAUUAAUUAUUCACUUUAUAGUUAUUUUUAUUUGGUUAAAUUUGUUGAAAUAAAAAAUUAAAUUCUUUAUAUUAAUACAAGGGGACAUGCCUUCAUUACUAAAUCACAACAUGGAAGGUGGAUCAAGACACGAGACAAAUGAAUUUUCUCAAAAUGUAAGUUUAACAUUUUUUAAGUAAUUUUUAUUAUGAUGUGAAAAAUAUUACUUAUUAGAGUAAUUGAAAAAUUAAAUCAUAUUACAGACAACACUUGGCACAUUUCAGAAUGGUCUAGAAACAAGCUUAAAUGAUUCAUAGCUCGGGUUACAUCCACCAAAUUACUUCACAAACCAAGUAAGAGUCAUAGAAUAACUUAUAUACACCACAUAUCAUAUAUCUAUAUAUUGACAGAAGUUCCUAAACAUUUAGUAUUUAAUCAUAUGGAUUUUCUUUCAAAAUAUUAUGUAUAACUGUAAAUAUUUUCAAUGUAGGUCACCAUGAACCACUUUACAUCCGGAAUUUCGGGAGCAAGUUCUACAUAUCAUAACCAAUGAGUUGUACUACAAUGCAAAAAAUUAUGUACAAAAAAAAAUCAACUCUUAAUUGUAUUCUAUACUCUUCUUCUCUUUAUUUUUGCAUGAUUCUGAACUUUAUCUAAUAUUAUAGCUUUCUCACUAUUUUCAUCAUCAAGAAGUAAUUCGAUUGCCAAUUUGUGUCUUAUAGUUGUAGAGUUCCAAUGGGAAGGGGUUGAACUUGAGUCCAUGAAAUCAGAUCUUUGCAUAUGAUUAAUGACAUGGACUCCACAAUCCCACCUAACAAAUAAAAUAAGUAAACAUUUAUCUAGUUAGUACAUAGAAAUAUUAUCUUGAACACAUUAUAUUUGAAGAAACAAUUAUGCUUGCUUACCCAUUGGCUUGCACCUCUACCCAUGUAGGUCUUUCAAUGGGAACACUUGAUAAAUUCUUUAGAUGCCCAUUGAGAUUAAAAAAAUGUGCACACUCUUCAACCUAAUAUUCAUAUCGUUAUAUCUUUUAGCAAAAUAAAACAUGCUAUUUAACAACUAACAUUAAAAAGUAACAAAAUUCAUUAAAAUAUAAGACAUACCACAGUUCUCACAGAUGAAGUUCGCAUGUCAUCCCUUUCUAUUGAUGGUAAUGAAUCCAAUAUAUGAAUAUUAUGUUGAUGAAGAUUUAUAACACACAAAUACCAAUGAUCCGGACAUGUAUCGUGCAUCGGGAUGUAUAUCUAAACAAAACACACAUUUUAGCAUUGAUAAUUAUUUACAACUAUGAUAUGAAUACAACUUCAAAUAUGUACCUUAUUGCAAUCAUUCAUUUCAUCCAUGUGUUUGAUAAUAUGUGUGAACAUCUUGGUAGCAGUUGCCAAUUUUCUACCACCAUGUAAGAUUAUUUGCUAUGCAAAAAAAAAAAAAAAAAAAAAAAAACAUAUAUAUAUCACAAUAUUUAUUAGGUUUAUUUUUUUUCUUUAAUAAGAAAUAUAAUGGAUGAACAUACCGCAAAUGUGGUGGGUAAGUAGCAUCUUGUAGACCGUAUUCCUUUGAAUUUGUUCUCAAAACUAUUAAGUUUGCAUGCAAAUACAUUUAUGAUCUAAAAAUGAAACACAAAAAAGUUAACAAUGUUAAUUAUGUAAUAGAAUUAAUAAGAAUUGGGUUUAUCCUUGUAUUACUCACCACAUCGAGUAAUUCUUGUCUAGGCCCUAAAGUCAAGAAGUCUGCUCGAUUUGCAUGCUCAUAUUGAAAAUUAACAAGAAGUUCACUGCAAAAUAUAAGAUAUUUAAUAAGUAUAACUUUUAAAACAUGACAUACAUAAAGUAUAGUCAAAAUAAUAGGUUUACACACCUUUUGUCCAAUGAAACAUCAAACACAUAAGCAACAACUAGAGACUCAAGUGUACUCAAGGAAUGUGAAUCCUCCACGUUUGGCAAAAUGGACAUGGGGAUUAUCUAUAUUGAAAACAUCUCUAACAAACAUUACUUAUCGUUCACUAUAUUAUUAAGUAUUUAAAAAAUACUACAUCAAUGAAGUAACAUAUUACCUCUAAUAUCUUUUGUGAUCCAACAACUAUGCUUGGGAAUCUCUUAGGCUUUGACAUCUUAUUGGAUUGAUGAAUGUAGGGUGACACCUUGAAUUUACUAGGCUUGCGUUCCAUUGUUGAUCAUGUUUUCUUCAAUUGACAUGGGAGCACCACCAAUGAACUUAGUUGUUCUUCUUGUUUUUCAACAUAUGGAACAUCAACAUUAACCUAUCAUGUAUUUGAACAUUAGUAUAUAUAUAUAUAUAUAUAUAUAGAACUUUGUAAAAAACUAGGUCUUCAUAAUAUGCAAAUACCUUUUCAUCUUGACAUUGAUUGUUGACAAUGGGAGAAACAUGUAACUCCAUGUGACCACAUGAGUCAUUCUCACUCAAUCUCUCUUCUACGACAACAUUGCUCAUAGGAAAAAACAAACGUUUCAAUUCCAUAUAUUUUUCUUCAAAUUCUCUAAAAGUUGAUUCUUUACAACUUUCAUCCAUAUCAGAAACAUUUGUUUGUAGCACAAAUUUUUUCAACUUCUCAAAAGCUUCCUCCAUACCCAUCAAACUUUUUUCUUCAACCUAGUAACAAAUAAAAAUUUCCAAUAUCAUGAAAAAUAAAGUUUGAGAUGAAUAAACUAAUGUAUAUAAAUAUAGUAUAAAAAAGUACCUUAUGCCCUUCUUCUUGUUGUUCAUGAACUUUUGCAUCUUGUUUAUCACCAUCUUCUACAUUUCUCAUAUCAUUAUCUUUAUGAUCACUUGUUCUCUCAUCUUUCUCAACCACCUUCAUUUUUUCAUCAUUUUCAUUUUCCGCACCAUUAUUUUGCUCCAUAUCCACACUUUGCCCAAUUUUUAUAAUCCAUAUCGUGACCUAUAAUUUAUCCAUAAACUUUAUUAUAAUUGCAACAUCACAUAAACAAAUAAGCUUUUCAGUUAGUAAAUGUAUCUUACCUUUGGAUCAUCAUAACCUCCAAGUGUUUUGAUUUUACGUUUCAUCCUAGAGACCUCAUCAUCUCCCCAUUCAUUUAUACGAGGGCUAUAUGCAUUAAAACGUAAGUUCAUACCCUUCUUUGUGGAAAUGUGGUCUAUGUAGAAAAUCUGCAAGAAAUAAAUUCCAAAAUAAUUAUAGAGUUGAAUAUAUCACAAACUCUAUUAUUGUUAAAAAUAUCAUAAUAUAUCAACUUUGUUAAAAAUGUAUUACCAUUAGAAAAAAUAAACAUCCUAAAAUCCCACUGCUUUGUUUCUUGGAUUUAAAGUCGUUUAUGCCUCGUACAAGGAAGAAGAAUACUAUUUGAGCCCAAUUUAUCUUCUUUAUUGAUGCAGUGUCUUGAAGGAGAUGGAGGAAGGAAGGCUUGACACUAACUUUCAUCGUUGGACAUAACAAGGCACCCAAAACAAAUAAUACAAAACGAAUUUUAAAUUCAUCCCCACAUUCCUUUUCUUGCCGUAUUUGGUUUUCUAACAUCAACAAUGGCAAUUUUCUCUUCCCAUCACAAUACAUGUUGUAUAAAUCAUUCCGUUUACUUGUGCAUCUCUCUAUAUCUACCUCCACUCCCUUAGCCUUCAAGCCCAAAAUUAACUCAACAUCCAUUGGGGAUAAUUUAAUGGAAGUGUUAUGCACACUUAAUGUGCAUGAAAGAGUGUCAAAAUUCUCUACCAACCAAUGACAUAAACUAUGAUCAAGUUUAGUACAUUGCAAUCCUAAAAUACCUCCAAACCCUAUUUCUUGUAUGACGGCCUUUUGAAUAGGUUGCAAGUGUUGAAGUAGUUUAUACACCCGAUCAGGCGAACAACGCGUGUGAAGAUACGACUAGAAGUCAUAAAUAUACAUAAGCAUAUAUAUUUUAAAUUGAAAGAAAAUAUUAUCAUAAUUUAAAAACAUAAAUUUCGAAUUUCUUACCUUUGAUGCAUUUUUUGAGUUUUGACCAUUUUGUUUUAUAUAUUCAUGAGGCCAUUUUUUAGACUUCUCUAAGAACUCUUUUUUUUCUCCAUUUGAAAGGGAUUGCCACUUUUUCCCAAUCUCUUUUCGCAACUGUAAUAUUAAAUUAGUUAGGUAUCAUAUAGAGUAUAAAAGUUGACUAAAAAACAUAUUAUGCAAAUAUUCAUGUCUUUUCUUACAUCAUGAUUUAUUAUCAAUUCCUUGUUAUCUUCUUUUCUUGCGAGUACUUGUUCUUGACUGCAAAAAACAUCACAUAAAAAUGAUUAUAUUUUCAACAUGUGAAUAAAUAUCCAAAAUGAAUUAACUAUAUAUGUAUAUAUAUUCUUACAAAUAAUAAAGCCAUGAACCCAUAGGAAGUUUUGGGUUUGAAGGGGGAUCAUUCUCCUCAAAUGAUUGUUUGCUCCUAUUUAAAACACAACAUUAUGAAUGUAAUUUACAACUAAUUAAAACUAUGUACUAUAUUCAAAUAAUUAAGUUACAAAUAUAAAAUCUUACAUAUUUGGCUUUCUAAGUCAAGAUGUAGUAAGACUGCUCAAAAUAAGAUAAACUCCUCUUAUAUUAAGCAACUGUGUAGCCUGCAACAUAGUGAGCAUACCGAUAAGAAUUAAGUUUUGAAUUUGACAACAAGAAUUAAGUUUAAAAAAAAGUCAUUAGUGAGCAUAUGUCCAAAUGUUUUAAGCUCUUUUAUCAUUCUUUUCAUCUCCUUAAGAUCUUGUUUCAUUGUAUGGUUUAGUCGUAUUUUGUAAUUUCCAAAUUACAUUACAAGUCCUCUAAGCUUCGUAGCUGAAAGUACACCAUACUUUUCUUUUAACGCUUCCCACAUUUCAUGAGAAGUUUGAUAUACCUCAUACUCAAUCAUGAGAUCAUCUUGCAUACAACUUAACAACGUUAUGCGAGCUAAAGAAUUUUUUUGUGAGAGAGGCCACAUCAACAAGAUAAAUAUACAUGUCAUGUCUGGCAUAUCAAAUUAUUUACAUGUUAUGUACAAAACAUAAAAGAAAAUGUAAUAAAUAGAAGGAAAACUAAUCUUCUCCCUUGAAACUAAAAGAAACAAUGUUAGGAUUAUACACAGUGUCUUCUAUAACUCUAGAAGUUGUUUUCAAUAACCAUAACCCUCUAAGAUUUUUAUGCCUACUAGAAUUUGAAAAUCUUGCAUUUUGCAAGUUAGGAGAAAUAGAAAGCAUUGUUGUUCGUCUGAUAGCAUUCUUCACGAAGCAUGUUUCCCAGUGUUCCUUGAAAAUAGCUACUAGGUCAUCAAAAGAACUAUUUGUGAAACCAUGAGGCCCUUCUUGAAUGGAUUCCCAUAUAUUUUCAAGAAAUUUUUUCUCAGGUUCUGUUAAUGACAUUUGUAGAAUAUGCAUUUUACGGUUUGACUCUAAGAUAUAUUCCUUUUCGAAACGUUUGAACAUAUUAGCCACAUGAUCCACAUGUUCAUUUGUAGAAUGGCUAGGGUCCCUCUUGUAGUUCAAGAUUGUAUCCAAACACGGCCAAGGUCCACUACCCCUUAGUACUUUCCUAGUUCUCCUCAAUCGUACCAUUUUGCACCUGACCAAAAGAAUUUAAUUUAAUUUUAAUGAGUAACAUAUACUCAUACUUUAAUUAAAUAUUUGAACAAAUGAAAUUUUAAUUAGAAACACACAAUUAUAAAAAAAAAAAAAUGGUUUUUUAUUGUCCCUCAAAUUUUUAUUAUUAUUUUAUACACAAGUCAACAUUCAUAAUUUCAAAUAAACAAUAUAACACUAAUAAAUGGUAUUUUAUAUCAUAUCAAGGUACUUUAUUUGAGAUUUAGGUUCGAAUCCAUGUUGCAUUAUUAUUUCUAACACUAAAAGGUUCAGAAGUCUAGAAUUUUAUUACAUUUUAAAUGAAAAAUAAAAUUAAUUUAUAUAAAAUAUUUUAUUUGAGAUUUAGGUUCAAAUCCAUGUUGCAUUAUUAUUUCUAACACUAAAAGGUUCAAAAGUCUAGAAUUUUAUUACAUUUUAAAUGAAAAAUAAAAUUAAUUUAUAUAAAAUAUUUUAUUUGAGAUUUAAUUUCUAAAAUUUUAUUAAAAAUAUGUGAUAACAAUUUUUUCUAUUAACAUUAAUGUAUUUAAAUAAUUAAAAUUAUAAUAAUUUAUCUUAUCAAAUUAAUAUUAAUUCAUAAAAUAUCGGUAAUAAAAUUCGAAAGUUCAAUUUAUAUAAAAUAUUUUAUUUGAGAUUUAGGUUCAAAUCCAUGUUGCAUUAUUAUUUCUAACACUCAAAAGUCUAGAAUUUUAUUAUAUUUUAAAUGAAAAAUAAAAUUAAUUUAUAUAAAAUAUUUUAUUUGAUAUUUAAUUUCUAAAAUUUUAUUAAAAAUAUGUGAUAACAAUUUUUUCUAUUAACAUUAAUGUAUUGAAAUAAUUAAAAUUAUUAAUAAUUUAUCUUAUCAAAUUAAUUUAAAUUCAUAAAAUAUCGGUAAUAAAAUUCGAAAGUUCAAUGGUAAAUAUUUAAUCAAAAUAUAAAUGGAUAAUUACUAAUGGUAAAGAUUUAAUCAAAAUAAUUACUAAUGGAUAAUUAUUUAUAUACAAAGAGAAAUUCCUAAAAGGCCCUACUACCUCUCACACUCGGGGCUGGGGCAUCAAGAAGCCCUUUUCUCCCUCUAGACCGAGAAUCCCUAAAAAGGCUCCAGCUCCAGUUUACUCUGCCACUCUCAAUCCUCGCAGGUACUAAUCUAAUCAUGUUAUCCUUUUUUUUUCAAUACCCGUUUGAUUCUUAACAAAAUCCAUCCCCCAUUCGAUUUGUUGGAUCUGUUUUAGGGGUCUUUUUGCUUUUGUGCCAUUCGAUUUAAAUUUCAUGAACCCUAAAUCCACGAUUUUUUAGCCAGGUUGAAAUACACAACCUUUGUCUGCAAAUCAUGACCAUAUUACCAAAUAGUAUCUUUUGUUUUUUUAAAAAAAACUGGUCAGAUUUUGCAUCCUUGUGUGUGGCCUGGACUGGUAGGAAAUAUAGGGAAAUUUCCCAAAAAAAAUUCGGUAAAAAUACCAAAAUUUUACUGAUAUUUUUUAAUCGGUCAAAAUAUCAUGUUUGUGCGUGGUCUGGACUGGUAGGAAAGAUCGGGAAAUUUUCCAAAAAAUCAGUAAAAAUAUUGUCUUUCUUAGAAAUAUCGCCGAAAUUUUCGACAUUUCAAUCACUACCAUAUGACAUAAGAUGAGUGAAGUACCUGUUCUGGGAUAGUAGGUAGAGUUGCCUGUAGGGGAGAUUGGUUGCGGAUCCACCAAAGCCCCCUGAUUAUUUUCUUGCUGAUUUCUCCUCUCUCUGAUUUCUCCUUCAAAAUCCCCACUCAGCUCACUCUCUCUGUAAAUAUUCAUUUCACUCGAAAAUUCCAUCUCCACACCCUCAAAUUUCUGAAGCUUAACUCUCUAAAACUCGGGAAAAGUUGUAAUGCCCAUCAAACUAAUAGCUCACCUUUCCGAAAAUAGGCAUCAAGUGUAAUACCCAUCAGACAAAUUUUUGUCUUUGGACAAGAUUAAGCAAGAUAGAAGUGGGAAAUCAGGUGACCAGCAACCUGCUUUUAUUUUUUAUAUAUUUUUAAAUUUUUAAAAAAUAUAUAAACCAAUUGGAUGGUCCGGAUUGAACAUCUUCAUCCAAUGGUCAAAAUUGUUUUUUGGGUAGGUACCGAAGUGGUACUGUAGAAUUUUCCUAAAACAAAUUGAAAAUAAGUAAGUCAUCUGUGAAAUAUAUAUAUAUAGAUUUCAUCUUUUAUACUUGAAUCAUCUCCCCCCUCUUUUUUUUUCCUAGUUUUGGCCUUAUUUUUUUAAAAUAUAAUAUUUAUUUUACUUUUAAUCAAUGGCUCAUAUUUCGAACAAGUGCACCAGAUUUUCUGAAGUUGUAUAUAUAAUAAUCUACAAGUUACAAUAGUGAUUAUAUUUGAAUAAAAAGAGGGACCCGCCCACUUGCAUGGAUUCUAUAUAGGACACAAACAAAUUGUCUUUAGUGGCGACUGAGGAGGCUUUCUAUGACUUGAAAAAAAAAUAAAACAAAAAUAGUCAUUAAGAAAUCAGUGCCAUGUAGUUAGUGUCCGCCACUAUCUACACUUUCUUUAAAAGAACAAAAUUGUCAUUUUCUUUUAUCUCAAAAAUCACUGAAUCGUACAAAAUAAUAUAAGAUAAGAUUCAAUUCAGUCUUUUUUGGCCUCAUAAGAAAACCUUAGCCAACUCAAGGUGACCACUACAGAAUCAAAAUAGGUUUUCUUUUUCUUCAUAGAUAUAUAGCUAACCAUUCAGCUUUGGAUUGCUGGAAUAGAUUCGACUAUUUGUAUCAAUCAGAAGAGAUUCCUCAAGCUUUGGCUGCUAUGGCUCUAAAUGAAGAAGAUAAGGAUCCUAAUUUUUAUGUGGACUCGAGAGCAACAACCCAUAUAACAAAUGACCUAGGUAAGAUUACCCAAGUAAUUCCAUAUAAAUACAAAUGACCUAGGUAAGAUUACCCAAGUAAUUCCAUAUAAAGGGCAUGAUGUAAUUUUUGUUGGAAAUGGAGAAGCUUUAAGAAUCUCACAUAUUGGUGAAGCUAGACUAAAAACUAAACAUAGAGAUCUAAAGCUUAAAAAAUUAUUGGUUAUUCCAAAAAUUAAGAAAAAUUUGUUAUCCAUUGGACAACGUACCUCAGAUAACCCAUGCUCCAUAGAAUUCUCAUCAACUAGUUUUGUCAUUAAGGAUCAACUUCAACAAGUGCUAGCCAGAGGAACUAAGAAGAGAGGUCUCUAUGCAUUGGAGGAAAAUGUGAUUCAAGCCAUGAUAGUUACUAGGUCUAGCAAGGCACCAUAAGAAGUGUGGCAUCAACACAUGAGGCAUCUACAAACAAAAUCUAUAAAGCUUUUGCAAGAUAAGGAUUUCAUUGAAGUAUCUAGUUGGAUGAAAUCAGCAAUAGUAUGUGUUAGAUUUCAAUUAGGAAAAAGUUGUAAAGUUUCUUUUGGCUUAAGAAAUAAAAUUUCCAGCAAUCCUCUUGAAAAAAUUCAUUGUGACUUAUGGGGACUUGCACCAAAUAAUUCGACUCAAGGAUACAAGUAUUAUGUUGUCUUUAUUAAUGAUCAUACUCGCUAUACAUGGCUUUAUCCCUUGAGAAGAAAAUCAAAUUUCUUUGAAUGUUUUUUGAAGUUUCAAAAUCUAGUUGAGAAUCAACUUGAAAGACAAAUAAAAAUCUUCCAAAGUGAUGGUGGAGGUGAGUUUCAAUCAAUUAAAUUUCAAAAUCACCUGAGCAAGUGUGGAAUUUUGCAACAAGUCUCAUGCCCAGGAACUCCAGAACAAAAUGGGGUUGUAGAGAGAAAGCAUAAACACAUUGUUGAAAUGAGUUUAACAAUGAUUUUCAAUGCCAAACUACCAUUGAGUCUAUGGGUAGACGCAUUCCAUACUAUCGUAUACCUCAUUAAUCAGCUGCCUUCCAUGGUGUUGAAAAUGGAGAGUCCAUUCUUUAUGCUCUUCAAACAAUAUCCAGAAUAUAGGAGCUUGAGAAUUUUUGGUUGUCAAUGUUUUCCAUACCUUUGAGACUAUGGGAAGAAUAAAUUCUCACCUAAGACAUCUCCAUGUGUUUUUAUUGGAUAUAGCUCUCUACACAAGGGUUAUAGAUGCUUGCAUCCUUCAACUAAAAGAGUUUACAUAUCUCAUCAUGUCAUCUUCAAUGAAAAUUGCUUUCCUUAUGAUAACUCUCUUGUUAAGAAAAGUCAUUUAUAGUUUCUUAUAGAAAUGGUAUCAUUCUCAACUUCAGAUGUUUCUUGUGAGACAUCAAAAAUAGAUCACCAAACUAAGUCUUGGAAGGAGAACACUGCCAACCAAUCAAGCAACUCCAAGAAGUGCAACCAUUAGCCAUGCACUACUGGGCAAAGAAACCAGUUUAGUGUUGACGGAAGAAUUUCUACUAGUUGCAUUACUAACCAAAAUACAGAAGCAUCAUGUGCAAAACCGAUUGGAACUCCCACUGCUAUCACUGUUGAAAUUUCCACUGUUGCUGCUAGUAAAAAUGACCAUAAUACCGUCAUUACUAUUGAAACUCCCACUGAUGUUGCUCUUGGUUCUAGUGGCCACAAUUUCAACACUGCUACUACUACUGGAACACUCUCCUAGAUUGAGUCUACUAGUAGCUACAAGCUUGCUAAUGUUAGUAAUUUUCCUGAUAUCAGUAAGCACCUAGUAGUUGAUCUCUCUUUUCCUUAAAAAUGGCAGAAAAAUGAGCAUGUUGGUUCAUCUCCGCAAAACAAAUCCACCAGUCACAAUGUUGAUGAUAAAGUUCUUGAUAUUAGCAAGCAAAUUGUUGUUGACAUCUUUUCUCCUCAGGGCCAACACACAGAUAACAAAGAAGCUCAUAUGAUCACCAGAAGUAAACUCAAAAAUGAUCCUAGUUUAAAGUCUUAAAUGGUUACUUUUGCUGCCACAAGAAGUAAUAUUAGUGAGCCAAAAACAUAUCAUACAACAUUGAAAAUUCCCCAUUGGUCCAAACAAUGCAAGAGGAAAUUAAGGUUUUAAUCCAAAAUUGAACAUGGGAUUUGGUUCCUAGGCCUCCAACUACAAAUAUUGUGGGUUUUAAAUGGAUGUUUAAAACAAAGCUAAAGGAAAAUGGAACCAUAGAUAGAUACAAAGCACAAUUAGUUGCUUGAGGUUUUUCUCAAAUAUCAGCUUUGGACUUUGGAGAGACCUUCAGCCUAGUUAUAAAGCAUACUACAAUAAGAUUGAUCCUUUCAUUAGCAGUAACCUUAGGGUGGACAAUGAAGCAAUCGGAUGUUAAGAAUGCCUUCCUACAUGGGUUUCUAAAGGAAAAAGUAUUCAUGGAACAACCUCUAGGAUUUAUAAACAAGGACCUUCCGAAUCAUGUAUGCAAAUUGAAUUGUUCUCUUUAUGGCCUUAAGCAAGCUCCAAGGGCCUGGUUAAAUAAACUAUUUCAAUGUCUUCUUCAUCUGGGGUUUUACUAUGGUAAAAUAGACUCGUCUCUAUUUAUUCUUCCCAAAGGUCAGUCUAUUGUUUUGCUACUUAUCUAUGUUGAUUAUAUUAUAGUCAUAAGCUAUGAUAACAACAUCAUUAGUGACCUCAUCAGCACCCUGAGUAGUGAAUUUUCUCUCAAGGACUUAGGAUCUUUGCAUUAUUUUUUGGGAUUGGAGGUGAAAUAUCUUCUUAAUGGGUUGUUUCUUUCUCAAGAAAAGUACACUAGAGAUCUCUUAGAGCACACAAAAAUAAUGGAGUGUACUCAUAUCAACGCACCCAUAGCUCUUAAGUCCAUCAUCACACCUUCUGAUGAACAACCUAUUGAUCCUACAUGAUAUAGGCAACUUGUUGGAUUCCCCCAAUAUUUAACCUUCACAAGGCUUAAUAUUGUGCAUGUAGUAAACAAGGCCUACCAACAUUUCCAAGCACCCACUAAAGCUGACUUGCAAGCUAUCAAACGCAUCCUUAGAUAUUUGAAGGGAACAAUGGAGCAUGGAAUCAGGUUUUUCAACCAAAGUUCGCUUCGUCUCACUGGUUUUUGUGAUGUUGAUUAGGCGGGAUGCACAAACACAAGAAGAAGCACAUCUAGGUAUUAUAUUUUUCUGGGAGCCAAUUGUAUCUCAUGGUCCUCAAAGCGACAACCUAAUAUUUCUAGAUCAAGCACCAAGGCCAAAUAUCGAUCCCUUGCGUCCAGUGCUGCAGAAAUAACUUGGCUUACUUUCCUUCUCCGUGACAUUGGCAUUCAACUACGUGAACCUUCUCAAUUGCUAUGCGAUAACCUCAGUGCCCUUCACAUGACAGUAAAUCUCGUCUUCCAUGCAUGUUCUAAGCAUAUUUAGUUGGACUAUCAUUUUAUUCGGAAAGAAGUUGCAAGUGGAGUUUUGAUUACUUGUUUCCUUCCAUCGUCUUUACAAGUAGCUGAUAUAUUCACAAAGGCACUCCCUAAGACUUCAUUCCAAGUCUUUCGAUUCAAGCUAGAGUGCACAAGUUACCACUCACUAGCUUGCAGGGGGCUGAUAAAGGAAAGCCAAACUCAGCCAGCAUACAAUCCAUGCCAAAGCAAUCUUUACGUGAGAAGUUAGUAAUGCAAUCUAUCAGGAAGGAAAACUACUCUCAAUAUUUGUAAUGUGGAAAAUCAAGGCUGGAAGGAAAUAUUCACUUACCUGUUCUAUAUAAUAUUCCCUUUUCUAUGCAAAGAAAGUAUGUAUUGUUUAUUUAUUUUUUAGAAAAAAUCAGUAAAGCAUGGUAAAAAUUCAAUCUUUCAAAAAUAGUUUAUGUUCUUCAUGCAUGGAUAAUAAAUCGCAUGGAUAAAUUGUAUUUAGCAGCGGCUGAAGCUUUCUAUAUGACUAAAGAGAAAAAAAGUCAUUAAAAAACUAAUUGCCAUGUGACUACGUCUACCAGUAGAUAGCUGAGAACAAGGUCUAACUUUUAACCUUUUUUACUACCUUUACAAAGGAACACAAAAUUGAGAGAUUCAAAGACAACUAUAGUAUAAAUAUUGUUUCAUAAAUUACUUUUCAAAUUUAAUUUGAUAGCAAAAAUUUAAAAUACAAAAGUAUGAAAAAUUUGUUCCAUUCCCAAAAUUUUUGCAAAUAAAAUUUUAAAGUAAUAAAUUAACACCAUGACUCUUUUCACAUCUUAUUCUCCUUUCUAUCAAAGCAAUGAUAGUAAUAAUCUUAUCUAUAAAUUUUAAAUGAGGGAAGAUCAUUGAAUUUUUAUUUUCUUUUAAUUUCUUGUUAUGUAAUUAUCAAACACAUUUUUUUUUAAGACAAGAAAAAAAUUAGACUGAAGAAAUAUACUUUUGCUUUGAUUUAGUCACUUGGAUUGCAAUUUGAAGGAUGACAAUAAAAGUGUAUUAUUGGAGUUAAAGAUCAAUUGAAAGCUUGAAGUGGCUUGUUCUUGAAUGAAUUUAAUGAAUGGCGAAGAAUACGUGUGUUGUAAUUUUUUGGAUUUGUAGGGGAAUUUUAUGAAGCUCUUUUCUCUUUGUGAAGCUUCUUUUUUUGUGUGAUUUUUUUUCUUCAUCAUUUUUAUUCAAGGAAGUUGCAUAUAUUUAUAGAUGAAAUUAAAAAAUUAAAUUUAGAAUUCCUAAGAUUUGAUUACUUAAUUAAAAAAAAUUGGUUUCUUGAUUUUAGCAACUUGUCUCCUCUAUUAAGAAAGUUUUCUAAUAAGAGAAUAUUUAAUUAUCAUUUUCUUUUGACUUCAAUUAGAAGAUUUGAUUCGUUUGUUCAUAAAAUUUGAAAACAAAAAAAAAUUAUUUCUAUUUUUUUUAUUUCAAUUGUUUAAUUUAAUUUGAUUUUGCAAGACUUUAUUUUAUAGGCUACAUGUCAUUUUUUGAAUUGCAUGUUACAUAUUCAAUAUACAUGACCCAUCACUUAUUAAGCAUAAAUUUCGUUGGCUAAGGAGUUACAAUUUUGAAGACUAAUUUGAUAGUAUUUUGAUCCACUAAAAUUUUUUAUGUCUAGAAAUGCCCCAUCUUCAAGACCAACACACACAUGCAUUGUUAUGUAUAAAAGGUGAGUCUUGAAGUUAGCAUUUUGAAUCUUUAAUAUCCUUCUUUGAUAUUUUUUUUUUCAAAGAAAUAUUUUAAUAGGAAAUUUCCUAUUUCAAAAUACCUUUCUUAAACUGCUUUAUUUUCUUCCUUUUUUUCUACCUGGUAUCAAGGAAAGACUUUGUGUUAAUGGGAAAGUUUCUUAUUUGAACAUGUAUUUGCUUUUCUCAUGGUAUUUUCACUUCCAAUUUAUCAUCCUACAUGAAGUCUUUCACCCUUGGUCGAUUGUAUCUUAGACUUGAUCACAUGCCUUUAACUUGUAAUUCUUGCUCCACUUUAUUUAUUUUAUUUUAUUUUAUUUUUAAAAAAGAAUACAAUAUAUAUGAGCAAGACCUUGAGCAAGAGGAGCAAGGUGGAGGAUGGAGCAUGAGCUAGCCUUAGGGUAAGACCUUGAGGAAGAGAAGUAAUGUGGAGUGUAGAGCACAAACUUCUCUGGAGCAUGGUAGGUAUACCAUCACAGAAUUGUCUUCCACAUGGAGCAUGGUAGGGCUUAUAUAUAUGAUAGGGUGUGCCAUCAUGUAACAAUGAAGAACAACAAUCCAUGGUGUACAAUUGGGAACAACAAUUCAUGCUAUCAAGCUUCAACUUUUUUUUUUACCCCCAUCUCCAUUUUUUCAACUUCUUUUUUUUUUCCUUUUCUUUUUCCUUUUUUUUUUAACCAUUGUUUUUAAGGAAGAAAUAGGUUUUCCAUCCCUUACUACGAGGUCAAUCUCCAUCACUUGCAAAGACAAAUUUGCUUUUUGAUAUUUUUUUCUUCAAUAAUUAACUUAACAUUUUAAUAUAUAUUUUUUUUAACAAACUUAAAUAUUCAUAAUAAAAUAAAUAUUUAAUGUCUUUAUUCAUUCAAAUUAGCUUGACUUGAAUACUUAGUAGAUCCAUACUUAACACCCAUGUAGACGAGUUGUAACCUUGAUGGCAGGUUGUGUUGUAUUUUCGACACUUAAUGUGGCUUAAGAGUUAAAGUCUUCUCUCAUACAAAUUACCUUGGUUUGGAUGCACAAUGGUGUCUAACUUUUUAACACUUUAUUAAACUUGGAACCAUAUUUAACACCCACGUAGACAAGUCAUAAUCAUGACGUGGAUCACUGCUUUAUUUUUAGCUCUUAAUGUGGCUUAAAUAUUAAAUUCUCCACUCAUACAAAUUAACUUGGGUUAGAUGCACAAUGGUGUUCAACUUGUUAAUAGUUAAUUAAAAUUAGAACCAUAUUUAACACCUAUACAAACAAGUCAUAACUUUGACGUGGAGCAGUGUUGUAUCUUCGGCUUAAUGCCGCUUAAGUGUUAAAGUCGUCACUCAUAUGAAUUAGCUUGACUUAGAUGCAUAGUUAUAUUAUACUUUUUAACACUUAAUUUAAAUUUGGACCAUAUUGAAAACCCAUGUGAACAAGAGAUAACCUUGCAGUGAUGUUAUAUUUUUGACACUUAAUGUAGCUUAAAUGCUAAAGUCUUCACUUCAAUGAAUUGGUUCACCUUGGAUGAAUAGUGAUGUCUAAAGUGUAAUAAUUAAAAUUGAAACCAUAUUUAACACUCAUGUAGACAAAUCAUAACUUUGACGUAAUGGCAUUGUAUUUUUUACACUUAAUGCAGCUUAGGUGCUAAAGUUUUCACUCAUGAGAAUUGGUAUGAGUUAGAUGCAUUGUGGUGUCCAACUUUUUAACACUCAAUUAAAAUUGGAACCAUAUUUAAUACCUAUGUAGAUAAGUCAUAACCUUGAUGCAAAGUGAUAUUGUAUUUUUGACACUAAAUGCAACUUAGGUGCUAAGUCUUCACCCACACAAAUUGGUUCAUCUUGGAUGCACAAUGGUGUUGAAUUUUUUUAACAUAUAAUUAAAAUUUGAACCAUAUUUGACACUCAUGUAGACAAGUCAUAACCAUGAUGUAGAGUAGUGUUGUAUUUUUAACACUUAAUAUGACUUUACUGGUAAAUUCUUUACUCAUGUGAAUUGGCUUGAUUUGGAUGCACAACUAACUUUUUAACAUUUUAUUAAAUUGGGUAUCAUAUGUGUUGUUUUUUUAACACUUAAUACGACUUUAGUGGUAAAUUCUUUACUCAUGUGAAUUGUGUUGAUUUGGAUGCACAAUGAUACCUAACUUUUUAACAUUUUAUUAAAUUGGGUAUCAUAUUUAACACCUAUGUAGACAAGUCAUAACUUUAAUGUAGAGGCAGUGUAAUAUUUUUGGCACUUAAUACUGCUUAAGUGCUAGAGUCUUCACUCAUGUGAAUUUUCUUAGUUGGGAUGCACAAUGGUGUCUUAACAUUUUAACAUUUAAUUAAAAUCAGAACCAUAUUUAACACUCGUGUAGAGAAGUCAUAACCUUGACAUGGAGUAUUAUGCAAUGUUUUGAUAUUUAAUAUGACUUAAGUGCUAAAGUUUUCACUCAUGCGAAUUGACUUGACUUGGAUGCAUAGUGAUGUCUAACAUUUUAACACUUAAUUAAAAUUAGAGCUAUAUUUAAUAAUCAUGUAGACAAGAAAUAACUUUGACAUGAAACAGUAUUGUAAUUUUGACACUUAAUGUUGCUUAAAUGCCAAAGUCUUCACUCAUACAUAUUGACUUAGCUUGGAUGAAAAGUGGUAUCCAACUUUUUGACACUUUCUUAAAUUUGGAAUUAUGUUUAACAUCAAUAUAGGCAAGUAAUAACCUUGACGCAAAGUGAUGUUAUAUUUUUAGCACUUAAUAUAGCUUUAGUGCUAAAAUAUUCACUUCUAAGAAUUGACUUGGCUUGGAUGCAUAAUGGUGUCCUACUUUUUAACACUUACUUGAAAGUGAAAUCAUAUUUAACACCCAUUGUAUGCUAGUCGUAAACUUGAUAUAGAGCAUUGUGCAACUUUUUAACACUUAAUGCGAUUUAAGUGCUAAAGUCUUUACUCAUAUGAAUUAACUGAACUUAGAUGCACCUUUGUUUCCAACUUUUUAAUACCUAAUUAAAAUUAAAACCAUAUUUAAAAACCAUGUAGACAAAGACAUAAUCUUAACAUGGAGCUAUGUAUAACUCUUAACACUUAAUUAAAAUUGAGAUUACACUUAACAGCCACAUAUUCCUCCUAUUUUUCAAUUUUUUCUUGUGGUGAUGAUUGGACUUAACUAGUUUGUCCAAGUUGCCUAUAUACCCUUAACAGAGAGGGAAUCAAGUCAAACUUAGUUCAAAGUAUUUCUUUUAAUCUCUAACUUUUGCCAAGGCUAAUGAUUUUAAUCUUACAAGCUUGUCUUAACUUUUGACCAUAUAUGUAGUCUUUUUAGGUUUCAAUUUAGUGGCCUAUGACUUGUAAAAAUUGAAAAUGACUUCAAUCAUGUGUAAAAAAUAAUAAAAGAUAUUCAUUCAUAGUUUUAGGGCAACAAAAAAUAAUUGAUCCUUUUUUAUAUUAUUAUUAUUGUUGUUGUUGUUAUAAUUAUUAUUUCACCUUACAAAAAAACCUUCUGCAAUUAAUAUUAUAUAUAUAUAUAUAUAUUAUCUUUUAUAUAUUUAGUUUUUAUAGUAUUUUUUAAUUUAAUAUAUAUAUUUUUUAAAUAUCGAUACUUUCGGUCAAUGUCUCAAAUUUAAUAAUAUUUUAGAAAGUGUUUAUAAUAUUUUUAACACUUGAAUGAUAAAAAAUUUUAAAUAUUAAAAAUGUUAAAGACACUUUCUUAAAUUACUACCAAACGGGUUCUAACUUCAAAACUAUUUUUCAAAUUCUAAGUUUAGCUUAGUGGUGAAUGCAUUUAGGAUCACCAAGGAGGCCAUCAAGGGACUUCAGAAGAGAAGAUCCCAUAAUUCUAGUUUUGUAUUUGAUUGCAUACAUCCUACCAUAUGGAGAAGGUUCCUUAGGAUGCUUAUUUAUCCGCUUAUGUGAAUUAUGUACAAAAUUGCAUUUAAUAUGCACAUAAAAUUAAUUGAAUUAUGUGGCUUUUUUUUUUUCCUUUUUCUUUUACGCAUAAUAUAACAUAUACAAUUGGAAGAGAUCCCGAGAUUCUGAUUUUAUAUCUGGCUUUAGGGAUCAUAUUGGGGCCUCAAAAUUCAAUAUCACUGUCAGGUUGUGGACAGUCCACCCAGCUGGAGCAGAUCCCCUGGCUUGUGGAUAUGUCAACAAUUGAAAAAGUCUGCACCCAUUUUCAAUGUUCUUAGGUUUCGAAGUUAUCAGCAAACAUUCAUUGUGGACUAGGUACAUGGCUUGUACAAAUUGAAAAUGACUUCAAAUAAUAAAAGAUAUUUAUUCAUAGUUUUAAGGCACGCAACGAAAAUAGAUUUUAUUUGUUUGUAUCUUAGAAUAAUCUUAUUAUAUUUGUAUAUAUAUAUAUAUAUAUAUAUAUAUAUAUAUCUUAUCUUUUAUACAUGCAUAUUUUUUUUUUCAGUUUUGGUCGUAUAUUUUUAAUUUAAUAAUUAUUUUAAGAAAAAAGAUUUAGAGGCCAUUUGGUAGUGUUUUUUAAAAACACUUCUGGACUAAAAAAAAAUGCUUUUGUUAAAAAAUUAAGAGCAUGUUUGAUAGUGAUUUUAGGAAACGUUUUUAAUAUUUCUAAUAUUUGAAAAUUUUUGUCAUGCAAGUGUUAAAGGGCGUUUGGCAAUGCUUUUAGAAAGUGUUUCUAAUAUUUCUAAUACUUGAAAAAUAAAAUUUCUUAAGUAUUAGAAAUGAUAGAAACUCUUUCUAAAAUCACUAUCAAACACAUUCUUACACUUUCCAUCAAUGUCUCAAAUUUCAAAUAUGUACAUGCUCUAGAAAUUCUGAAGGUGUAGGCUUGUAGCCUAGAAUGUGAAGUGAGAGUUUGAUGAAAAACGAAAUAAACAAAGAUAUAAAAUAUAAUUUGUGAAAAAUUAUGAAAAUAUUGAUUUUGAUAGAUAUAUUAAUAACUCAAUUUUACAGAUAUAUCAGGGUAUAUCCAAAAAUAUUGGUGAAUAUUUUGACACCAAAUAUCAGUAGGAAAAAAUUGAUCAAAACUCAUGAAAAUAUUGGGAAAAAAAACUCUUAAACAUGAUAAAAUAAACAAUAAUAUACUUAUUAAAGUUGGUUUUAUUGUAAAACUUAAAAACACAAAAUUAUCAAUAGAUAUCAAUGAAAUUUUUUUUUAAAAAAAUCAAAAUUAAUAAAAACUCGUAAAAUAUUAGUAAAAACUAAAAUAUAUAUAUAUAUAAGAAGCAAUAAUACACAUAACGAAGUUAUUUAUUAAAAAAAAUGAUAUAGAUUUAAUACAAUUAAUGAUAUUUGAUAAUAAUAUACAUAAUUUAAAAUUUUAAAAUAUAUCUACUAGUAACAUCAUGAUUAUUUAAUAUUCAAAAUAUAAAAGAAAUUAUGAUAUGUAAAUAUAUAUAUAAAUUACUAUGAUGAUUUUUAUAAUUUGAACAAUUUUCAAAUAUAAUAUGAAAAUAAAAUAAUUAAAAUUAAUUUAUUUAUUAUUAUUUUAUUUUAUAAGUCUAGGAGUACAAAUAUAUUUUAUUUAUAUGUGUUGCAUAUUUAAAAAUGCUAAACUAGCUUGUGGCCUACAAUGUCAACUUAGAGUUUGAUGAAAAAGUGCAUAAACAAAGACAAAAAAAUUAAUCUACAAGUACUUGGAUUCUAUUUGAAUAAAAAAGAGCCACCCACAUGCAUGGAUUAAAUAUAUAUCCCAUGGAUUAGUUGUAUUUAGCCACGGCUGAAGCUUUCCACUAUGACUUAACACUACUACAAAAAUAAUUUAUGAUGUCACUAUUUAUGGUGUCGCAUUUAAAAUAAUGACACCAUUGAACUUAAAAUUUAUAAAGGUGACACAUCAUAUAAAAAAUCUUCAAUUAGGAUAGUUAGAUGAUGCUAAUUUCAAAUUUACGGUGUCUUUUUUUGGAAGUGACACCAUAUGAAAUAAAAAGUUUUAAAUUUUAUAACUCAAUGGGCCCUUUUUCAAAAUAGUGAGUAGGAACAAUUUAUGAAAAGUCUAUUGUUUCCAUAUAUACAUUAACUAAUAUAAAAGAUCUUAUUGCUUAACCCUAACCAUCGUUUUCUUCUCCUUCUUCUCACACCCAUGGUCGGCACACCCAUAAUUGAUAUUCUUUGCUUCAUAAAAUCUCGGGUAAGUCAAAAUCCCUUAUCUAUCAUCUUCAUUUUUUUUAUUAAUGCAAAAAACUUUGUUAGUAUAAUUGUUUUAUAUCUCUUGAUUUAGUAUAUCUAUGAUGUGGGUUUUGUAAAUGGUGUUUUUUAUCGAGUUCCAUGGAAGUAAAAACUAGGUUUAACAUUCUAACAUAUUUUUUGUUUCAUUGCUAAUAAGCCCCAAAACAAAUGAAAACAAGAAAAAUGAAUUAUUUUUAAAAAUUUUGUCUAAUUGAGAAUGAGAGAUACACUAGUUUGUAGUAAUUUUUCGCAUGAAAUAAUAUUUUAUUGAAGACUUGACUAUAUAGUGUAUUGGUUGUAAUUUUUCACAUGUGAAAAUAUUUUAUUGAAGACUUGACUAUAUUUGAUACUUUUUUCCACCGUGCUAGGAGCUUUUUGGUGAAGUCUAACAAUAGAGAUUGACAUCUACUACAAGAUGAUGCUCAAUUAAUCCAAAAGCACUUAAGUUAUUUAGGGUUUUCUUCAGUUAACCUAAGAAAACAUUCCCACUUUCUUUGUAUUGAGUCACCUAAAUAGAAUAGAAUAUUGGGUAUUAGAGUGGUAAAGGGUAUUAUAAAUAUGACUUUUUUUUUUAGAGUCACCUACAUGGAAUGAAUUAUUGGUAGGUGAACAAAAUAUUGGGGUGAUUGUAAUAGUUGAAUUAGUAAAUGGAAGAUAAGUGUAUGUUGCUUUGUUUAUUCUAUAAAAACAAUAAUUUUAGUAGUUGAAAUUUACAUGCUUUGUUGUUUUAUAAAAACAAUAAUUUUAAUAUUUGAAAUUUUAAAAUGUGAAUGAAAUGCCUGAAAAUAUGUUUUGAAAAAUAGGAUAGUAAUAAAUGUUUAUAGCUCAUUUCCUAAAAAUAUUUUGAUAAAUUAAAAUAAUAUGUGGUUAAAAUAUAUUUUUGUGAAAGUAUUUAAAAAUGAAUCAAAAUAUUAAUAAUUGUUAUUUUGUUUGAAAAUAAUUUAGGAAUAUAAAAUAAUAUUGGGGAUAAUUUUUGAGUUUAAAUUGGGUUAUAAACGGUUAAUUUUUUUAGGAUUGUCUUUUUUGAAAAUAAUCCAAUGAUAAUUUUUUUAAAUAAGAAUGUUGAAAAUAAUUUUAAAAAUAAAAUUUUGUUGGCAAUGAUUUUUCUAAAAGUAUUUUAGGCAUAAAUGGAAAUUUCUUGUAUGAAAAUAAGAGAAUUUAUAUAUAUAUAAUAGACAUAAAAAUAGACUUCUUUGAUAUUUAAUAAACAAGUGAAUUUUUCUCCAAAAAAGGAAUAAAAUAAGAAUUUCUCUAUUUAAUAAAAUAAUUUAUAUAUGAGAUAGUUUUCAAUAAGAAAGUUUUGAAAAUAAAUUUGGGAUAAAAUAUUUUUUAGUAAGUUUUGUUUAGAUAAUUCAAGAAAAAAGUGGUUUAUUAACUUUUCUUAAAAAAUAACAUUCUUCUUUCUUUUUUGAAUUGAUCAUUUUUUUUAGAAAUAAAAUUGUUAGAUUCUAUUUUUUGUAAAUGUUUAAGAAAUUCUAAAAAAUUCUUUAAAAAUAAAAUGACCUUUCUACCACAUUCCUUGUAAUAAAUAACUGUUUUUUUAUACAUAUUGUAAAGUAAAAAAAGAAGUCUUUGUUUAGUUAACCUAAGAAGACAUUCCUACUUUUCUUUGUGUUGAGAGUCACCUAAAUGGAAUAAAAUAUUCAAUAUCAUAGGAGAGUAAAAAGUAUUAUAGAAAUGAUUUUGUUGAGAGAGUUAUCUAAAUGGAAUGAGAUAUUGGUAGGUGAAUAAAAUAUUAUGGUGAUUGUAAUAGUUGACUUAGUGAGGGGAGGAGAAGUGUAUGCUUCUUUGUUUAUUCUAUAAAAACAAUAAUUUUAGUAGUUGAAAACGUGUAUGAAAUGACUGAAAAUAUUUUCUGAAAAAUAAGAAAAUAAUAAAUGGAUAAUAGCUCAUUUCCUAAAAAUCUUUGAUAAAUUAAAAUAACUUGUAGUUAAAAUAUAUUCUUGUGAAAGUAUUUAAAAAUGAACCAAUAUAUUAAUAAUUGUUAUUUUGUUUAAAAAUAAUUUAAGAGUAAAAAAAUAAUACUGAGUUCAAAUAUGACUACUUUGUUAUGAGAUUCAUUAAAUAAAUAAUUGUUGAUUUUACAGUUAUUGCAUCAAAGGUUUUACUCGUUUAAUGAAUUGUACAUAAUUUCAUACUUUCAAUUAUUGUGAUAUUAAUGUUAUUCUCAUUUGAUUUCAGUUUGAUGACAAAUAAAACAUAUUCUCAAGUAGAAUUUGAUGAAAUUAGAGAAGAAUAGAUUACUUUUGUGUUAUAACUAAUCAUGAAUCAUAUUGAUGUAUCGUGAUCAUUCAUGGUAAGUCCCUUAGUUGUUAUAUGAUUGAAUUUUCCAUUGGUAUUGUAUAACAUUACUUAUUCUUUACGGACUAUUUUUAUACCAAAAUGAGAAAAAGGAAAAAGAAAAAAAAACAUUAGUACUUAGAUUUGUUUAUUGUUUAUAACAUCACAUUUUUAUUUUCAAUAAGAACUCUAAAACUCAUUAAACUAUGAAAUGCAGGUAUACACUCUUGGGAGGACAAUAUGAAGAAUAAAAAGAAAGGAGAAAGAGGCAACAAGAUUUAGGUUUUUAGAUAUGACUCUUAUGUCAUACAUUAUAGGACAUAAACAUUACUUUAUUUGGAAUUGAGAAUUUUGGGUUUUUGGAUGCAACUCUUGUGUCAUUUUAUGGUUAGCCGGUUUUAUGCAUAUGAAAUGCAAGUAUACAUGAAUGUUGGGAAGCUUAACAUUUCUAAAUCAUGUUUUAAUGUGUAUUCACUUUUCUUUUUUAGUUUUGGUGGGUUUGAUGUGUUUGAUGUACUAUCAUUUUGUGAACAUUUGAUAUAUAAAUAUUAUUGGAUGAUGUAAUAUGUUACAAAUUAAUUCAUAGGCACUAUGAAAAUAUAAGUUAAAUGUAAUAUGAUUAUCAUAUUUAUGGACAAUUUACACAGGUUGGUCUUAUUUAUUAAUAAGCAUUACAAAAAUCUACAAACUAAUCAACAAAAAACAACCAUAUCUUCCAUAAUCAUUUACAAUGAUGCGACACCAUAAAUUAAAGGUGAUACAUUUAACGUGACACCAUAACUCAAAGAUGAUGCAUUUAAUAUGACAUCUUAUAUAUCUCAUACAACUCUAUAUCAAAUUAAGCAUCACUAAAAAUAUAUGGUGUCUCUUCUGAAUGUGUCACCAUUUAUCUGCUUUGGUGUUGCUUCCAAAUACGUCACCAAUUGAUACCCUCUAUGGUGUCAGUGGAUAAGGUGACGCUAUGUUGUAGUGACACCCUAUGUUUAUAGUGACUUAUUAUAAAUGUCACCAUAUAUCUUUUUCCUUGUAGUGUAAAAAAAGAGAGGAUAAUGUCAUUAAAAAACUGAUUGCUAUGUGGCUAUGCCUGCCAGUAGAUGGCUGAAAACUAAGUUCUAUUCUUUUCGAUAGUUGAGAGAUUCAAUGGCAACUAUCGUCGUAUAAACAAUGUUUCAUAAAUUACUUUUAAAUUUUGACAGCAAAGACUAAAAUUGUAAAACCAUAAAAAAUUUAUUCCAUUCCCAAAUUUUUUAAAAUAAAAUUGAAAAUAAUAAAUUAACGCCCAUGACUGUUUUCACAUCUUAUUCUCAUUUCUAUCAAUGGAAUCAUCGUAAGCAUCUUAUCUGUAAAUAUGGCCUAGAGCCAUAAAGCUGCCUUUUCUUUAGUCCUAGAGCCAUUUCAUGAGCUAAUAGUAGUCUUUCCUUAGCAUUUCCAGCCCAAAGCUCCCAUUUCCUUAGGCCUAGAGACGUUUUCAGCCCAGAGCUGCUGUUUCUUUCGGCCUAUAACCAUUUUCAGCCCAAAGCUUCCUUUCCUUGGCAUAUUAGCCCGAAGCUUCUAUUUCUUUAGGCCUGGAACCAUUUCAACCUAGAACAUUUGUUUCUUUGGGCCUUGAGCCCCUUUCAACCCAGAACUGUCAUUUCUUCUAAAUAACUUCUCUUUUAAAAGACUUCAAUUUGUUUUUCAAGUCACAAAUUUUGAGGCUUUGUUCCAGGUUUGAAGAAGCUGGUAAAAAUCUUCUAUUUAACAUUUCAACAGUGAAUCGAAUUAAAUAAAUAAAUAAAUAAAUCUUGACGACAUAAAGUAGGACAUGGCAUAGUUUGAAACACAUAAUUUUCACCAUUCAAAUGCAAAACAUAUUAACUAAUUUCAAAUGCUAUGUGUUGUUUCCUUCUACAUUUUCUCUUUAUUUUUUUUUCGUAUUUUUCUUCAAAUUUUUUGAAAACCAAACAGAGCCUAAAAGAAAAGAUAAUUUUACUUAUUUUGAAAUUUCCUUAUAUAUAGCUUAUAUGGAAAGUUGUUUCGUGUUAACUUAAUGAAGCAUUUAUAAUAUUAAGAUCGCCCUUUCAUAAUCAUGAGUUAACCUUAGUUUCAACUUCUACAAGAGGCUAAAUGAAAAAAGCUAUCACAGAGAAGGCCUCAGCCAAUGAGUGGAAAAUACAAUUUUAUUAAUACUUGAUACCAAAAAAAAAAAAAAAAGGGAUGAUUUUACAUUCAAACCGAUGAUUUAUUUCUGUUGAAGUGCAGUCUCCAUAUGCACAUGUGACUGCAUUUACAGGAUAAAGAAAGACAAGGAAAUUAACAAUGUUGGACUUACUGGAAAAUCAUACAAAUUAUUGAAGGAGGACCUUAGCUAGGCUGACUGUCUCCUAAAUUGCCCAUCUUUUAUAUAUCUUUGCAAUCAUGCAUCUCAUCAUCAGCUUUGAUUUUAGAUGGUGAGGAUGUGAAAGUAACAGGAAGCAGUGGACGAUUGUUCACAGUGAGGCUUAGCACAUCAGCUCUCGAAUAAUGUCCUACCACAUCGAACUGAAACUUUGCUUUAGGAAUCUCUCCACGAACAUCUGCAUAUCAAGUGAUCAUCAAAAUAUUUGAGCAGCCCGUGAUAAAUAUCAUAGAGUAUCAAGUCUUCCAUAAAACCAUGUUUGCAGUCCUUUUAAACCUAAAGAAUUGACUCAUUUGCCUUAUCUGCAUACUGAAAUAUUUGGAUAUACAAUUGGAGAAGUUAGGGCCAUACCAAGAUCAGCUGUGAAGAGGCCUUCUCCUUCAUAAUUCGGUCCUGCUAGAAUUUCGCCAUGGGGCGAAAUGAUGACACUACCUCCAGCCCAAACAAUAGAAUCUGGAGUGACAUCUUCUUCUGUAGGACUGUAAAGAUACUCAGGUGGAGGUGGGUAAUCUUUCCUCCGACAGAACUGGAUGGGUGAAAGAACAUAGCAUCCACCCUCAAUAGCGAUGUGUCUCAUUGUAGCUACCCAUUUAUCCCCAGAAUCGGCAGUAGGAGCACAAUAUAUCUCAAUACCUAUAUAUAUG
This 93984-nucleotide long non-coding RNA is filed under the name Vitis vinifera (wine grape). Its description in RNAcentral is "long non-coding RNA (VVIN_LNC000544)". Lineage: Eukaryota; Viridiplantae; Streptophyta; Magnoliopsida; Vitales; Vitaceae. The record is from RNAcentral.